RNAcentral lists this long non-coding RNA (111955 nucleotides) under Vitis vinifera (wine grape). RNAcentral's name for it is "long non-coding RNA (VVIN_LNC001392)". The stretch from base 20616 to 20687 matches the Rfam family "tRNA". Lineage: Eukaryota; Viridiplantae; Streptophyta; Magnoliopsida; Vitales; Vitaceae. The record is from RNAcentral.
GUAUGGAGAGUGGGACUAACCUUGGAAGCAAAGGUCCCCUGAGGCCAGUUGAGCAACCCGGCAACCAUUUGCCCUGUUUGAUUGCAAUCGUCAUCAAUGGCCUAGAAAACCCAUGCCCACAUCAGAAAACAACAAUCCACCAUAAAAAGAGUCUAGGAUUUUCACGGAAUCCGCAAAUUUAUUUUUAAAUCGUUACCAAAAACCCUAAUCUCUGGGCACGAAUUCACAGACCUGUUUGCCCAGAAUAAGGAGGCCAGGCUUCUCCACAUCGACGAGAGCUUUGAGAAGCUUAGCAACUGAAAGUGGGUACAGAGUGGCGGAAGCUUCGACGUGGAUGGCCCUAUCGGCGCCCAUGGCGAGACCCGUUCUGAGCGUGUCGACGCACUGGCUGGGACCCACACUGACAGCGAUAACCUCCGACGCCAGACCCGAUUCCUUGAUCCUCAGAGCCUCUUCCAAACCUAUCUCACAAAAGGGGUUCAUCGACAUCUUGACGUUGCUGGUCUCCACGCCGCUCUGAUCGUGGGUUGGCGAUUGUUAUUGGAUGAUGAUGAAAUUACAGAUACUGAAUAACUUGAGAGUUUGGAUUUGGGUUACCUUGUCGGAUUUGACUCUGAUCUUGACAGCGUAGUCCACAACACGCUUUAUCGCCACCAUUAUCUUCAUCUCGUAUAUGGGUGGUUAUCUUCUCCGGCACAAGGGUAUUGGCAAAUGACUGAUGAUGAAGGACGAGGAUAUUCGCCCGAGCCCUACUGCACGACACCACAUCCGCUUAUAAAAUCUUUUGAUACGGAUAAGUACAAGGGAAGUGGAAAAAAAGGAUUAUUAAGAAAAAUAAAUAUAUUACCAAAAAAAUUAUUUAAAAUUUUGUUCAUGUAGAAAGAACCCGUGAAUCAGAUCGAAAAAAUUAUAUUAAAACUGCUGUAUAGCCGAAAAUUGUGUACAGAAUUUAUUUUAACAUUGUAUUAUUGAAUUUUUUAUUCAAAAAUUGCUUAACGUGAGAUAGAAAUUAAAAAAUCAUUAGUAAUUUUGUCCGAAAGUUGUUAUAUUUCAUGUGUUUUAAAAAUAGAUGUAAUUUAUUCCUAUUUGCAUUUUUAACGUACAUUUAAUUAAAUAACCCAAAAAGUUAUUGAGUUCACAUCAUCUAUGGAGUCUACCUCUCUUUGCUUUUGUUGCUUCCAAAAAUACCAUACUCCCAUAUUUUUUUGGUUCUACUCAUUUUACUUUAUUUUUUUCAUUCCAUUCAUUCCACGUGAAGUCUUCAAUCCUAAUAACAUUUACUAUAUUACAAUUAAGUUUAAUUUUUAAAAAACUUAAUUAGGGUUAAAUUUCCUUUGAGAGAACUUCAUUACAAUUAUUUGAGUUGUACGUUAAGUUUCAUUUAAAAAUAACUUAUUUAAAAAGAUGUUAAGCUUCCCCUAUUUUAUUUAUAAAGUUUAAUAUCUAUUUGAUUUUAUAUUUGAAAUCCAACUAAAACCUAAUAACGAAUUGUUGUAAAAAAACUCCAAUCAAAAUACUAACAAAAAUUAAAACAUAAAACUCUGAUAAAAAAUUGUUAAAAAAUCCAACAAAAAAACAAUCAUAAAAAACCCUAAUCAAAAACAUCAUGGAAGUUUAAAUGAAAUUGCCAAAAAAUAAAAAGUAUAGAAAACCCUAACAAAAAAACAACACCAAAACACCUGACAAAAAACAAUUACAAAUUCUAGCACAAAAACCCCCAAUUAAAAAUAUCUAUAAAGAAAAACCUAAAAAAAACCAAUUAUAAAACCUCCAACAAAAAAUAAAGAGAAAGAUGAAGAAUAUGAAAAAUUUUGAAGAAGAAAGAAACAUGAGAGAACUAUCAUUGAUCUUUAUUUGUUAAUCUUUGUUAUAUGUUUGAACUUCACUAGAAAAUGAGAGAGAGAGCAUAAACCUAAAGAGAGAAAGAGCUGAAAAUGAGAGGAGAAAUGAAUCACAAUGAGGGGAAUGACAAUUUGAGGAAAUAUAGAAGGGUUAAAUCAUUUGAACUAGGUUAACGUUUUUAUUAAAAAAAAAGAGUAAUGAAGGUCCUUGUUCUAAUUUCAAGAGUAUGUCUGUUAAUUACCAAAUGUGGCAACUCUAAAUAAAAUCCUUUGUUAUCAACUAAAACUAAAAGUCCCAUUACAUCAUAUCCAACUUUCAUUUGUUAUCAACAAAGUAAAACUAUAUACAACUAUUAUCACCAUCUCUCCUAUUUUGAUGUUAUUUUCUUAGAUGAAUUUGUAAAUCAAAAUUUACACCACCCAUAAAUUUUUUGAGCUUCCUAUUUAACACAACUUCAAUUUGUUAUACUUUGAACAUCACAAAGAUAAAGUAAUCAACAUUUUGCUUGGACAAGUUUUUCUUCUCUAAAGUUUAGAGUCCUAUUUCACUUCCCGUUUAUGGGUUGUUAGUUCAUCUAAUAUCUCACCAUCAUCCAUUCCAUGUACUGUGUUUCCGAAAUGAGUUGAUUCCACAUCCUAAAUGUCUGUGCAAAUUAAUAAGGAAUGUCGAGUUACCAAUUUUCUUAAAAGCUUAAUCUUGCAAGAUUUGGAUUCAAAAUGCAUAUCAUGCUCUCUUUAACACCCCUCCCCCCUCUCACAUGUAGCCCUAUACCCACACGUAGAGAAAUAGACUUAUAGGAAAAUUGGUAGUUUAAUAUAGUAUCAGCACUUGGUUUGGUGGGAGGUCUCCUGUUUGAGUCACCUCUCCACAAUUUACAUUUCUCCUAUUUGUUUAAUUUACAGUUCUUCCCUUAAUCUGUAAUUCUUUGGAUAUAAAUUUUCCCCCUAAUUUGUAGUUUUGUGGAUAUGAAUCUCUCUUCCAUGUUCAGGUAUGGGGCCACACAUAAGAGAGGGUGUUAAAGAGCAUGAUAUGCAUAUUAAACCCAAAUCCUAUAAGUUAAAACUUUUAGGAAAAUUGGUAGUUUAACGCUUUUAGGAAAAUUGGUAGUUCAACAUGUGUACACCCCAUUUUGGGGACUGCUAUUGCUCCCACUUCUUUUUGUCAAAUGGUGGAGCUUUUUAGGAGCACAUGUUGUAUUUGGAAAGGCUAUUAGAAAAUGGCAACAUGACUGUUAAUGGAAGUAAUGAUUUUCUAAAAAGGCAACCAUGGGAAGACACAUAACAAAGAUGUUUGGGGAGGAGGGAGAGUGUGCAUCAAGACUACUCAUGAGGGGUAAGAAACAAAAAAAAAAAAGUGUCGAAGAUAACUAAAAAAUUGGAGAAACAUAAAGGAAUAAGGAUUUUAGGGCUAUGGAUGGUGAACAAGAGUGAAUUAUGGGUGUCUAGGACAGCUAGGAAUGGUGAGAGGAGUAGGGAGCUGUAGAAGGUGAUGAGCUAGGUAAGAUGUAUUUUCGAGAAAGAAAAGAACCAAAGAAAGAAGGUGGUGAAUUAAGUGAGACACGUCUCAGAGAAGCAGAGAAAGUUGGCUUGAAGCCAAGCAAACUUUUGCUUGAGAUGAGCAUUGCCUAGUAAGAUUGUUUCGAUUCAUCGAUUAUUACUGAUCAUCAUACUUCUCUUGUCUUAUAUUCAUGUGAUUAUUUUACAUUGAUUGUGGGGUUGCUUUGGUUUGGUUAUUAUGGCUUCAUCCUCUAUUUCUUUAGUUUUAUUCAAGGAUAAAUCUAAUUGUGCUUUGAUUAGUUAUUCCAUAUUUGAAAAUCUUUGUGUAUUUUGGGUUUUUUCUCUUUAGAUAUUUUCUAGAUUAAUCCACUGACCUUUAAACCCACAAAUAAAGAAAAAUGAAAUGAGUUUUUUCAUAUUUGUUGGGUGUUUGGCCCUUGUUUAUCUUUUUUUAAAGCUUUAUUCCUUUAUAUUCUCUAUUUCUCCCCAUUUUGUACAUGGGUGUUUCAAUCAGAGUCUCUAUUUUGGCUUCCACAUUUGAGAUUUCUUUUAUGAGCGAAGACCCAAAAAUGGAGACUGGCUUCUUGUAAUUGAUAAAAUAGUUAGUCACCCAUUAGCUUAGAUGAAGCAUAGAUGUUAACCGGAUUGUGAACAUGGAUACUCUAUUUUGGGCCUAUUAGGCCUUCCAAUCCUCUCUUAGUUUCAUUAUUCUUGAGGAUAGUGUUUGGUUGUGUCUGCUACUUAUUCUGUGGCUUCGGUGGUCUGUUUGUUUAUUCUUGGCUAUUAUCAAUGCUAACAAUGGGAAAGAGACUGGUUUUGGUUAUGCUCUUACGGAUUUGAAGGUGAUCAAAGGGUCCAGUGAAGAGAAGAUUAGUAGGUCAUAUUAGGUUAAUUAAUUAAUUAGGACAUGUUUUGAGUUAUAUUAAGUAAUACAAGCUCUUAGUGGGCUUAAGUAACUUAAGCCUAGUGGGGAAUGCCAUAAAUACCCCUUAGGGGUUAGCAUUUCCAUAGGUUUUUCUAGAGAGUCAUCUUUCACCUCCAAAGAAGGAGAGUCAUAGCCUUUACCAUUUUUUCCAUCAUUAUCGAAGUGUGUCAAGAUUAAGGUUUAAGUCAUUGAGCGGAAGACUCCAGGUUUAUGAGACUUCAUACAACUUCGUUUUUCAUUUUCAUCAAAUGGAAUUAAUUUGAAAACAUUUGAAUCUGAAGUAUGGUUUUUGUUAGCAUAUUUCGAAUCCCUUUAAAGUUUAAAAAUGCAAAUUUUCCACUAUGUAUAGGAUUUAAAAUCGCUUAAGAUAGUUAAACAUGUUCCCCACUUGAUCUGAAUUGGGAAACGGAGAAAUCUGAUAUUUUCCCAUCACAAGGUAGGAUAAGAACUUGUGAUUGAUCUUUAUGGAUUGGACUAAUUAAUUAAUUGGAACCUAAUUAGGCUAAUUAAUUAAUUAAGACCUAAGCAAACUAGUUUAAGUUACACAAGCCUAGGAUGGACUUAAGUGACUUAAGCCCAUGGGAAGCUUAUAUAAACUCCUUUAGGGGUUAGGGUUUCAAACUUUUAUCAUCUAGUCUUCAAUUCCUUAAAGAGAAUAGAACUCGAGCCAACAACUCUCCUAAAGGAUUCUAUUGCUCCGUGUCAAGAUUCGAAAAAAAACUAUUUGAUGGAAGGUUGUUAUGUUUAUGAGAUUCGUUAUGUUUUUUUACACCUUUUCACUAAAUGGAAUUGAUAUAGGAAUGUUCAUAUCUCAAGUGCAACACACUUAUUCUCUUUAGAUUUAUAUUGCUUAUGGUUUUUUUUUUUUUUGUCAUGGUUUUCCGUUAAGAUUAGAUUAAGAGAGCCCUAUGUCAUAGAAUGCUUCAAAUGAGCCUCCCCGGGGGUUUGUAUAGAGCCCAUGAAGCUUCUAGAGACUCCUAUACUUAGCCAUUGGUGGGAAGAGUGUGAAAGGUUCUACAGAUGUCUAGAGAUAUUUACACAUCUCUACACUAUGGUGGAAGGCAUGAGAGGAGUCUAAGGCAUUCUAAAGAAUUAUAAAGAUCUCUUAUAUAUUCUUGUACAUAGGCUUGUACAUAGAAUUGUGUAGGAAGUUAUAGAUUAUUCUUGAGCUGUAAGGAACCCUCCAAGGUUCCAGAGAGUUCCAUUGGUGCCUAUAAAUAGGUGAAUGCCUCAUUUGGCCAAGACACUAAGCAAGUGAAUUCCAAAACACUUGUAAAGCUUCCUUUGAAUAAUAAAAGUUUCAAUUCUUCAAGAGUUGCCUAUUAUGCCUUCUAAAACUUCUAAGUCAUGAGCAUCUUAACCUAACAAGUUAAGCAUUGGGAGUAAUGCUAACUUAGCAAGAUCAAGGAUCUUGACUUGUCUAAGUGUUGCACGAUCUUAGGAAAAGAUUAAGUUUGUGACAGUUGGUUUCAAAGUGUGACUACGAAGUGAGCAUAGUAAAGGAAACAUGUCGAGCUUCAACAUGGAGGAAACUAGUGAGCAAACCCGUGGGAAAGAAACCGAGCCUACUGCAUAGGACAGGGACAUGAAGGAUAAAUCUCGUAAUGCCAUAGCCAACGUGGAGGCAAGGCUAGCCAAGGUGGAGCUAGCCAUGGCAGACACCCGGGAAGGGGUGGACUUAAUCGAGCAAGGCAUGGAAAAUGGCUUAGAGGAUCUAAAUGAGCAUAUCCAAGACCUUCAUGAGAGAGUGCUAGGCUUACAAGUUCGGCCGAUGUCAUAUGAGGAGUUCAUGUCCUUCCAAAACGAGGUCAUGAGCAUGUUUGCUAGCAUGGAGUCGAAGGUGGAGGCCUUGGCUGCACGCAUAGAGGCCCAAGACCAAGAGGUUCAACAAGAGCUAGCUAUCUACAAGACUGUCUUAUCAGCACGAGUCAUGGCCACUCAUGAGGCACUAAGGGUGGAAGUGCCCAAACCACACACGUUCAAUGGCAAGAGGGAUGCCAAGGAGUUGGACAAUUUCUUGUGGCACAUGGAGCUCUACUUUGAGGUUAUAACACUAAUAGAUGAAGCCACUAAGGUAUGUACCACAACCCUCUACCUCACCAAUAAAGCUACUCUAUGGUGGCGUCAGAGGUUUGCCAAUAUAGAAAAAGAAAUGUGCACCAUAGACACAUGGGAUGCCUUUAAGCAAAAGAUCAAAAAACAAUUAUACCUUAAUGAUGUGGCUUACCUAGCAAGGAAAAACACAAAAUGUCUUAAGCACACAGACUCGAUCCGUGAGUAUGUCAAAGAAUUCUCUACACUUAUGCUUGAGAUACCCAACAUGUCUGAGGAAAAGCUACUAUUCAACUUCAUGGACAACUUGCAAAGCUGGGCCGAGCAAGAGUUAAGGAGAAGUGGUGUCCAAGACCUAGCCACGGCCAUGGCGGUAGCGAAGUCCUUGGUGGAAUACAAAAAGGGAGACUCUUUUAAGCCCAAGCCACAGUCUAAGGGUAAUCAUGCUAAAGGUGGGGAAACAAGGGAUCAAGGAGGUACACUCCUAAGGAAUGAUCAAGCAAGACCUCUGGUGGCAAGGAUGGUAAGGGUAAGGAUAAACGGAAAUAGUUCACGCCUAAGAUCAAUUGCUUCCUAUGUGAUGGUCCACAUUGGGCGCGAGACUACCUCAAAAGAAAAGCCCUAAAUGCCAUGAUCGAGGAAAAGUAGAAGGAAGACAAUGCUCAUGUGGGAUCAUUACAACUCUUAAAUGAUAUCAAGGCUAAGUCAGUGCUUAAGACACCUCAAAGUAAAAGUCUAAUGUACAUAGAAGCCCUUGUAAAUAGGAAGGCUACCAAGGCUUUGGUGGACACUAGUGUCACUCAUAACUUUGUCUCGAAGGAUAAGACAAAGAACUUAGAGCUCCAAGCAUCUAAGGAAGGAGGUUGGCUCAAGGCAAUUAAUUAAGUUUCCAAGCCAUCACACGAAGUAGCACGCAGGGUGGCAAUGCACAUUGGCUCAUGGGAAGGAAUGGUCGACUUCACAGUGGCACCCAUGGACUACUUCAAGAUGGUACUGGGAAUGAACUUCCUAUAGAAAGACAAGGUCAUGCCACUACACUUCCUACAUUUAAUGGUUAUCCUAGAGGAUGAAAAGUCAUGCAUAGUCCUUACGGUCACCGAAGGUUCACCCAAGACCCCUAUGAUAUCGGUUAUGCAAGUAAAGAAGGGAUCAAAGAGGAAAGAGGUGACCUACCUCACCACUCUUAAGGAGGAAAAUGAUGAUGAGUUGGGGGAGCCCAUGCCUAAGGAAAUCAAGAGAGUCUUUGAUGAGUUCAAGGACGUGAUGUUGCCUAAGUUGCCUAAAAGACUCCUUCCUAGAAGAGAGAAAGAUCAUAAGAUCGAGUUAGAUGCAGGAACUAAGCCCCUUGCUAUGGGGCCAUAUAGGAUGGCACAACCCAAGCUGAAAGAGCUAAGGAAACAACUUAAGGAGUUGUUGGAUGCAGGGUUUAUCCAACCAUCCAAGACUCCCUAUGGCGCACCGAUUUUAUUUCAAAAGAACCAUGAUGGGUCCCUACAGAUGUGCAUCGAUUACCAAGCACUCAAUAAGGUAACAAUAUAGAAUAAGUACCCCAUUCCACUCAUUGUUGAUCUAUUUGAUCAACUUGGUAAAGCAAGGUAUUUCACUAAGUUGGACUUGAGAUCAGGCUACUACCAAGUGAGGAUUGUGGAAGGAGACAAACUGAAGACUACAUGUGUGACCCGAUAUGGCUCAUAUGAGUUCUUAGUGAUGCUCUUCGAUCUCACCAAUGUACCAACAAUGUUUUGGACACUCAUGAAUAAGAUCUUCCAUCCCUAUUUAGACUAGUUUGUGGUGGUAUACUAAGAUGACAUAGUCAUCUACAAUAGCAUCUUAGAGGAGCACGUGGAGCAUUUAAGGAAGGUCUUCAAGAUCUUAAGGUAAAACGAGUUAUAUGUAAAGAAGAAGAAAUGCUCAUUUGUUAAAGAGGAUGUGAGCUUCCUAGGGCAUCGCAUCAAAGAUGGCAAGCUGAUGAUGGAUGACAACAAGAUGAAGGUCAUCUAGGAAUGGGAUCCACCUACUAAGGUACCUCAACUAAAGUCUUUCCUUGGCUUGGCUAACUAUUACCAGUGGUUCAUCAAGGGUUACUCUACAAAGACAGCUUCACUCACUAAUCUUCUUAAGAAGAACAAGGCAUGGGUGUGAGACAAAAGGUGGCAACAAGCCUUUGAAGAUCUAAAAAGUGUUGUGAUUGAGGAGCCAAUGUUGGCAUUACCCAACCACAUGAAGGUUUUUAAGAUACACACAGAUGCCUCAAACUUUGCUAUUAGGGAAGUUCUGAUAAGAUAGACAUCUAAUCGCCUUCAAGAGUUGCAAGCUAAAUGACAUAGAGAGACGCUACAUGGUACAAGAAAAUGAUAUGACUGUCAUUGUCUAUUACUUGCACACCUGAAGACACUAUCUUCUAGGGUCUCACUUCAUAGUGAAAACCGACAAUGUUGUCAUUAGUUACUUCUAAACACAGAAAAGUCCUAAGUAAGCUAGGUGGCAAGACUUUCUGGUUGAGUUUGACGAUGCGCUGGAGUAUAAGACAAAAAGUACUAAUCAUGUGAAUGACGCCCUAAGCCGUAAUGUAGAGCUAGCAUUCAUGACGAGCCAGCCCCAAUGAGACAUAAUAGAUCUUCUAAGAGAGGGGUUGCAACAUGAUCUAGUGGCUAAGAGCCUUAUUACCUUGGCCCAUGAGGGAAAAACUAAGUGUUUUUAGGUAGAGGACGACCUACUCUACACUAAGGGGAGACUACUCUACGUGCUUAAGUGGGGGAACAUAAGGUAGAACUUGAUUAAGGAGUGCCAUGACACCAAGUGGGUUGGGCACCUUGGGCAACGACGCAUAAAGAGCACUACUCGAGUCAGCUUACUACUGAUCUUAGAUACAAGAUGAAGUUGAGGCAUAUGUGAGGACUUGUCUUGUGUGCUAACAAGACAAGGUAAAACAACAACAACCUAGAGGCUUGUUGGAGCCACUACCUAUAGCAGAGCGUCCAUGGGAGAGCAUCACCAUGGACUUCAUCAUCGGGCUACCUAAGUUGGAGGGCUAUGGCUCGAUCAUAGUGGUAGUGGAUAUGUUCUCUAAGUAUGUGACCUUCAUAGUAGCCUCUACUGACUGUACUGCAAAGGAGACAGCAAGGCUAUUCUUGAAACACAUGGUCAAAUACUGGGGGUCGCCUAAUUACAUCAUCAGUGAUCGCGAUUUGCAUUUCACUAGGAAGUUUUGGACAAAGCUCUUUAAGCUUAUGGGUUUGAAGCUUCACUUCUUCACAAGCUUUUCACCCGUAAACAGAUAGGCAGAUUGAGAGGGUGAACGCCUUAUUAGAGUUAUACUUAUCCUUCAUGAGUGUCAACCAAAAGGAAUGGACUAAGUUGCUAGAUGUAAUCCAAUUUUCAUACAACUUGCAAAGAAGUGAGACAACCAACAAGAGCCCGUUCAAGCUAGCCAUAGGGCAGCAACCAUUGACUCCUCACACACUACCAAUAGGCUAUACGAAGAGAAGUUCAGCGGCUUUGAAGUUCACUAAGGGGUGACACGAGCCAACUGACAUAAUAGCUCAUACUUGGAUAGGGCCGCUAGAAAGAUGAAGAAGUGGGCUGACAAAAAGCGACAUCACACUGAGUACAAGGUCGGAGACAUGGUCUUUGUCAAGCUCCUUCCUAAAAAAUUCAAGUCACUAAGGCCGGUACAUAAAGGCCUUAUGAUGAGGUAUAAAGGACAUUUCCCCAUACUUGGAAAGGUCGGCAAGGUGUCCUAUAGAGUUGAGUUACCACCGAGGUUGAAGAUUCAUAUCGUCUUCCACGUAAGUUACAUAAAAUCAUAUCACGAAGACAAGAAUUAUCCAAGCCAAGGGAUGUCCUAGAUGACACCUACAUCGAUUAUGACCUUCUAUGACAAGGAAGUAGAACACAUCAUUGCAGGCUGAGUCAUCAAGAGAUGAGGCGUGCCUCCUGCUACGGAGUACUUGGUGAAAUGGAAGGGACUACCAGAGAACGAGACUAGCUGGGAGCCAAUAGAUGCACUAUGGCAAUUUCAGGAGCACAUUAAGUGGUUCUAGGUGGAAGGUGCGACAAGGACGUUUACGGUUUAGGUAGGGGAGAGUGUCAUAGAAUGCUUCAAAUGAGCCUCCCCAGGGGUUUAUAUAGAGCCUAAGAAGCUUUUGGAGACUCCUACACUUAGUCAUUGGUGGGAAAAUGGUGGAAGGUUCUAAAGAUGUCUAAAGAUAUCCACACAUCUCUACACUAUGGUGGAAGGUAUGAGAGAAGUCCAAGGCUUUCUAGAAAAUUCUAGAGAUCUCUUGUAUAUUCUUGUACAUAGGCUUGUACAUAGAAUUGUGUAGGAAGUUUUAGAUUAUUCUUGAGUUGUAAGGAACCCUCCAAGAUUCCAAAGAGUUUCAUUGGUGCCUAUAAAUAGGUGAAGGCCUCAUUUGGCCAAGGCACCAAGCAAGUGAGUUCCAAAGCACUUGUAAAGCUUCUUUUAAGUAAUAAAAGCUUCCAUCCUUCAAGAUUUAUCUACUACGCCUUAUAAAGCUUUCAAGUUGUGAGCAUCUUAACCUAGCAAGCUGAGCAUUGGGAGCAAAACUGACUUAGCAAGAUCAAGGGUCUUGACUUGUCUAAGUGUCGCACGAGCUUAGGAAAAGACUAAGUUCAUGACACCUAGGACUAGUAGCAUGCACCCUAAGUAAUCCAAGGCUAGAAAUGAAAUGAUACAAGGAUUCCCAACACUUGACUUAAUUCCUUAGAAAUUGAAACUCAAUAAAAAACAUUAGUGUCAUUAACCUCAUUUUUUUUAUUACCAAUACUUAAUUAGGGGAAACCUUGAGCUAACAACCUCCUCAUUUUUUAUGAUGAUAAAACUGUACCAUCUAAAGAAAGCUUUCCUUAAUGUAUGCAUAUUAUAAGCAAUUUAAACAUUCAUCAUAAAAGAUGGAAAACAUAAACUCAAAUGGAGACAUGGAUAUAUAGAUAUAAGAGACAUCAUAAAGGUUGCAACAUGAUCGUAUAUCCGAAAUAGCAUCCAAAAGCAUGUCAUCCAAAAAAAAAUCAACCAUAAUAACCAUGUUCAAAUUGUCCCAAAAAGGAAAAAAAUAUAUAUAUGAAACAAAAAGUAUUAAAUAGUUUACUAAAUGUUAUGCCCUAGAUACCUAAAGAUAUCUCCCCCUUAGGCAACAUCGAAACAAUGAGGGAACUAUAUGGCUCAAGGUUGAGGUGGUGGAAACAAGGAACAUAGGACAGCUAUUGAAGAAGCUAAAAUUCUUCAUAAAUGAUUGAAUUUUAUUUCACCAUGAGAAACAAUACAAAGAGGGAUUUUUUUUUUUUUUUUUUUUUUUUUAUCAAGGGGAAGACCCCUUUCUCUUUACUACUUAUCCCUUUUAAUAAAAAUUCUUCCACAUUUUUCCACUUUAUUUUGCCAACAUUCUUUCAACCCCUUUUGCACAAAAAUGCCAAAGAUAGUAUUAGGAUAACCUUUUACAACCAUUGCUAACUUUUGACACAAGUUGCUAAAAAUUGUUGAAGAUUUGCUUUUAAUGUCAGGUAGGAUAGCAGAUUGGUUCUAAUUGAAGGUCAUUUCUUGUGGAGGACCUUACUUAUAAGUGAGAUGAUUGUUCCUAUCUUCAUGGUUUUAUGUUGUAUAGUUAUAGAGACUUUUUAGAGGCUAUCAGCUUUAGAGCAAAUUUAUGUUGUUUGUUAGGGAUUAAGUAUUUUAUUCAAAUUGGGUGAAUGGUACUACCUCUUUACUUGAGAUGGCUUUGAGAUUGGGUGGUUGAAUAGUAGUACUUUGGAAUGGUCUAGUUUUUGUUCGCUUUAGCUAUCAUUUUCUUAUGCUGUGUCUAUAGACGAGUGGAGACGUCAUUUGGAAAUUGGUCAAAUUGCCCGUGAAAUUGAUCAAAUUGUCAAGUUGUCAUCCUAAAAUUGACUAAACCUAGUUUGUAAAAAUGAGAAACGACCGUCACUAGCGACUAACAUCUUCUCAAGCUAAGUAUUAAUAGAUCCAAUCUGAGCAUAAAGGGCAUCUUAAUGUUGCAGGUUCAAUGCUCAUGAAGCAUAAUAUUUUGGAUACUUGGUGUGAGACACCUCAGCAUAAGUCUAAUCCAUAAGGAUAGUCUCCUCAGGAGGUUGAGAUGUGGGCAAUUGAAUGGUGGCAUCCAUGCCCUUGGUUUGCAUCUCCUGUUGAACAUCCUCACCCCCUAAUCCUUUAUGGUCACCCUCAGUCUCUAUCUAUAGAAUCUCUGCCUCUUACUCAACCCGGUCUUCAUUCAUAGCAGGACCCUUUCUUUUUCUUUCCAAUGAUCCAUUAGGCAAUUUCUCAAACAGCAUUCGGUCUGGAUUUUACGUUAUAGGUAUCAUAGGAUGAGGCCUGAAUGUUUUUUUCUCUUCUUAUGUCCACAUUGAAUGCUUUCAGGAUUUUUGUGAUCAGUCUUCUUCCGUUGGCCACUACUUUAGAAUUGCUUUUACAACAGUUUUUCAUGUGUUGAAAGAUGAUAAGGAAACCUUAGAAUGGAUCGGAGUCAAUAGAAAAUGCUACAUAAUAGGACACCUUGUCUCUAUGUCCACCCUUAGGUAGAAAAAUAUGUUUGAUCAUGUGGUGGUGCACCCUAGAGAUAAUGCUCAAGGCAUGGGCAUGGAGCUUUGAAGUCACUGUGUCGAUGGGUAAGUUACAUAUCCUCUAGAAAGCCCUACCUAGGUUAAAACUAGACACUAUAGGCCAUCCCUUCGUCUCAAAUAAACAAAGUCCCCCACAAAGGAUCUCCAAAAUAUCACAAAGCAUAUCAAUAUUUAGUUUAAUUCAACUCCUCUAACAAAUGUGCUAAUUGGCCUUCAUAUAUUUUAGGUUCAAGUAAAAUACCUGAACAAGGUUGGGGUAUGUAGGCUCUCUUGAUGAGAUGGUAUUGGUGAGUAUUUUUUUUUCUUCAAUACAAAACUAUUACAACACUUGGUUUUUUUUUUUUCUAAAAAAAAAAGAAAAAUAAAAAUAGUUUUAUAUUAUACUUAGUUUCAAGAAAAAUAAUAAUCAAAGCAAAAUGAAAAAAAAAUUCUCAUAUUGGUUUCUCGUGAAAAAUAUAAAAGCAAAUAAAAUACAAUUAAAAUUAAUUAAAAUCUUAUGUAUUUUUAAAUUAUUAAUUUUUAUAUAAAAAAUGAAAAAUAGUAUAAUGAAUUUAGAAGAAUAUAUAAAAAUAAUGUAUUAACUUUAAAUCUUUUUUUCUUUAUAUAUAUAUUUUCCCUUCAAUUUUCUAAUACCAACACAUAAUAAGGUUAAUGUCUUCUAGCCAACCAAUUGUAAGUCAAUUUUCAUAGAGCUUUUUUUUUUUUUUUUUUUUACAUGCCACCAAGUAGUUAUAUAAGCAUUUUUGCAUGUUAUUGUUAUCCAACAUACAAUAACUAUAACAUCCAAUUAUUAUGAACAUGAACAAUAAAAUUAGAUGCAACUAACUAUUUAGUGUAUAACAAGAAGUUGGUGAAGUAAUUCAUCCUAACAUGAUUCAACAAUUUUUGUUUAUUUUUCAAGAUUAAUUAUAACAUACCCAUUCUAUUAAAGUUGUUGAGAUAUUUGAGCAAAACUAAAAAUCAACAUUAAUUCAUUUUAUACCCACAAGAGAAAUAAGAUUUGUUUUUUUGUUUGAUAAUAAAGUAGUUGUAGUUAUUAAUGAUAAUUUUGAUCCUAAUUUAAUAGGUAUCCAAAAAAAAAGGAAAAAUGCAAGUAAACCAAUUCUUAUCUAACACAAUUAUUACCACCUUAAAAUCCUGAGGGGUAGCUCAGUUGAUCAGUUCGAGUCCCUUUAGGACCAUGAAAAGCUUACCCGAUGGUUCACCUUAAGAAAAGCAAAGCAUUUAUAUAAUUCAACUGGUAGUUGAUAAGUCUUAGAAAGGGUUUUGCCAUCAUUGGCUUCUCAGUAAAGGGCAAAUUUGGGUUGUGGCUGACAAUUAUUGAAUUUGUGAAGAAAUAUGUGAAGAAAGGAAACAAAAAGAGUUGAGGACAGAAUUCUUCAAUUAAAAAAUGGUUAGCCCAUGAACCCAUUCUUCAAACAGUAAGCCAAUGAGCCAAUGAGCCAAAAAGAAAGAAGAACAGCUGGUUUCAUCUUUUUAUCUUAAUGACUUUGACAACCCAUCUUUCUUUUAAAUACUUGUGACUUUGGAAUAUAAUUAAAAUGAAACUUUGGAAUGCCCACAUCUGAUUCACGGCCUUUUUACCUGUUUUCUUGUUUAACAUUUUUUUAAAUAUUAUAACAGAUGGAAAAACAUGAUUCUAACAGGCUGGAAAAUAGUGGAAGUUGGAACACCAACCAUAACCAAACUAUACCUUCCAUCUUUCUCCAACACUCGGAAUUAUUGAUACAAGUUGGUGGUUUUAUGAUUGUUUCUAUUGAGGGGACCCCUCUCCAUUUCCAAUUUCAAUGGAAAGGUUCUUCUUUCCCUACUUUUUUUUUUUGUUUUUCAAAUUCUUGUAGUUUUGUCUGUCUCUCUCAACAAAGCAAACUGCAAUCACUAAUUCAAAGAAAAGGAAUCCUAAAUGAAAAGAAAAGAAAGGAAAGGAAUGGUAAUUUAGGCUAUGAUGAUGCUCCUAUAUAAUGGCUGUAAGUCAAUAACAACACACUGGACCCGCCUCCUAUCUCAAAAGAUCACAAACCCAAAUAUCAUAUACUUCCAAAUUUCAAUUUGGUUCCCUGUUUAUAUCACAAUCUGUCCUAUAUCCUCUUAAUACAUCUAAAAUCUCUCUAUAUCAUAAAAAUAAUGAUGGAAAAAAAAAUUAAAAAGAAAGAAGGAAAAAAUGACAAAAAAAAAAAAACCUUGGUGCUGCUAUGGGUCCAUAGGAAUUGGCAGGACUGCACUUCUGGAUCCCCUUCCAUGGCCAAAAGAAAAGAAUGAUCUUCGGAAUCUGCUGCUGCAACCUUCACUAGGGCUGAAGUCACUGACAGGCCUGUUCUGUUGCAAAAUCUCUUGAAUUGCUAAAUACAGCUGCCUGUCGUUGGAUGAGUCCAUUGAAAAAGACCUCCUGAUGGGUUGGAUUGAGAACUGAUCAUCUUUGCCUCUAGUGUCAAUGCACUCAUCACCCAUGCUUGCAACAUGAUGAAACUUCCUUGCCUUUUUAGGCACAAUUCUCUGCUCUAGCUUCCUAGGUGAUGGACUAAUUGAUGGCGCAGAUAACUCUCUGGAAUUCAGUCUUUCUGGUGGCCUAAGCAGUGAUGAAUCAGCAGAACUAUCAUUUCCCAAUUCAAUUACUACAAAAUCUUCAUCCCCUCCUAUGUAAUUAUUGGCGUAGGGGCUUGGAUCUUGGGGGGAAGAGCUAGGAGCAAUGAUUUGGUGAACAGGAAACCGGGGUGUGGUUGAAAUGCUUGUUCUGCAAAGUGGGCAAUUAGCAUUGCUUUGAAGCCACACGUCUAUGCAAUCUAUAUGAAAUAUGUGACUGCAGUUUGGUAUGAUUCUUAGCUUCUCUUCUUCUUGAAACUCAUUCAAGCAAACCGCACACUCGCAAUGGCUUCUUUCUCCAAACUCUCUGCCACCUCCUUUCCUGAACUGGAAUAUUGGGAUUGAUCUGAUGACUGACUCGUCCAGGCCUCGACUCUCGAUUGCUGGGGAGUACACCAUUAAAGGGUCUUCCGGGUGCCGACUCCUUGAGAAAGAAAAUCGUCUCAGCAGAUCAAUCCGGUGCCAAUUGAGGCAGCAUUUGAUUACAAAGAUGUAGUAGCUCACCAGCAAGAAAGCAGUGGCCAGGAUUCCUAUUACGGCAAUGGCUAUAAUGGGGAAACUGGUGUCCGAGGAAUGAGAGGGAGAAGGAAGCACUGAGCUCGCCUGGCUUUUGAUGGGAGAAAAGGCUUGUGAUCCAUGGAUGGAGGAGUCUGUGCUCACAAGAUCCAUGAGAGAGGCUAUGAAAAACAUUUAGAAAUGAGUCUAUUCGGAUCUUCAAUUCACAGAAACAUGCAAAUGCUAGAAUAAAAUCGACAGACACUCAGAUAUAGACCCUACAGUUGUAAUGCAGCAUACCAUAAAUGUGAUUGAGUGAGUGAGGCUGAAACAGCAAAUGGGUCACUUCAAGAUCUCAACAAGACAGAAAACCCAUGUUGAAUUCACCAGGAGAGUAUUGAAAAGGGAAAAAUUAAGGACAUAUAGCUGUAUUGAAAGUUGAAACAAAUGCAGAAACAUAGAGAAGAGAGAGAGAGGGAGAAAACCCAGGAGGGUUGAAUGAGAGCGCUGCUGGGGAAGACAUCAAAACGCUUCAAAUUCAAUGAGAAUCUGUUGGGGACCUCUUUAAGAGGACUGCACAAAGCCUGAGCGUAGGGUACGUGGUUGGUUGGUGAAUUUCUCGGCUUCCAAAAGAGAAAUUUGGUGAGAAAAUUUUCAAGUCUCUUGAUUAUAGUAACGUAGCGUUUAUUUUAAUUUUAUGUAACCGAAACUAAUGGGCUGGUUCAAAAAAAUAAAAAAUAAAAAAAGGAACUUUCUAGGAUAGGCCAGCAGUCCACCGUUGGUCAUGUGGUUUCUUUUGCAUGUCCACAUCUUCCAACUAGUGGAGGUCCCUGUCACAACAGUAAGAAAACACCCAAUUGAAUAAAAGUAUGAACUUUUGGCUCCCAAUAUUACUUAUGCCCUCAUUCAAUACCUCAAAUAAAGCAGAGAUUUUGUGUCCCAACUUUUAUGAUUUCAUUUCAUCUUACUUCAAAUGCUAAUGACAAAAGUCCAAGUAUAUUCUGUAAUCACCCACACCCCAAUAGUUUUGAAUCACACUUGAAAUAGUUCCCAUGCUUUCUUAAUAAUUUAGAUAAUUAUUUACAGAAAAAAAAAUUCAGAACAGGAUGAUAAUCAUUUUGUGAUAGCAUGGAAGAAACUUUACUAGCCACUUUGGCCCCAUGAAGUUGAGUACUUGAUGCCAAUUAAUGGCAGGGUGGAAAAUAGAGAAAAGGGAUCAUAGUCAAAUCUAGAGUACAAGGCAUUGAAUCUUUGUUAAUAAUUAACAAAUGGGUAAAGCAUGGGUCACAGGGUCUACAGUUUGGAUUGCAAAAACCUCAGGCUUCUAUAAAAAGCUCAUCCAUUAUCAAUCAUCAAUCUGAAAGCCAGAAAGUCCAAGGCACAUGCAACCCACGACAGGGGUAAGAUUUCUGCAUCAUGUCCCUGAGUUGCAUUCACAUCAUAUGUUUCCCUCCGGGCCGUUCCAAUUUGAAAUCUCAUGGAAAUCUUCAAGAGCAAGGCUACAGAGUUUAAGAUAAUACUAGGGGUGGGUCCUGAUGGGAAAAGAGGUAGUGUAGGAUAGUCAAUAAAGGGCAUGUGUCUCUGGUGUGAAGUCAAAUCCAGUGUACCAUCCUCAAUGGAAAAUUUAGAAAUAGAACCGACACUCUACAGACUGCCGUGUUGACAGAUUAGAGAAAGACAAACCCACUUACACUUGCCUCAAAACCCAGUCCUGCCAUUUCAAAGGCAAAAAAAAAGGGUUUCUUUUUAUAGUCAAAGGUUGAGGCCUGGCCUGGCCUAGCAAAGAAACUUCACCUACUCUUUUCUUAUUUUUCAAAUUAAGGCCAUUCAACUUUUCCUGUUUGCAGGCUUGCUGCCAUAUCUUACUCCAAAAAAGGUGAAAACCCAAAAGAAAAAGAGUGUUUGCUUCAAUGGAAAACUCAUGUUUAAUAAAUUCACCGCACGAGUUUUGUUCCAGCUUUUCCUAUGAAAGCUGUGAUGCGUUUGGUAUGAAGUUGAUUUUGUUCCUAAAAAUUUUGAUCUUGGCGUGGAAGGCAACUUUUUCCUUUUCCCCCUUUUUCUUUUUGAAAAGUUCGGCAUUAGUUACCAAAUGUCCUUUUACUUGCAUGUAGGACAGCGGAAGCAUUACACAUCGCAGCAAAAUCCCAUUUACCCGAAUUUUCCACUAACUCUUUUUAUUUUUUACCAUCAUUUUUUAAUAGAAGUGAUGCACUCUUCAAAUUACAUGAAGCUUUUAAGAAGGUAAUAACCCGUUUCAAAGCGAACUUAACCUACAGAGUAUGUUUUAAAAAUAUUUAGGUAUUUGAUAAAAUUUAAAAAAUAUUUUUUAAAAUCUUUAAAAUGAUUUGUAAUAUUGAAAAUUUAUUUAUACUUUUUUUAAUAAAAAAACAUUUUAUAGGUAAUUUUUCUAAAAUACUUUUAGAGAAAAUGUCUUCCCUUCACUAUAAAUAUUAUAUACUAUCAAAUACACUUUAAAAAUCUGUUUAACAAUAAUUUUAUAAAGUGUUUUUAAUUUUAAAAAUAUUUUUAAAAACAAAUUAAAUUUUUGAUAAAAUUUAAAAAAUCUUUUUAAAAAUUUUGAAAAAUAUCUCGUAAUAUUAAAAAAUAUAUAUAUUUAUAAUGUUUUUUAUAUAAAUACUCAAAAUUCAUUUAAUAGUGAUUUUAGGAAAUGUUUUUAAUAUUUCUAAUACUUGAAAAUUUUUUAUCAUUUAAGUAUUAAAAAUAUUAAAAACACUUUAUAAAAUCACUUUCAAAUGGACUCUUAAUGAUUUUACUAAAAACACUUUUCAUAGAAAACAUUUAUAAAAAAUAAUUAUGAAAUACACUCUAAAUUAAGUAAAAGUUGUUUUUAACAUUACCACUAUUUAUUAAUAGUGCAUUUGUUUAAAAUAUUUAUAUGAAAAAUUCAUUAGGGUGGGAUAUAAAUAUAGAAGUGUUUUUCUUUAUAUAUUUUUUAUAAUAAAAAAUGAUUUUUGAAAUUAUAAAAUUUGAAUUUAAGAAUCAUUUGAUAAUAAUUUUUGUUAAAGCACCUUUAAUACGUGGUGCUUCUAUUGAUAGCGCUUUCAUUUCUAUGAAUGGCUAUAAAUUAUAUUUGAAUAAAUUUUUUAUAAUGUAUUAUAUAAUAAAAAAAAAGUCAUUUUUAAAAAAAUUAUACAUUAAAUGAUUAUUCAAAUAGUAUUUCCUAAAUUUUAUUAAACAUUUUUUUCAAAAAAAAAAAAAAAGUUUUCAAAUACUAGAAAACGUUUUUAAUCUCUCACACGAUCACAUCCAAACAAGUCCUAAUGCUACUCCUAGAAACACUCCAAAACAAAAGUCUUCCUCUAUUAAUGUUCAUAAAAUCCACAUAUAUUCUUCCAUCGUUUUUUCAAAAUUCAAAAUCAUUUCUAAAACAUCAAAUCAUGUUCUUUGGAUUGGCUGACUUGUUUUUUGAAAAUAGAAGGCUCAUUAUUGACGUCCGUUGACUUCAUAACCCAGUCUUGAUCUCUUGAUGGAGGGCAUAAAUGUAAAUUGGACGAAACCCUAGGGUGCGCUAGAGUGUAGAGGAUGAAAGGUUGGAAAAAGGAUGAGGUGGGGGUGUAAUAAAGAGGAGGGUUGGGAGAAUGGGACAUGUGUAGGUGAAGCAUUAAAUUCAAGACUAUGCUUACCAACAACAUAUAAAUAAAUAAAUAAAUAAAUAUAGGAACAGCACAUGGGGUGAGUAGGAGACAUCAGAAGAUGUGAACAACCCCUUGUCAGUCCAAUUUGCGUCUUUUAUCUACUCUAUUAUCUAUAUCGAUUUUCGUAUUUAUUUAUUUAUUUAUUUAUUUUUACCAUUUGAUUUUGCAUGGAUGUCGAAGGGUUUAUUGGCUGCCACGUGUAGGGUUAUGGUCAAGAUCACGUGGGGUGCCUACAUGGGAGUCACGUGAGUGCAUGAGGCAGGCUUGAAUUGCAGGAGGAGCAGGAGCAGAGCAGUGGCUGUUGUCUUAAGACUUUGCUCUCUUGGUGGAACUGCAGCUUAAGCAGCAUCCACGUGUUGUCACGUGCAAUGCGAGCCAUCCACACCACCAGUUUCUUUUUAGUGAUUUUCUAAAGUCAGUUAAGGUUGCAGUCAAUACCUUCAAAUGUUGACAGAGUUAGGGAUCUUUGUUAAAUGGAUUUUAUUAAGAUAUUAGUAAGUUAAUUAAUUGAGGGUCAACAUAACAGAUGGGUCGGGUUGGGUUGAAUCUGAAUUUAAAACGAUUUAAUUUAUGUUUAAUCAAAUUUAACAUUUAACUCGAAGCACUCAACUUAAGUUUAAUUGAAUCUUAGUUUUCAAAACAUUAUUUAAAUUUGGGUCAUUUGGAUUAAAGUCAAAUGGGUUAGAUUAAUCGGGUUAUAUGGUUCAAAAUCCACUUACCUUAUUUUUUAUACAUUAAUAUUAAAAUUUAAAUAAAAAAUAUUAGAAGAAAUUUCAAACUUGGGAUUAGUUGAUUGUAGCCAUGCAUUUGGAUGUUGGUAUUCUUGUUUCUUGUCUUGUUUCCAAAUACCCUUUCAAAUCGCUUUGUUAUUCAAUAGCAUCCUCCCGAUCAUUUAAAAAUUUAAAGAGCAUUGGUAUGAUGGAGGAAUUCAGAAAUUUUAGUUGAAUAAGUAAAAUUUUUCUCUCAUAAAACCAAAUAGCCUCUAUAGCUCAGUGGUAGAGCGUCAGUCUUGUAAACUGAAGGUCUGUAGUUCGAUCCUGCAUGGAGGCAACUUUUUAUAUUUCAUGAUCCAUUAUGCUCUAGUGAUUUAGUUUUCAUUAUAAUUUUAGAUUAAAAAAUUACAUCAACAUUUGAUAAGUUGGUUAUGACUUUGAUAUAAGGAUGAAACUAUCAAUAAUAUAUAUAAAUAUUUUGACACAAAAUAUCUAAUAUAUUAAAAAAUUAAAAAAAAACUCUAAAAAACAUUAUAAAAUUAUAUAUAUAAUUUAUCAUAUUUAAUAAUAAUAUCUUCUACCCUAAUAAAAAAUAUAAAUUUUAUAAGCAUACAUUUAUUAUUACAUUGUAUUAUAUAUUAUUUUACAAGAAUAUUAUGAUAACAUGUCUAAUUUUAAAAUAUAUUUAAUAUUAAAAUUAUCAUCAAUUUUAAUUUAAAUGUAUUUAAUGAUAUCAAAUAAUAUAUAUAUAUAUAAUUUUUUAAUAUUUAUAUAUUUUUAUAUUUAAUAAAUAUAUAAAUUAUGUAAAAAAAAAAGACCUAUUAAGAAGAUUAUGUUUUUAUAUUUGGAUCAAAAUUAAGUUUUUCCGAUAAAAUAUAUGAAACUAUUGAUAAAUUAUUGAUUGAAACGUGAAAAAAAAAAUUCAAAAAAUAGAUGAGAUAUUAGUAAAAUAUCCGAAAAUAUUGAUUGAUGAAUAUAUCAUUUCAAAUUUUGCAUCAACAUCCACAUAUGUUGGAUAUAUUGGCCAAAUAUAUUUAAACCUUGUUUCCAUGAGAAGUCUUUCCUUCAACAAUUUCAAAAGGUUAAUGAGGUGGUUUCCAAGAGAUGUGUGUAGGGGUCUCCAACGGGCGGGCCGGGCCAGCGGGCUUUUUGAAAUAAGCCAAAAUGGCUUUCAAAAAAGGGAAGGGAGAGGAUUUAAACCCCUUCCUUCAUGCUUAAAUUUCAAGGUUCUAACCAAUUGAACUACAUUCCUUUAAUGUUUAUUAAUUGAGUUAGUUAUAUAUAUAUAUAAAAAUAAAGUAUAUUAUUUUUUAAAGGGGCGGGCCUACGGGCUGGGCCGGGCCGAAAGCGGGCCACGGGCCACGGGCUUUUUGGAGACCCUUGGAUGUGUGCAAUCACAUUUGGUAUUAUAGGUGACAAAGUUUGAUAAAUGAGUAAUUAUUAGGUUAACUUAUAAAAUCCGAAUUUGAUUUAAAUUGAUUCAUUUAAUAAUCCCAUUUAUUUACCCAAUUAAAACUUUAAAUUAUUUAACUUAUAUUUAAUUUAAUUAAAAUUUGUUUUUAAAUAAAUAGAUCAAUUAAAACAUAAACAUAUUUGAUUGAAACAUUAAUAAUAUAGAUUUAAAUAAGACCUAAUUCAACCUAACGAUCAAAUAGAAAUAUCUAAUUAUUAAAUAAAUUAAACAUGUUACUUGCUUAAUAAUUAUGUGACAUUUGAAUUUAUGCUUUUGAUAUAAUUAUUAUUUAUAUCAGGUUUAUAUAAUGAAAUAUCUAGACUUUGACACCAGUCAACAUUGUCCACCAAUACAGAUUGCAACUCUUAUAUGCUACAUCACAUCAUGUUGAAGGAAGAGGAUGACGUUCAUUGGCAGCAGAGCCUCCAAUCAUAAGGAGCUUGAGCAAAUUCAAUCUCAACACUGAAAUUCACUAGAAAAAAAGUUUAUUAUUGAUACUUCAUUUGUGUAAAAGCAUUAUAUUUCUUGCAUCAAUCGUAAAGCAUGACAUUCCAGUAGGUACGGAAGAGAAAAUUUGUUAUGAAUUGAAAAAUCUGUCAAGCUUAAUUUGGAGGGCCCAAAAUUGACACGUUUAAGAGCUCUAUCAUUAGCCCAAUGAUAAGAGUCCAUUUCUUGAGUUUCAAGGAAGGCCCAAGUUUAACUUAGAGGGCCCAAUCUUGGUACCUUCUAAAAGGUGCAAACUUUGGCCCAAUUAUAAAAGCUUAUCCUUGCUUCCUAAGCAUCAAUGAUAUAUUUGAUCGAAGUAUUCACAUAACUAUCACGAAAUGAAAUGAAAUGAAAAUGUAUAAGUAAAUGAUGAUUUUGAGUUAUUUACUGACAAUAAAGAAUUAGGUGGUGUUUGUUUUUUUUUUUUUGGCUUUUUACUAAAAGCAAUUUGUUUUCAGAAUUUAGGUUAUUUAUUUUUCUAUUUUUUCAUGACUUAUUAUAAACUUUUUACUAAAUAAGAAAAUCCAAAAUAUAUAGUUUUUUCUAAAUAGAAAAAAUAACAUAUUGGUUUUCUUUUUUUUUUACUUUUUAAUAUUUAAUAGAAAUAAAAUAUUAUAAAAACAAACAACCUAAUAUUUAACACUAUUAAGUAUUAAGGUUUUAUUUAGAAUUAAGUAAAAAAACAAACACUACCUUAAAAUGAAAAGUAUGUAUAAUGACCUUAUACAAAAAAAGUCUCAUUAUUUUCUUCCAAAGAACUCAUACUUUUGUUUUUCAACUAUUACUUUGUUUUUAUUUUUUAAAUAAUAUUUCAAGUUUUUUUUAAUAAUACCUUUCUCUUUAUUAGAUAAUUUUAAUGACUUUAAAAGUAUUUUAAUAUAUUAAUUUAUUAUAUAAUUUUAAUGAUUUAAAAAUAUUUAAAUGUUGAAAUAUUUAUUUUCAAGUCUAAUUUUAAUUAUUUAUUUUUUGAAGUAUUUAAAUAUAUAAUAAAUGUGGGAUUAUGUAAAUCUAGUUGUAAUUAUUUAUUUCAUUCUAUUCAUGUUUUUAGUUGAAUUUGCUCAAAAUUUACACCUCUUUAUUUAAAGAUCAUGGAUUAGUUAGGUGUCUUGAGAUUUUUUUUCUCUCAAGACACUACUUGUUACACUAGAAAAUAAUUUGUGGCUAUAUUUUUUAGGCAAAAAGAAUUAUAUGUUAAAACUUCCUUUAUUGACUAGUUUAUCAUAGGGUGUAGAGGAAAGUUUGUGAUGUCUUUUUAUGUCAACUUUGGGAGAAAAAUAUCACUUUAGCAUUUUCCUUAGAAAAUUUUCAUACAUAAUUGAUUUUGGAACUAUGGAGGAGCAUAAGUAGGGAUAGAUAAUUCGAUUUUGGAAAAAUUAUAAUAGCUUUUCAACUUGGUGUUAAUGAUAUAUUGUUUAUUUCUUAUUUUUUUUCCAUUUUAAUAUAUAAUUGGGGAUUUUAAACUUGUAGAACAAGGCUUUUUCAAUUGAAUUGACACGUACAUAUGAAAGUUCUCUUUGGUUGCUAAUCACAUUUUUUUUUCUUUUGCUUUUUGUUUUUAUCAUAAUGAAUAUUGAACUCGAAAUUCAGUUUUUAAAAUCUUAUGAUGUUUUAAAGUUUAUAAAUAUUAUUGAUUUUUAUAAAUGAUGUUAUUCAUAUCUUGGUAAAGACAAUAUUUUCAUAUCGGUCAAGAUGAUUAAUAACAUAUAAGUUCAUAAAGAAAAACCUAUUGAUUAAUGGAUAUUUAAUGAUUUUUAUUAGGAAUGUUUUUUAAUUAGUUUCAAUACUCAUCUUUUAGAGCAUACAUAUAGGGUUUUAGAUGCUACAUUGGUUUUCAGCUUGUGAUUUAAAUUAUUGAAGCAAAAAAUGAGGGUUUUGCUUUAUGGAACUAUCUAAAGGGAGGUGAAUUAGGCGGUCUUCCUUUUUAAAAUCCAAAAAUUAGAUUUUUAAUACUUAUAUUAGUUAUACAUGUGUUCAAUAAUUAAAACAAAGAACAAGUCCAUAAUUUACAUGUGAUGUGCAUGGAAAAACACCUACAAAUUCUCUCAAAUACUUUACAAAUGAAAAAAAAAUCAAGGAUCGAUCAAUCACAGAGCAACUUCACUAAAUAUGAAAACAUGACUAUACAAUUUUACUUGGAUGAGGUGCUACCUUCUCUUAAGGGUUUUUACACUAGCCAACAAUUACACUCACCUUCACUCUCACCAUGCACCUCUAUUGUGCUCCAUAGUAAACACUUUAAUGACUGUAGCAAGAUUGCGAUAAAUUACUGCGAUUAAUUUGAGAGUGUUGAUAAUGAACAAAAAAUAAUGAUAAUUAACUAGAGAGCAUAUGAUUUUGUAAAAACACCAAAAAGAGGCAUAGUUAUAAGUGAAAACUUUAAUGGAUUGGAUUGAAUAUAUAAUUGAAGUAUGAAUGAAAAAUUACCAAAACAAUGUUCAAAACCGUGCUAAUCAAAGCACAAUCACUUGAGUACUCUCAUGGGGCACUUGAAUGCUCCUUUUAAUCACCGUAAUGCUGAAAUUAAUAAUUUGUCUCAAAUUGUUUUUCCAAAACAUAAAGCAAAAUAUUAUAAAUUUAUAUAAUCAAACCCAAUUUCAUCUUAAAGCUAGCCUACUUAGUCUUAAUUCAUGUCCAAAAAUACUCAUACUUGUCAAAGAAUGAAUAUGGUAUAAACAAAUUCUUUAUUUUCAAUUAUAUUCAAUUAUUGAAAGAAUAAAUCGGUUUACAUACAUUUUGAACAAAGGUAUAUACACAUAGACUAAAUCAAGGAAAUGAGGAAAUCAAUCACAAUCAAAUCAAAAUCAAAUGAUAGGUUGAUAUCUAGGAGAAGGUUAAGUUAGAACCAACUCAUGUAUUCAAUAUUCCCCCUUAAGAUGGCAUAUGGAGAUCAUGAAUAUCAAACCUAGAAAGUAAGGGAUAUGAAAUAUCUAUACCAAGGGAUUUUAUGAAAUAUCAACCAAUUGUUGUUGUGAUUAAACAAAUUGAAUAAGAAUAAUUUCAUUUCGAAUCUUUUCAUAGAUCAAGUGACAAUCAAUUUCAACGUGUUUAUUCUGUUCAUGGAAAAUUAGAUUAAUAGCAAUGUAUAGAGUUGUAUUAUUGUCACAAUAUAGAUGCAUUGACCAAGGAUGAUGAACUCCAAAAUCUAUAAGUAAAUAUUGCAACCAAUGCAAGUAGUAAUCAUUAAAUAAUAUUUCACUUUUCUUCAUGAGUGUUAUAUCAUUGAUUGCUUUUUAGAUCUUCAAGAGAUUGAUAGGCCACCAAGUAAAAUACAAUACCCUAUAAUUGAACAUCAAGAUUAUGCACAAUAGGCAUGGAGGAAGGCAAAAGAAUUCCUUGACCUAGACGAUUUUUUAAAUAGUAUAACACUCAUGUACUUGUGAGAUAAUUGAGACUACAUUGGCUUGUCAAGAAUUUGAACAUAAUUAGCAAUAUUAAGCCCUAUCAUUAUGAGUCAAAGUAACUUCCCAAUCAAAUGCCUAUAAUAAGAAGCAUCCAACAAAGGUUCUCUAUCUAAUUUACUCAAUUCCAAAUUUUGUUUCCUAGGAGUUUUUAAAGUUACAUGUUCCAAGAAAACCAAAAUCUUUUAGUACUUCUAGAGCAUGUUUUCAAUAACUUAAAUAAAUCUCAUUCUUAAAAUAUGUCAUUUCAAUGAUGAUGAAGUACUUUAAUUUUCCAAUCUCUUAGUUAGUUUGAAAAUGCUAUAUAGGUUUUCCUUGACCACCUUAAUUCCUUUAAGAUCAUUCAUUGUAAUAAUUAUAUCAUAAAUGUAAACAAGAAUGAUUGUGAAAUAGUUAUUUGAGGCUUGAGCAAAUAAGAAGUAAUAUGUACGUCUUGGCUUGCUUGUAAACCAUAAACAUCAAUGUGAUAGAUAAUUUGGCAAACCAUCAACGUGAAGCUUGCUCAAGGCCAUAAAGGGAUUUUUUAACUUUGCAAAUCAUAUUUUUGGUUCUAGAUUUCCUACAAACUUGGUGGAAGCUGCAUGUAUACCUCUUUAUCUAAGUCUUCAUAAAGAAAAACAUCGUUGAUGUCAAGUUGGUGAAGAUGUCAAAUUCUAAUUAUACAAUAAUUAGGGGUGACAAUGUGUCUUAUCGUGUUGAGGUGAGAAAUAGUGAAAAUUUACUUAAUCCGACUAUGACCCGUUUGAUAAUCGUGUCAAAAUAACCUAACAUGAAUACAAUUAGUUUAUUUCAUGUAACAUGACCCUUUUAACAUGUUUAAUAAAUAUAUUAACUUGGAUUAUGUAUUAAUUGACAUGAAUAACUCAUUAACUUGAUUUCAACCCCUUAAACUCAUUAACACAAUUCCAACCCAAUAAACUCGUUAAUAUGAUUUAACUCAUUAAACUUGUUAAUAGGAUUAUAACCUCUUUAACCUAUUUAAAAUUUUAAAUUUAUAAAUAAUAAAAUACUUCUAGAAAGUUUAAUUUUUAAAAUUUGAACUAUAAUACAUGUAUGCACCAAUUUCAUGAAGUCCUGAAAAAUUAGCAAAAUUAUAGAAAAAUAAUAUAAACAAAAAUUUGUAUUAAAAUUAAUAAGUAUGGGCUACAAUAUUAGUCAUAGUACUGCUUAUUUCUGAAUGACUUUAUUAAAAAGCGAAGAAUACAUGUGUAGUUCUUAUGUGAUUUCUUAAACUUGUAAGGCGAUUUUAUAAAGUUUUUUUUUUCUUUGUGAAACCUCUUUUUCUAUGUGAAAUUGUUUUGCCGAUUUGAAAUCUUCAUUAAAGGAAGUUACUAUUAUUUAUAAUUGAAAUUAGAGAAUGAAAUGUGGAAUCCCCAUGAUUUAGUUGCUUAAUUCAAGGAAUUUGAUUAAUUGAUUUUGGUAACUUGUCUCAUAAAAUUUUCUAACAAGAAUAUUUAUUUUUAAUCUCUUUUAUUUCAAUUGGAAUAUUUGUUUCCUUUGUAAAUUUGUCAAUAGAAUAUUUAUUUAUUUAUUUAAUUCUCUUUUGACUACAAUGAGAAGAUUUGAUUUUGUUUGUAAGACUAAAUUUUAUAACCUUUCAAAUUUGGCCAAGUGACACCUUUUGAAUAUAUGUCACAUGUCAAAUGUGUGUGACUCAUUAGUUGUUGAACCUAAAUUUUCUUGAAUUAGAAAGCUAUACUUUUGAAGACUAAUUUAGUGAUAAUUUAAUUCAUUAAAUUUUUUUGGUGUCUACAGUAUAUUUAUAAUAUGAAAAGUAAAUUAAAAUUUUAAUUUUUUUACUUGUUUAUUAUUUUAUUUAUUAUUUAAUGAUAAAUAUUUUUAUUCUUUAUUGAAAUAUAUAAAAUUUUAAUUAAUAUUUUAAUUUUUUUAAUUUCUAUAUAUAAAAUAUAUAGAUUUAUAUGGUCUAAUUGAGUCAUUAAAAUAAAUAGGGUAAAUAACUCACACAUAAGUGAUGGAUCAUUCUAACAUGAUUAAAUUAACAAGUUAGAUGAAUUGAGUAGUCAAAUACAAACAUGAUUUGUUUAUUAAAUAAGUUAUAUGAAUUGAUACGAUUAUGACAUCAACUCAAUUAAACUUAACUCAAAUAAGCUUUGUCUUUUAUUUUAAGUUGUCUAGUUGUUCACACAAAUUUUCUCAAAAUAAAGAAAUUAUAUAUAAAAUUGUAAAUUUGAUUAUUUGAGGGGACCAUUUUCAAUACUCUUUUUUAAGUAAUCUGGUGUUUAAUUUUGAAUCAAAGGGGCUUUCAUUAACAAAUAAUAGACUGUAGUUUUCAUAUAAGAAGAAAUCUCAAGCCUUUUUUUCUUGAAGGAAUCUUUAAAUUUUCUUUGAUACUUUAAAAAAUCAAUCUUCUUUGAUUUUUUAAGAAAUCUUUGAAUUUUCUUAAAGUCUUCAAAAAAAAAAAAAAAAAAAAAACUGAGUUUAAGGAAUUUUUUUAAUAACUCUCCAAAUUUCUUUGAUAUUCCAAAGUGUCCUUUAGAAGGGGACAAAUCCUCUAUUUACAGGAUUGAGAGUUUUAUUUUAAUAUUAUCUCUUAAUUUUUAAGAAAUAACUCUCUUAUUUAUGAUAAUUACUAUUUAUUUUAUUUAUCAUAAUUAGUUGCCUAUGAUAAUUAUCAUAAUUAAUUUUUCUAGAGAUAAAUAAUUAUAUAUAUUUAAUUAAUCAUGAUAACUAUAAUAUUUAUUUAAUUUUUUAUUAAAUUAUUUUACAUAACAUAUCAAUAUAUAUUAUUAGUCAAUUAUUAACACCGAAAAUUAAUGAGUUGGCAUAAAAUUUAUCUCUCUAUAAUAGUAUCAAAGCGAGCCUUAAUAAUAACAUUGCUUAUAGUCAAUUUCACAUGCCAACUUUUUACUGGGCAUUGGCGAUUUCAAUUUUGAUAGUCCGGUUAGAAAAAGUAGGUAAAGAUUAUUUGAUGUGGUAGGUCAUUUCUUUCAUAAAGACGAUGGCGGUGAAUUCAUGAGACAGGUGAUAAAGGAGAGAUUCUUUCUUUUGGCUUUGGAAUUUUAAUGAGGUCCUCGAUCCUCAUCCAAAAUACACCUCUCCAAUUAUAAAAAUCUUAUUAAAAAAAAAAAGAUUUGACAUGUGCCUUUCGAACUGCUGGUUUUCUGUUCCAAAAAUGAGAAUGGUUUCAAGUGGAUGAAGGAAGGUGAAGAACCCUUGGUUUUGUUAAGCGAAAAGCCACAUGAUUAAAUAAACAUAAGGCGGCAAAGGCUGAAAAUUUAAAAUUAUACUAAGGAACCCACCCCACAGGGCGACUACACUUUUGGUGAAGCCACGAGAAUGAAAGAUAUCGAAGGUGACACCAAGACAUUAAGCAGCACCAAGGUUUCGAUAUAUUAUAAGAUGGGAUCUUAUGAAAGACGAUCUCUAAUCUCUCUCCAAUCUCUUCUUUAACCUUUUCUUACUUAAAUCCAUUUCCAUGGUAGGGCACAUGUCCAGCUGACCCUACCCCCUCACCUACCUAUACUGCUAUACCCUUUUGUAUAAUUUGAUAUGGAUUGGAAGCCACCCCAACAUCUUUCUAAUUGCUCGUAAAUGUUGAGGUGCCUUUCCAUUUUGAGGCUGCCCUAAUGUGUGGCUGAAGUACGUAGGAAAAAAAAAUUGUGAUACAUGCACUGACGAAUCAAAUCCCAAUGUCAAAUUAUUAGACUCACCUGGUUCUUAAAUUAUUGUGAAUGCCGCUGGCCAUGGAUAAAUGGAAUUAGUGCGUGGCUUAAUGAAAAUUUAUUUUGAAAGGGAUAUUAAUUUGAGAGAAUUUUGGCUGAUACUUGGAGUUGAACGUAAGCAUAUAUGACCUCAUUUCGGGUGUGAUAUUGUGCUUAUAACGAACCUUUCGUUCUUUCCAAUUCCAGUGGGUAUUAAAUAAUUAAAGAAUUCAUGGUUCGAAGGCGAAAGGUAGAAGACCAAAAAGGGAUUACAAAGCCAUCGGCUUGACCAUCCAGAUGCAAUGGAUACAAACUUUGGACUCUAUCGAAAGUUCUUUGGGCACGUGCCCAAGUGUCCUACCCAUAUGAUAAGUUACACGUGGCUAAUUGCGGACCGGUUGCUCGUGCUAAACAGGGUACUUUUUCUACGCAUAUAAGAUGUUUCACUAGUGGGGCUUCACCAUGCAAACUCAUGGAUGAAGACCCUGAGGCCAAGAUGAAGGAACAGAAAGAAGGCGGAGGAGAGGUUCGGUAUCGAGGCGUUCGGAGGCGGCCAUGGGGGAAGUUUGCUGCGGAGAUACGUGACUCGACUAGGCAUGGAGCGCGCGUCUGGCUCGGGACUUUCAAUUCUGCGGAGGAGGCUGCAAGAGCAUAUGACCGAGCUGCUUAUGCCAUGAGGGGUUCCUUGGCGAUUCUCAACUUCCCUAAUGAGUAUCAUACACCCGGCACGGCUAGCUCUUCAGCUUCAUCCUCAAUGCCCGAAGGUGAUCAGCAGGGAAAACAAGUCAUUGAAUUGGAGUACUUGGAUGAUAAGCUGCUAGAGGAUCUUCUCGACUCUGAAGACAAAAAGAACAAGAAAACCUGAAGUUUCUGCUGCCUCGAAUCCCCUGAAAUCUAGUGCUUCAUCGAAAAAAAAUCCCCUCGCUCCUGAUUAACAACAUUUUUAUUUUAGUCAAUGAAUGUGUUCUCGGAUCAUUAUAAGUAUUUCUGCCGAAGUCCAUUGAUUUUUGGAGACUGAAAAAUGUCAGAAAAAUUGGUGCGAACAGGUUUACUCCUUUCUAAAUUAUGCAAUUGAAGUAUUUGGAUUAGUGCGCAGUGUAAACAUCAAGGAAAGCAUGAUCCACUAUUUUAAGGAGCCUAAGUGCUUUCCCCUUUACUCUUUUAGGAUGUCUUUUCAGUGAAGAAAGUUGGGAGACCACCACUUACCCUUUUGAUUGGUAUAUAACUGCCAACUAAUAACUGGACUAACAUUUGGCCCGUCUGGCCCUACUUCUUUGACUUUGUUGUUAAUUUAUAACUUUAUGUGAAGUGGGGGCUGUUUGGGAAUGUGUGAAGCAAGGAUUUGAGCCGACUUCGCCUAAUCUGAUUCUCCAUAAGUGACUUCAUUUUAUCAUAUUGGUGUUUUUUUUCUUCUUCUUUUUAAAUGGCUGGGGAGGAGGGGAUUUGGGAGGGAUGCAAUGCCAUGGUUGCAUGCUGGAUUAUCCUUCCAAAUGAAACAUCCAUUUGGUUUCUAGUAACUAAUUGCAAACAAUUAAAGAGAAUAAAAUUUUAAGAUGAUUAAACAAUAAGUACCUAUGUCCAUGAAAAGGAGAGAAGUUCACUCAUGGGUGUUCAUGAAAGACAUCACAAAGAACCAUCAAUAUGAGAAGAAUCCUGAUACAAUUAACUUUCAUGCAUAAGAAAAGACGCUCAAAAAAGAAUAAUGCUUACAAGGAAAGAAUCUCACUACGAUCAACUGAAAAAAUAUUCCAAUUUAAUUGGAAAUCCUUACAUGGGAAGAAUAUCAAUAAAAUCAACUAAAAAAAUAUUUUAAUUUUAUAUCAAAAUAUUUGUGAUUUAACCCGUAUCAUUUCAUCAUGACUUCUUAUAAAUUUUGUUCCUUUUUAUCAACACCACCCCUUGAGUUGGAGCAUAAAUAUUUAUUAAGCUAACUUGAACAAGAUCUUGAGAAAUUUUGUCGCAGGAUUUGUUUGCACUUUUUUUUUUCAAAUAAAGUCAUAAUUAACUUUAAUAUGUUUAAUCAUUUCAUGAAAUACUAGAUUUUAAGCAAUGUUGAUAGCAUACUUAUGCCUGAAAGCUUUAUCCCAAAUCACAUGAGUACAUGAAGUGAUUGCAUCAUUAAUGGUAGUAUUAUUACUUUAUAUUCAACUUCUCCACUUGAUAGGAUGCAUGAAAGCAUUGUGCUUUCUUCUGUUUCAAGUAAUAAAGAUUAUCACCAAGAAAGGUGCAAUUAAUACCUAGUAACAGAGUACCUAGUGGUAGCAUGCACCUAUCCACUGAACUUGUACUCGACUCUAUGAGUGUACGUUACAUAGUCCUUUUUUCGAAGUCUAAAUGUCCCUUGAUAAAACCUUCUAAUAUUUGAGGUUUUGGUAACAUUCAUGUAUCAAUGAACAAAUUAAUUUACUAGCUAAACUUUAAAAUUAGGCAAUGUUUUUCAAUGGGUGAUCAAGAUCUUGGAAUUUUCAAUGUUGUUUGAAUAGCUUCCACACACAAGCAUAUUUUCUCCUAUUUAGGAAUAAUCCCUUUUUUGAAGGUGUGAUCUUUAUGCUCAAAAAAUAAAGAUACUCAAAAAUUUAAUAUUGACCUUCUCGUGAAGGAAAAGCUUUAUAACUAAUUUUUUUUGUGCAUUAUAUAUAUCCUCAAUAUAGACUUUAAAAAAAAAAGAAGUAACUCCCUCUACAAAGAGUGAAGAGUCAAUUAAACUUUUUUUUUUUUAAAAAAAAGGAACCAAUUACUCGUAAAAGUAAUGAUUAUUUUUACAUACCAAACUUGAGGAGAUUACUUAAGAUCACAAAAGUUUUUAUUAAAUUGCAAGCUAGAUGCAUUUGAAACGAUCGUUGAUGUCUUAGCAACACCUUAUGUAACUCAUCAAUCUUUAUGUAAAAAUGCAUUUUUAACACCCAUAUAAAAUAAUGAUCAAUCCUAAUUUAAUAGAAACAAAUGGUAAUACAUGAAUAUCAUUCAUAUUAAUGAGAAAAGUAAAUAUUGAUUUAUAAUCAACUUCUUAAGUUUGUGUCAAUGCCUUAAUCAUUAGUUUAACUUUGUCAUUCAAUGAUACCAUCAUUACGACAUUUAAUUAACUUAGAUUUGCGUAAAUCCCUUAAUCACUAGUCUAGCUUUAUGUCAUUCAAUGGUACCAUCAUUAUGGUAUUUAAUUGAUCUUAUACCCCCAAUUUGUAUACCCCAUGUUUUUCUUAAUUUACCAUACAUCACUUAACAAUGUUCCAUGCAUGGAUUUUGUUAAGUGCCUUAAGUUCCUUUUGCAUAGCCUUUCUCCAAAUUGGAUGAGGAUUGGCUUCAUUAAUGUCAUUAGACUCAUGAUAUAUGGAACUCAAACAAUUGUUAAGUGAUUUUGUAUAUAUAUAAAAAAAAAAUUGUAAUUAAUGUGGUAGGCAUAAAAAUCUCACAAAUGAGGAUUGAUUAAUUGUUAUAAUUGAGCAACAUGCUUGAGGCUUAGUCACAAUACUAGAACUUGAAGUCAGACAUUCUCUUCAAAUAAGGACGUAUAUACAUUAUAUUGGAUCUCCAUUAAACAAGUAAAGAACUAUUUAGUAGACAAUGAAACCUCAUUGAUCAAUGGUGGUAGAGAGACACAUGAUGACCAGACUAUUCCCCUGGAAAUGAGAAUAAAAAAUAUCAUUAGCCGCAAAAAUCUCAAAAAAAUUUAGAUAAUGGGAUAUAAAGAGUUUAUGAAUUUUACAAUCAUAACUCUUAUACUGGUUUAAGUGGUAGAGUAAUCAAGAACACAAAACGAGUUUGAUGAGUGGUUGAGAUAUGAACAAAGCAAAGAUUUCCAAAGACACCAAAAUCAGAAAUCUCAAUUUUUGGGCUAAGGAUUUCAAGAAGAAAUUUAAAAUUAACUACAUGACUAGAAAAUUUGUUCAUCAAGGAAAUAGAAGUAACGAUAUCAUAACAUCAUAAUUAAUCAAUAUUUUUAAUAACAUGCAUUUGGAACAUGAUAUACCGGCUUUCUAAUAAUCAAUGAUUUUUGGUUCAACCACACCAUUUUGUUUUGGGAUGCCAAUACAACAAGUUUAACGAANNNNNNNNNNNNNNNNNNNNNNNNNNNNNNNNNNNNNNNNNNNNNNNNNNNNNNNNNNNNNNNNNNNNNNNNNNNNNNNNNNNNNNNNNNNNNNNNNNNNAUGUAAGUGCCAAAUUAGGUAGUGUCGACAAUGAAAUGGAAAUUUUGGAAUAUAGAAACAACCUCAUUUUUAUGUUCUAAUAAGUAAACCUAUGUAGCAUAAGAAUAGUCAUUAAAAAAAAAGGUAACAAAAUGUUGAUUUCCAUCCUAUGGAUCAAUUAGGACACAACCCCAAGGUAAACUAAUUUGAAAGUUGCAACAAAAAUGGAAAGAGAUGAAAAAAUAAUAGAGGAAUUUAAGGUUGUUUCAAAAUUUCAAGACAUGCUAAGAAACACAUGAGAUUAUAGAUGAUUAGGUAACAACCUUGGUUAAGUAUAUUCAACAUAUAUAUCCCACGAGGAUAAAUAUCUUCACUAAACUUUUCCUAUUAUUCAAUCCCCUAAUACCAUACAAGUGAAAAAUUAAUGUCACGGUCAAAAAUUUUAAUAAGCUUCCAAAGAGAUAAUAAUUUUGGGGAAAAAAACAACCUAAGAAACCUAUGAAUUGAGAUAAUUUAGGAAAAAACUAAAUGUUCGUUAGCUCUAGAAGGGAAUUGAAGCUCAUCAUCAAUAAAGAUUGUUGCUAUCUCGAAUAAUAUCAAGUAAACCAUUAAGAUCGCUAUUAAUGGUAUGAUUAGCAGCACCAAUUAUCGACAAAAAAAUUAUUAAAAAUAUAAGAAAUGAGAGCUUUAAGAUUAUCUAAUUGAUUUGUAAACCUAGGUAAGUGAAUCAGUAUUACGUUUUGUUAAGGAAGCUUAGAUCCAAUUGGUAUCAUUCACCAAGUUAUUGGAUUAAAUUACACUAUCAAACUUUGGCUUUAAAUGAGAAUGAAGAAUCUAACCACAAUCCUUAUUGGGAUUAGAUAUGUUAUUGCAAUAAUGUUUACAAUCGGAUGAGUGCUAAUUUCUAUUGAAAUCAUGAAGCAAUCUCUGAUCAUUGGUCUUCUUUGUAGAAACAUGAGCAUUGAAUUUAAAAUUAAUAAUUGUUACUUGGGAUUCAACCUUCAUAAUCAUUGCCUGGGUUUCCUAAUCACUUUCAAGAAUUACUUAUAUAGUGAAGGCACUCGAAACUAAUCAAAUUUGUCCUCUUAUAAAGUUGUCAUAUUCAAGCUUCAGAAUAGCCAAUAAUUGAAAAACUUAUCAUACUCCGCAAUUUGUUGAAGAAUAUUUGGGUCUAUUGAAGGGGACAAUAUAGGGAAUAUUUGUCCCAUAUGCUCAAAAUGUUCAAUUAACAAAGUGUUCUGUAUGUUUAGGGAUUUGUUAGCUUUAAUUACACAAAACAUUAGCAGUUUUAGAGAAAAUUAAUUUUUUUUUGCAAUCUUAGGUUCCAUGAAAUUAAAAAGCCAAUAACAAGUCAAUAUGGCUUGAGACCCAGUCAUCAUAUUCAAAGUCAUCCAACUUAGAAGCAUUCAUUUUGCCACUAACAUGUGCUAAUUUCCAUUUUCUAUCUUUCAAGAGAAAAAGACUGCUCUUAACCAUGGCAAAUAAUUGAACCCAUUAAGAAGAUUGAGGAAAGUAUCAUAUGAGGGUUGUCAUUUUCCUCCAUGACAAAGAAAAAGCAACAGAGAAAAACUCAUAAUAUUAGAAAGAGAAUGAAAGAAAUUGAGUCAUAGAUACACACAGAAGAAUCCAAAAAUAAAGCAAUAAUACAACCACAAAUAUGAGAAGAAGCUCAAUUACAAAGAAAGGAACUCAAUACAAUCAACUAAAAAGCGUUCCGAAGUUCAUACGAAAAUAUUCAUAAUGUGAAGAUCAUUUCAUGAUUCCUACAAUUUCUUCCUUCUACCAGUCCACUCCAUACAAGGUUUGAUCAACAACUUCUUCAUUGAUUUUCUGGUCUCUCUCCGGUGUAUCAUAGAGCAUUUUUGACAUGUUUCUGCAAGAUACACUUGUUAACUUUAAGCGACAUAAGUGCAAAAAAAUAAGAUCAUGUUGUAUUGCCUGUGCUUCCACUCUGCCUUGUUUAGUACUAUUAUGGAGCAGUACUUCCAUAUAGAACCAGUGAUCUCCAGUUCAUUAUGUUGCCUUCUUUAAACUAACUUUAAUUAUCUAUACAUAUAAAACAAAGUGGUCCCAUCAAGGGGCUAAAUCAAGAAUCAAGUGGGGCGAACAGGAAACAGUGGCAUCAAUUUUUAAGUCCAUAAGCUUUAAUAAAAGGAAUAAAACCAAGGAUAUGAAUAUGUUAUUUUUUCAUUUGUUCAUGCACUGGAAGAUCUUUCCUCUUCAAGCAUUGAACCAGCAUCCUUCUGUGCAAGUUGCUGUCGGAACCUUCUAUAAUUGUCAGAAGUCUGUUUCUGAAAUAUACAGAUAAAACUUUUAGCAAGUCUUGACAUUGCUCAUCACUAGGACAUUGUACUAGGAUACCAAUUCAUCUAAUUAGGGUUAAGUUGGCAUCUCGUACACUAUUUUUUAUUUUUCCUUCAUCUUUUGUUCCCAUUUGCAGUGGAAGUGGCACUUAGAAUAUCUGAUCAUGAAGAAUUAGCUUUCGGUGAGAUGAUACUAGGUCAAUUGCCAUUAUCUUUUUGAGUUACUGUGCGAGCAAUCUUGAAAAUAUUUUGGGAUAAAUAGAAUUUGUGCUUAUCAUAAACAUGCUAAACAUCCAAAUCAAGUGCUUUUACUAUUGAUAUCAAAUCAGUAAUUGAUUUUAACCUUUAUGCUUAUCUUUCAGAUUCUCAAUUAUGUAUCUUGAAUAAUGAUAUUAAGCAGAAAUCAUGAAUUGAAUUGCUUUAAUUAACUGUGCCUUAUCAAGCUUGUCAGCAGUGCUAUUGCUACCGCGAAUCAAAUUCGCUGUGCUUCCCGCCUUCUCCAAAUAAGCCACAAGCCCAAUUAUAUCCGCCCUCCUCCCAUCUCCAAGGGAUCAAAAAAUAAAAUGACUUCAAUCAAUUUUCAAGUUUUCCAUCUUGAUCAGUAGACCACCCGGCAUGAAUGUUACCCUCAGUUUAGGAAUAGGAAUUCCUUUUACUAAUCAUUUGGCACUAAAAACUAUGACCCCUAGCAAUUCAUUCCCUCCAUUAGAUAUCUGGGGGCAUCUUGGCUCAGCCAAAAAUGAUAAGUCAUUGCAUUUCACAUUGCAUUCAUUUGUAUUAAUGAGCUAAUUUUUUUUCACAGAAUGUGAUGUGAAUCGAAUUACUUCCAACCAUGUGUCUCUAUAAGGGUUUAACAAAUGUAAUUUGCAUUGUCUGUACACUUUUUUUUCGGUUUCUUUUCUUUUUUAUGCAUGAUUCAUUAGUCCACGGAUCUUCUAUGCAAAGUGUGCAGGCCAAACACCUCCUUCAAUGCAUUAUUCUAGAAGUUAAGACUCAGUUUACUCCUUAAUUGAUCUGUUCCAUUUACUUCAAAUCAUUUGAUUACAUUAAAUGAAUCUUGAAAUUCAAAAAUGCAUCAAAGUUAAAAGACCUUCCAAUGCAUUAAGAAAUCAUCUGAUACAAAUAUAUGUGAACCUGCAACAACAAUAAUGUCAAAAUGGAAAACUUAGGUAGAAAAUAUUAGAACGGAAACUUACGACGAACUCAAUUUUUGGCGCCUUUCUUCUUCUCAUCUUCUGAUCCAAGAAGCUCUUCCAACACCGUGUCAUCCAAACACUCGAACUCAAUGACUUGCUUUUCUUGCCCAGAAGAGGAACCUCCCAUCUCUAAACUCCUACAAGGCCCAGAAGAUGACGAGGAAGACGAUGAGGAUGGUGAUGGUGGGGGGCGAUGGGAGCCCAUGAUUUCAGAAUAGUACUCAUUAGGAAAGUUAAGAAUGGCAAGAUGACCCCUUAAGUUAAAGGCCGCUCGAUCAUAGGCGCGAGCUGCAUCCUCCGCCCUGUCAAAUGUGCCUAGCCAUAGACGAGCACCUUGCCUAGACGGAUCCCUAAUCUCGGCUGCAAACUUCCCCCAUGGCCUCCUCCUCACCCCUCGGUAUCGAACUUCUUCCUUUUCCUUCCCUUCCUGCUCCUGCUUCUCAUUCCCUUUCGAAUGAUCUUCCAUGCUAAACGUGUCGAUUUGCUAGGCGCAAUUUUUUUGGUUUCAAAUGUGCUGGUUUACGAGAGGCAUGGAUGCUUAUGUAUAUAUAUGGUUGCCACAGUCAGGUCUGACGUCACCGCUCAAUGUAUGUUCCACAGCGUGGGUUGACGAGCUUUCUGAGGGGGUUUCCUCGAAUUCAAAGCAAGUAUAAAAAUUCGAUUCUCCGACCUUUCCAAUGAGGAUCGAACAGGCCUUUUAUUAGAACCGUAUGAUAACUCCACACUGUUUUCAAAUAGUCAAUGUGAUCUAGAUUCUUCGUUAAUUUUUUCCACCUGACUGAUUGUUUACAAUUUUAUUUUUCACCGUCCCAAAUUUAAACCAUUUACGCGAUUCCCUGGAUUGCAUUUUUCUUUAAUGUUGACUUUACGAGGCAAUAGGACCCCCCAGCAACCCCACUAGGGCGACUUCAUGGGAACCAGAUUACUUUUGGAUCCAGAUAUGGUCCAGAAGAAAUAAGACAAAUCAAUUAAUGUCCACUAAAGUUUUGAUGGAACCCUUAGUCCGUGUUUCCUGUGGAUGUAUGUAUUGUAUGCACCUCAAUUUUCACCAAUCCCUGCUACGAGUCCCUUUAAUUUUGACGUUAUAAAUGUUUUUCCUGACAUUAGCAGAGUGUUUUUCUGCCGUCUUUGAGGACCUUCCACGGCCCAUAAACUAAUAAGGAUCGUCCAGUGAAUUUAGUCUUCCCCAGUUAAUUAUCCUGCGAGGGAAACUUGGGCAGUAAGUUGCCUACAUGAGUGGCUCCCGCCUACAUGAGUCAAGGGACCAUACGUCAGGACGACAACCAGUGUGGUCACACCAAAGUGGGUUGCCUGGACUCCAGGGUGGUCGCUUCAAAGUUGUCAAAUGAAGGCUAGCUUGGCAAGUUUUGGAAAACAAUUAUUGAAAAACAUUUUUCAUGAAUAACAGUUUCUAUGAACAGAUUUUAAGAAAGUUUAUUUUGUGAUUUUUAGGAAUAUUUUUAAUUUAAAUUUUUAUAUUUUUAAUUUUUUAUUAAUUUAUUGAUUAUUUAAUAUUAGCUUAAUUAAUGGAUUUUUCUUGGUCCCAAAUUAUUAAUUUAUCAAGAUUUAAUCGCAUCCAUAAUUAGUCUAAUUUCUUUUGGAGUGAGUGUGACAAAGUGCAAAUUUCUAGAGUUUUAUUAAUGUUAUUCAAUGUCAUAAUUUAACUAAUUAUAUUAAUUAUUUAUUAAUCAAAAUAAAUCAUUCACUUGAAAUAUGAUAAUUUAAAUUAAAAGUUUCAAUUAUUUAUUAAUUAGCAAAGUAUGAACUUUUCUUCUUGUUUUAUUAUUGUUAUUCCAUGUAUAUAAUUUAAUUAACUGUUUCCAAUAUUAAUCAAUAAAAAUAGAAUAUAAGCAUGAGAAGAAUUAGUAAAAUUCAUUGAUUUGGAAUUAGAUAGCUAGAGGAAGAACUUCAUCAUCUUCCCAUUACUUAAAUUUGUAUAAAUUCUAAAUAUUUAAACCCCCCCCCCCCCCCCCCCCCCCAAAAAAAAAAAAAAUGGUAAAGAAAGACUCCCCAAGCUUUCUUGGUUGGUGUUACCCUAAAAUUUGUACAAUAAGAUGAACCAUUUGGCUUAAAGCUUGGUGCGAAACCCCUUAUCAAUUGAAAAUAUCAAUGAAGUUGUUGAAUGGUUUUAGAGGACUAUUCUUAUGCAGAGUGGCAUAAGAAGCGAGGAGAUGAAGAGCGGAGAGACGUUAACAUCGGAUGCUGCUACGAAGGUGGGAAUACGGUUAAUUAAUUAGAUUUUGUGAUGGCUUUGAGUUUGAAGGAGUUAGUUUAAUGGGUAUUAUUAGUGAACUGAUAAUUGGAUUUGAUGUAAAGAAGGUUGGUCCAUUGGAUUAGCAAUUGGUUUGGCCUUUUGGGGGCCCCAUUUCCAAAUGCAUUGCCUUUUACAAGCAUUCAACAUCGCUGGACGUAACCAGGCUUGGUUCACCUAAAAGUAUCGCAUGGAUUGAAUUGACUAAGUUUUCAUUGUAGACUAGCCUUGAUUUUCCCUUGACCUGCCCACCAAAUCCUGAUGCCCACGCGAGGGAAUACCUCAAUUUUCUAAUAAUUUAUGCAGUUUCUCUUCAAAGCUCGUGUGAUCACUUGGGUCGGUAAAAUAAUGCAUUCCUCUACUUUUUCUCCCUUCCUAGAUGCAUGUUAUACCAUUAAUUCAAAUGUGAACAUGGGCUUGGCUUUGAAACUUGGUUCAAGGCCCAACAUGUUGACCCACAAUUGAGGUGUAAUUGAAUUUGUACACUUUUCGACUUUGAUACCAUUUGUCAUUACCAUUGACAUUGGGUCAUUGUUGAUUUUGAGUCCACAACUUUUAAGGUUGUUAUUACAAUUUUAAAUUGCGCCCACCCAAUUUAUAUGCAUUAUCCCUUAUAAAUACCGAUAACCUCUCUUUCUUCGAUAAUAUAAAAUGUCACAUAUAUUAUAUAUCUCAAUGUUUUCUUUUACUUUUUUUUUUUUUAUCGAUCGACAUUCUCUCUCAGAUGAUAUGAGAUGUCACAUAUAUUAUAUGUUUCAAUGUUUCUUUUACUUUUUCUCUUUUUCCUCAUGAUUGACAUUGUCUUUCUCAAAUGAUAUGAGUUGUCACAUAUAUUUUAUGUCUCAAUGUUUUCUUUAACUUUUUUUCUCUCUUCUUUAAUGAUCGACGUUCCUUUUCUCAGAUGAUAUGAAAUGUCAUAUAUAUUAUAUGGCUUAAUGUUUUCUUUUACUUAUUCUUUCUUUAUUAAUAAUCGACAUUUUAAGCAAUAUGUGAAUAUAAAGCAUUAAAAUUAUCUCCAUCGUUUUUGGAUGUGGUAUAAAUACACAAUUCUUAUUUUUGUUUUAAAUAUUUCUAUUGCUAUCUAUUGAAAUUUUAUGCAUGAAGCUACCAAGUUAAUUAUACAUAUAUCUUAAGAUUUUUUUUUUUUUUUUUUAUAGGAUAUAUUGUCCAUGAAUAUUUUCUGCAAUGGUAUCUUGUUUGAUUACUAUAAGAAAUAAUAUAUAUAUAUAUAUAUAUAUAUAUAUAUAUAUAUAUAUAUAUAUAUAUAUAUAUUAUAUUUCAAUGUUUCAUAUUUGCUUAAAAUAAAAAUUAUAUUUUAUCACAAUAUUUGGUAUUAAAAAAAAUGAAAUCUCUCUCAUUUAUUAUUACAAAAAAAUUAUAAUUUAUAAUUUUCUAAAUAAGUUUUAUUUAUUUGCUAACUAUAUUCAUGAUUAAAAGAUUUAAAAUUUAUAAAUAAAAAAUAUUAUGUCAUGUCAUUAAAUAAAUAAAAAUAUAUGUAUAUAUUAAAAUUAUGUUUUAUUGUAGCUUUUAAUAUUUUUUUUUUUAUUCUUUUCUUUUUUGAACUACAAUUUUAAUUUUUUUUAAUCAAAAUUUUUUAAUUUACAAAACGAGUAACAUAAAACUUGCCUUUGAACUUUAUUGGAAUGUUAUAUACUACCAUUUGGCUUUCAAGACAUUAGAAAAGGCAUAAGUGUCCCUUUUAUUUUUCCGAAAGGCAUAUUAGACUAUAGUAGGAAGUGUUGUAUAGAGGCAACUAAAAGUUGCCUUUAACUUUAUGAAGUCAUAUACUCCUCUUUGGCUUUGAUGACAUCAACUAGCAAAUUGGAUUUUGUUUCCUUUGCAACAUUUUUCCAUCCAUUAGCCAGUUUUUUUAUACUGUUUGGUGCUUGCCAACAUGGCACACACUAUGGUUCUUAAAAAGUAUUUUUUUUUUUAAGAUACUACGAAAUAAAAUACACGAUUGAAAGAUGAGUCACAAUAAUUUUCAAAACUAAAUUUUUUAAUAUUGUUAAGAAAAUUUGACCACCAAAUGAUUGAUUUUAAAUUACAAAUACUUUUGUUAGCUAAGAAAUUUGUUGUUCUAUUUGUUUCCCUAUAAAUAUGACAACAAUCAUAAAUAUUUUCAUUUUAAGAUAAUUUUCAAAUAUCUUCCAUUAAUAAUAUAAUAGAAUUAGGAAUUUUUUUUUUAGUUAUAACAAUCUAUAAUUAUUUAAGAGUCUUCCUCAAUCUCUAGGUUUAAGAACUUAUUGUUCUUAACAACUAACAUGUCAUCUCUUAAAAUAAUACAUUCUGCAAUAAUUAUUGAAAUAUGAUAUAAUAUAUAUAUCUACUUACAACCAUUUUUGUAGUACCAUUAGAAUUUUUAAUUACCCAUUCUAAAGUAUUUUUAUUCUCUAUUCUUAAACCAUCAAAAUUUAAUUUAAAUCUUUCAUUAAUUGGAUAAAUCCAAUGAAUCUAACAAGUUAAAGGAUUAUGAAUCCGACAAAACAGUUGAUAAUAAAUUAAUAAUGCCAUUAAUAUGAUUUUAAUGUGAAACACAAUUAUCACAUUUAAUACAGUUAGUCCUUGUAUGAUUAAUGUUUUGGAAGCUAAAAUCAAUCUUUUGACUAUAAUAAGAGUUUCUACUAUUUCUAUUUUUGGAUGAUUUUAUAUUUUUCUUAUUGUUUUAGUUUAAUACAAAAAAUAAAAAUAAAAUUACAUUAGUAGAAUUUUUUUAACUUACUCAAAAACCUAUUUUAGUUGAAUGAUUUUUUUAAAAAAAAUAUAAAUAUUUUGUUAAAAGGGAUAAAAUAACCUUACCUUGUGAAAAAGACCUCUUCACCCAAGAUUACUUGUUCAUAAUCCUUUUAAGACGAAAAUGCCCCCUUCCUAAAAAAUAUUUCAUCUUAAACUUAUUUUUCUUUUUAUUGCCCUUUGUUCCAUCCUUCCGGCUUGGGAGAGAAAUUCAUUCUUCUUUUGCGAAGAAAAAUUCCUAUUGCGAUUUUUCAUUUCAAGUGGAAAAAAAAAUUCUUAUUUCAUUUUAAAGAAAUUGUACAUUUUCAAUCUUUCUCUUUGUUCCUAGUUGAGGGUUUUUUUUGUAAUUUUAUCUUAACACUACAAAUUUAAAGGUGAGAUUAAAUCUUAAUGGUUAUUAGUUAAAUCACAUAUCUAACUUUGUUUUUGUCAGGACCUAUAAUAUGAUUGGAACCACCAUCCAAACUUCAUUAGGUGGGAUACUCCCCACCCUCCCCCUCCCCCCGCGAAAUCCUUGGAUUUUAGUUUUGACUUGGAUUUCAAUUGCCCGUAUCAAUUUUUCUUUAUUUAUUAAUUUAUUAAUUUUCAACUUUAACAAAAGCCUUGAAUCAUAUUUAAAUUCAAAUAACUUAAUCCUAAUUAAGUUCUUUUUAAAUAAAAAUUAAUCAUUGAAAAGUUCAUGUGACUAUUAUAAUUGAGAAUUUAUCCCAAGUUGGGUUUUUUGCAAAUAAAAUUUUAUUAUAGGACAUCAUGAUGCAACAUAACAUAAGGUUGUUACUUAAGUUUGUUUUGACCUUGUAAUAUGUUAAAAUGAAAAUGAAGCCAUUGUAACAGGAGAGAAUGAUGAAGCUGUGGAGAGAGCUUAACAAAGCUUGGGUUGGAGAGACUUCACAGGAAGAGAGAGAGAGAAAUAAAGGGUAAAAUUAUCAAAAGAGAAAAGAAAAAAAAAAAAAAAAAAGAAGGUUAUGUCUUCAAAUAAUCAAUAAGAGAUGUCAUUUUUCUAAUUUUCAAAGUUCUUUUGGUCCUUCUCUACAAAUAUCCCUAUAAAAAUAUUAUAAUAUCAAGUUAAUUUGUCAAUACCAAAAUUUAUAUUUUAUAUUAGGGCGACUAAAUAACAUAUAGAAAGAAUUUUAAAUGAGUAAAUCAAAUCAAUUUUGAAACCAAAACUUAAUAAUUACCAAACUUGUAAUCUUAGUCAUUAAAAGUGUACGAUGAAAUCUAAAUUAUUAAGCAAUGAAACAAAAAAUUAAGAUUAAAAUACAAAACGUUAAAAUCAAGAUACAAACUAUUAAAAUGUAAGUGGGAUAUGAGAUGAUAUUAUAAAAAAUAGUGUGAUCCAACAAAAAGUCUAGUACAUCAUUAUCUUCACUUCCAACCAUGUUUAAAAGGUCACAAGUUCUAGCGGUUUCCAAGGACAAUGUUAAAAAUAAUAAAAAUAAAUCCAAUUAAAUAUUAAUUAAUUUAUUUGAAUUUGAGUCCGACAAAAUAGUUGGUAAUAAGUUAAUAAUGCCAUUAAUAUGAUUUUAAUGUGAAACACAAUUAUCACAUUUAAUACCCGUUAGUCCUUGUAUGAUUAACUUUUUAGAAAUUAAUAUCAAUCUUUUGAUUAUAAUAAGAGUUUCUACUAUUUAUAUUUUUGGAUGAUUUUAUAUUUUUCUUAUUGUUUUAGUUUAAUACAAAAAAAUAAAAAUAAAAUUACAUUAGUAGAAUUUUUUUUAACUUAUUCAAAAAACCUAUUGUAAGGUGAAUGGUUUUUUUAUUUUUUUUUUAAAUAUAAAUAUUUUCUUAAAAGGGAUAAAAUAACCUUACCUUGUGAAAAAAGGCCUCUUCACCCAAAUUUACUUGUGCAUAAUCCUUUUCAGACGAAAAUGCCCCCUUCCUAAAAAAUAUUUCAUCUUAAACUUAUUUUUCAUUUUUAUAACCCUUUGUUCCAUCCUUAUGAUUUGGGAGAGGAAGUCAUUCUUCUCUUGUGAAGAAAAAAUUCCUACUGCCAUUUUUCAUUUCAAGUGAAGAAAAAUAUUUAUAUUUCAUUUUAAACAAAUUGUACAUUUUCAAUCUCUCUUUGUUCCUAGUUGAGGUUUUUUUUUUUUUUUUUUUUUUUUGUAAUUUUAUCUUAAUUGUACAAAUUCGAAGAUGAGAUUAAAUCUAUAAUGGUUAUUGGUUAAAUCACUUAUCUAACUUUGUUCUUGACAGAUCGUAUAAUAUGAUUGGAACCACCAUCCUAACUUUAUUAGGUGGGAUCCCUUUUUUUUUUUCCCCAAACCCUUGGAUUUUAGUUUUGACUUAUAUUUCAAUUGUCUGUAUCACUUUUUCUUUAUUUAUUAAUUUUCAACAAGUUCUUUAACAAAAGCCUUGAAUCAUAUUUAAAUUCAAAUAACUUAAUCCCCAUUAAGUUCUUUUUAAAUGAAACUUAAUCAUGUGAAAGUUCAUGUGACUAUUAUAAUUGAGAAUUUAUUCUUAGUUGGGUUUUUUGUAAAUAAAAUUUAGUUAUAGGACUGUGAUGAUCCGUUCUCAACCGUAUAAAUAUUGUUCGUUUUGAAUUCAAAAUAACUUUUACGGCUUUAAAACAUGUUUACAAGAUUAAGAGGAGUCCAUAUUUAUAUAGCUUCACGAACUUUCCCCCCUAUUCGAUGUGGGAUGUCACAAGGACAUCAUGAUGCAACGUAUAACAUAAGAUUGUUUCUUAAGUUUGUCUAACCUUGUAAUGUGUUAAAAUGAAGAUGAAGCCAUUAUAACAGAAGAGAAUGAUGAAGUUGUAGAGAGAGCUUAACAAAGCUUGGGUUGGAGAGACUUCAUAGGAAGAGAGAGAGAGAGAGAGAGAGAAAUAAAGGGUAAAAUUAUCAAAAAAGAAAAAAGAAAAAAAAGAGGGUGAUGUCUCCAAAUAAUCAAUAAGAGAUGUCAUUUUUCUAAUUUCAAAGUUCUUCUGGCCCUUCUCUACAAAUAUCCCUAUAAAAACAUUAUAAUAUCAAGUUAAUUUGUUGAUACCAAAAUUUAUAUAUUAUAUUAGGAUGACUAAAUAACAUAUAGAAAGAAUUUUAAAUGAGUAAAUCAAAUCAAUUUUGAAAUCAAAACUUAAUACCUACCAAACUUGUAAUCUUAGUCAUUUAAAGUGUUCCAUGAAAUCUAAAUUAUUAAGCAGUGAAACAAAAAAUAUAAGAUUAAAAUACAAAACGUUGAAAUCAAGAUUCAAACUAUUAAAACGUAAGUGGAGACGUAAGAUGAUGUCAUAAAAAAUAGUGGGAUCCAACAAAAAGUCUAUUAAUCAUUAUCUUCACUUCCAAUCAUGUUUAAAAGGUCACAAGUUCUAGCGGCUUUCAAGGACGAUGUUAAAAAUAAUAAAAAUAAAUCCAAUUAAAUAUUAAUUAAUUUAUUUGAACAAUAGAUAGGACCAAAAUAAUAUUCUAAAAGGAAUCAUAGGGAAGUCCUUGGACAACCUACGACAUUGAACAAAGGUACAGUGAGACAAUGCACUUAGCCCUUCCUUGUCAUUGCGAUGAAUAUAAAAAGACACCCUGAUUGAGGGUGCCCCACUAAGCCAAGAGUGAUUCUUUUGUAUUGUAUAACGUGAAUAUUUUUGAACUUUGAAUGACCCUUCCUAUAGUCAUCAUUGUCAAAACUAGAAAAUCAGAAAGAUGCGAUGUACGAAGGCACCAUUGAAUAAGAGGCUUAAUUCUCUUUGGCAAUUAGGAUAAAGUUUCAAAAUAGAAAAAUUAAACAAAUGUACAGUGUACGGACACUUGGGCAUUGCCUAUUUGUUUUGUUCUUCUAGAGUUGUAUAUGGUAAAGGUCAUAUUGGGUUGGUUCUAUUUGGUUAUUGAAGUCGGCUAGAAUAUUAGAUUUGGUUUCAAUCUAAUCCCAUAUGAUAUUAGAAUACCAGCCCAUACAGAAUUUUUGACCAAAUAUAAUAUUUCUUUUAAAUAUAAAUAUAGUAAUUAAUUUUAGUCUAAGAUUAAUUAUGUAGUUUCCUAAAGAGACCACUUCCUAAACGGUAGCUAUGUGGAAGUUGGGCCAGGUCCUGCCGAGAAGGUUUCCACGAGCUGAGCCCAAAACUGAGUAGCUGUGAUGGGAUCAUUCUAGCAUUCAGCCUGAAACUUGUAACAUAACGGAUCGAGAGGCCUGAACUCCAAGACCAUGGUUCGUCAGCCCAUUAACUUCAACAGCACGCAUUUUAGAGGACUGGGCUUGCAAGGGGUGAGGUUUCCGGGCCGCGACCCCAAAUAUGAACAGCCUCAGAAGUGAUAUUGCUUACUGGCACGUGAAGAGCGCAAGCGUAACUAGAAGAUUUGUAAUGCCGCUUUAAUUGUUUGAUUAUAGAAUCCCACGCAUUACGCAUGGAAAGUGUAAAAGAUAAAAGAUGUAGAAUUUUUUCUUAGAGAAAAGUUCGUUUGGAUAUAGUUAUUGUUUUUUUUUUAAAUAAUAAUUGUUUUUUUUAUAAAUUAUAGAUAAUCUUAGAAAUUUAUCUUUAAAAAAAUAGUUUUUAAAAAUAUUUAAGGAGAAUAAAAGUGAUAAAAAAAAACUUUACAAUUUCAAAUUUUUAAAAAAUGAAAAUUAUUUUUAAGAAUAUAAGUUAAUCUCCUGCAUUUAAAUCUUAGGUGGUUUUUGUUUUUUUUACUUUUCGCUGAAAACAAUUUGUUUUCAAAAUUUAGGUCAUUUGUUUUUUCUAUUUUUUCAUGAUUUAUUAUAAAUUUUUUACUAAAUAAAAAAAAUCAAAAUAUGUAACUUUUUCUAAAUAAAAAAAAUAACGUAUUGAUUUUUCUUUACUUUUUAAUACUUAAUAGAUAUAAAAUACUACAAAAACAAAAAAUCUAAUAUUUAACACUAUUAAGCAUUAAAGUUCUAUUUAGAAUUAAGUAAAAAAACAAACACCACCUUAUAUUUUAUAUAAAAGUUACUUAUAUUUUGGUUUUUGGAAAUAAAAAAUAUAAAGCAUAUCCAAACAUGAGCUUAGCUAUUUUAAAUCAUAUCAAAAUAAUAAUCCCAAUAAGGUAAAUGGACUUUUAUACGGAGAAUAAUCUUUAAGGUUUUCAUUUUUAUUGGAUUUUUUUUUUGUGGUGUUUUUUCAAUCCAUCUUCUCAAUUAAUUCCUUAAAAUUAUUUUACUGUUUUUUUUUUUUUCAGUUUCUAAAUAUUUGAUUUUUCCAAAAUGCUUAAAUGGAAGACACUAAUUUUUCAAGAUAUUUGGUAUUACAAUUUUCCCUGUUCUCCCUAUUAUCUAUCAGAUUCAUGGCCCUUUUGUUUUUUCAUUGGUUUUCAAUUUAAUUUUCCAAAUAUUACAUUGUUGUGUUUUGAAUUUGUGAAACCAAUUUUAUAUAUAUAUAUAGUAUGUAAGUCUACUUUGGGUAACAUGUACAGAGAGGUUUUCAUGUGUUUGAAACCUUUUACCUCAAAAAUUAAUUAUUUUUAAUUUUAUAAUAAAUCUUUUUUUAUUUUUUAUUUUAUUUAGGAAAGCCUAUAUUUAAACUACAUGUUUGCAACGCAACACCAUACAUACUCCUAGUGGAACUUACCUUAGUGCUUGAGGGGGAUGCAGAUCUUCUUCUAAACCUAACUAAUAAGCAUAAAAUUGUUCACUAAUUAGCAUAUCUAGUAAAUCAUACAAAUUGGCAAUAUUUCAUGUUUUUCAUGUUUUGUCAAUAAAAGGCGUCUUGACCAUUUUGUGAGUUUUGUAAUAAAUAAAAAAAAAAAAAAAAAAAGGGCAAAAGGUGACUAAAAUGAGGCACUUUGGAAAGGUUAAUAACCUAAAAGGAAGAUGAAUUAAUACCCCCUUAUUCCUCUUCAAAAACCAUUGAGAAAAUGCAAGAAAUGCUCUUAGUUGUAUGCUAGGCUAACAGCCUAGCAACCAUAAUACCCUUCUUUGCAAUUGUAAGCAUUUUUUUUUUUUUUUUGAAGGCCAAACAACGUUGCAAACUUCCCAAAUCCCUUCUUUAUUUUUUAUUUUUUUAUUUUUGUUUUUAGAAGGAGAAUGAAUUUGAUGACAAACUCCUUGUCAAUCUUAUCCAAACCACGAUCGAACAGAACUCCUUGUCAAUCUUAUCCAAACCGUGUUCCACCUCAAAAACAUGUGUAGGACUUAAGGCAGCAACUGGCAAGCAUGACUGAUAGGGCCAAGUGCCCUUGUCUCUACAAUCCAUUAAGUUAACCAAGGGCAGUGAACCAUCAUUCUUUUCAAAAGCUUCAUUCCGUGUUGAAAAUGUGAGACUGAAGCAUGGUGCCCCCAAAAAUAACGAUCUAUUUACUAGCAGCAUGCCUGGACCCAUUAAAAAUACUCUACUUUAGGAAUAGAAAAAAUUACAUCUUUAUCCAAUAAUUUUAUAACAAUUCAGACGUUUCAGUCUAUAAAUAAUUGUACAUAGUUGCCAACGUUUAGCUAGUUUCAAAUGAAUAGCCUAGGUUCAUGCACCAGUUUGGCUGGUGGAGGAAAGGGAUUCGAGACAUUGAACCCUCUUUUUAGUGUGCCAAAUAUUCCACAAAAAUCACUACCUUCUCUUUGUGUUUGUUCACUUUUAGUUUAUAUUUAAUAAAUCUAUGUUUUCGAGUAGAGGUUGGGUUCAGGUGCGACCCACGUCACCUCUCGGACGGUCUUGAAAAAGGAGACCGGACCACGUAAUUUCAAAUGUAGUGACCAUCUCACUUUUACCUCCAUCCUUGAAGAUGGUUUCCCAAAUCAAUAUUAAUCUUUUGUUUACGACAAUAUCGAUCACUUUAUGUCUAUAUCGUUGUUAAUUUACCUUUUUUUUUUAGCCACAUUAUUUGAAAAUUGAUGCAAACUUUACCAACAUCUUGGUACCAUUUUAAAAUAUUAGAGUUAUUUGAUUAAAAAAAUAAAAUAAUCUCGAUAACUUGUUUAUAAAAUAAAUAUCUUUUAACAUUUAGACUAUUCUCACGCAUGCUUUAAAAUUGUAAAGAUAUUCAUAAAGUGGAACUUUAGACUUAAUCAAUAUCGAUCACUUUAUGUCUCUAUUGUUGUUAUAUUUUUUUUUUACAACAUUAUUUGAAAAUUGAUGCAAACUUUACCAACAUCCUAAUACCAUUUUAAAAUAUUAGAGUUAUUUGAUUAAAAAAAUAAAAUAAUCCCGACAACUUGUUUAUAAAAUAAAUAUCUUUUAAUAUUUAGACUAUUUUCACCAUGCUUUAAAAUCAUAAAGAUAUUUAUAUUCAUAAAGUGGAACUUUAGACUUAAACAUGAUAAUAGUUUUUUUACAAUAUUAUAAUUAUUUUAUCGUUUUAAUUAAGCCCUUUAUCAUACAUAUAAAUGUAAAUUAAUGCUAAAUUUUUAAAGCAACGUAUAACCUUUUACAUCUUUUUUUAAGAUGGUGCGAAAAUCCUAUGAAAAAUAAUAAAAGUCGAUGCAUAAGAAGAUUGUUUUGAUAAUUCAAUAGAAAAAUUCUUUUAAAAUGAUAUUAAAAAAUACCCAUAGAGCCUUUAUUAAAAAAAUCAAUUAUUUUCAUAAUAAAAAUUAUAAUUUUUUAUUAUGUAUUAUUAUUUUUAAGUAUCUUUAUUACAAAUACUUUUUUUGAGUUUAUGAGAGGAAUCAACAGGUUGGUACAAGCUUAGGCGUCCUCGUACAUGUUCCCGCUGUGCAAGGUUUUUGUCUUGUUUCGAGCUAGUCGGAAUUUACGUGUUUGAUAACGUUUUGUCCUAUUUUUGUAACGCUUUAAAGGGCGGCCCACCGUUGGAACAGUUCAAGCCAUCCAAAUCAGCCCGGAGGGUUAUGGCGACGUGGCAUGACGCCUACCACCUUAGUUCACAUGAACCCUAUGAUCGUACUACCCUCACAUGACAUCUGUGAUUCUUCACCUCCAAACCCUCUUUAACUUGGUAAUGUAUUCAAAGCUUCAUCAAAUCAUAGCGAUUAGCGACCCUCUUCCACCCUAAUUUUAUAAUAAAAAAUAAAUCUUAGUGGACAUUAAAGUAGUAUUUUGUGGGGGGAAAGAAAAACUCUAUGGGCGUAUCCACUAAAUACGAGCCAAGUAUAAGAGUUAUCACCAUGGAAUCAAAUUAUGAAGCAUUGACAUUUUAAUUGUAUUCAGAUUUGAGGAGGGCACCGCGGCACCAGCUGGCCCAGUGUAGUCUGCUAGCCUACCCGCCAUAAUGACCAAAUUAAUAAAGUAAAAAGGAUUACAGGGAUAUUCCCAACUUUAUUCUGGGUCUGAGCUGGAACUUGGGAGUUAUCACGAUCAACGGGAAAGAUGGUGGGUAGGGGACGAGGAUUGAGGGCUCCAUAUUCACAUCAGUGAAAAACGAAAUGUAUUGAGACAAGUCUUCUAAGGAUUUUCUAGCGUAUUAUAUGGUUUAAAUGAUUAUAAAUCUGUAGUUACUGGUAAAGAGUAGAGAGUGAAGACGAAAGACGUUGAGUGAAAAGGAAGGAGGAGAGGGGAUGGGGCCAUCUUACCGUGUCGGGGAGGAUCCAUAAAAGGACUACGUUCCCUGAAUCUGUAGGCAUCAUGCCUCGCCUAACGGGUUAGUCAAAAUACAGUGAUGUGUGUGAGUUGGGGGCCUCACUCCUCAUUUCUUUCCUUCUUUUCACCCCCACCCCCACUUUUUUUUUUUUUUUUUCGAAUUUUUCUUUGUCCUUUUCUCUCACUUGCGCACGCGGGAGAAGGACCACAAACUAGACAAUUCCUCUGCUCACGUGACCCCGAGUUUUUAAAUAUUUGCCUAUUUGGAAAAUAGUCAUGAAUCAUGAUCGUUAACAAACAAUCUUCACUUUAUUUAUUUAAGAUCUAUUUUUUGGAGCUCUAGUUUAGUUUAUUAUUAUUAUUAUUAUUAUUAUUAUUAUUAUUAUUAUUAUUUAGUAACUCCUCUUAUAUUAAUGAAAAAGAGAGGAGGAAUCCAAACUUGUUUAUUCUUCCUCUUUUAAGGUGUUUGUUUUUUUUAUUUUAUUUUUAUGCUUCAUAUGUCUUCAAUUUCUUAGCAUUUGUCUUAUAUUUCUUCUUAUCCGAUUCAUUAUUGCAUCCUUGGUCAAUCUUUCACGAGGAGUGCCUACUUUUUUCCUUUUUAUUAUUUAAUUCACUUUAUCUUUAUAUUUUCCUUUUACACUUUAUUUCCAAUUCAAAACGUGUCAAAAAAAAAAAUUGGUAACAAAAAAAAAAAAAAAAAUCAAUUGUAAUGAUUCUUAUAUAAUUUUAUUUAAUUUUUAUUAAACAAUAAAGAAAUUAAAAAUAUAUAAAUUUUUAAAUAAUUAUUAUAGUCUUUCAUUUUUGUGUAUAAUUUCUUUUGCAAGAAAUAGUGUAGGCUUUCCACGGUCUAAAGGAAAUGGAAUAUCAAAUGAGAAGGUAAUAAUAAUAAAGUGAGUUAUAGAUACUAAUCAAACUAAUCCACUAAUGAAUUAUUUAUUUUUAUUUCACAUGGACAAAUCCUAAAAGUUGGAGUUCUAAUUUACUUUUAUGUUAAGCUUUUUUAAGUAAAAAUCUUUUAUUAUUAUAAUUUAUAGACAAAAAGAAACCCAUUAAUGUGAUGGAUAAAAAAUUUCAAUUUAAAAAAAAAAAAAUUAAAGUUGCUAAAUUUUUGUAUUUAUUAUUUCAAACUCAUUUAAAUAAUUUAAAAAUAUGUCUUCAAUUAAUUUUAAUGAAACAAAGCAUGAUUUUUUUUUAAUUUUUUUUUCUUUACCAAAUAAAGCAUUAUUAUAAUACGUUGAUUAAAUUUUCAUCAUGUCUCUCAAGAUUUGGAUUAAAUAUACUUAGUUGUCAUAAAUUUGAAAUUUUAUUUAAUGUAUUUUUUAUUUUAAAUUAAAAAGAUGAAUGCAAAUAAAAAAAAUAUGUAUAUUUUAUAAAAUUUUAAAUUAAACGAAGGAUACGUGUAUUUAACCAAGGUGAAUGAAAUUAAUCCAAAUACUUUUUGGUAACUUGCAAAAUAUCUUGACGAAAUCAUUAUGGCAGGCAUCGUACAAGCUCAACCCUUGUCGCCUUGCUAGAAAUAGAGAAACAAAAAGACCCCCAAAUUGGGUUGCAUCCUAAAUAUGAAGAAGUGGUAACAAAGGAAGAAAAAAUGCUGUGUUAUUGAAUAGUUAAUACAUUGAACAUGAUAUGUUACAUAGAGAGCCAGAUUAAUCCUAGUGGAAUUCCACUGUCACGAUGGUAACCUAGGGUUAUGUUUGGUUAUUGAAAAUACCAAGAAAAGAAAAAAAAAUAUAAAGGAAAAUAAUUUUUUCAUUUUUGAUUGUCUUAUAAAAGAUAUAAAAAAAAAACAAAUAUAAUUAAAACUAAUUAAAAAUUUAGGUAUUUUUAAAUUAUUUAAUUUUUAUAUUAAUGAGCGAAAAUAAAUAAAAUAAGUUUAAAAUAACAAAAAAAAUAAUUUACCGAUUUUUAAUCUAUAUUUUAUUUUACUUUUUCUUUGUAUUUUUUUUUUCUUAUAUUUUCCCUCAAAUUUUCUGAAUCAAACAUAGCAAAAAAGGAGCUACCCCUUUCGAAAGAAACUCCCAAGAAUUUCAAAGAAACCUGCUGAGAUAAUGAAUGAGGGAUCACUGUCGGUAAACAGUAUCCAUUCUUUUGGGAGGACUUUCAAACUGAGAAGUUGUUUUCAUGACUUGGAAACAAAAUUUUGAGCUCUAAGGGGGUCUGUAUUUGGGCCCUAAAAUUCAAUCCAUCAAUCUGAAAAAUGCUUAGGAUAAUGAUUUGAUUUAGCCACAAUCACUAAACAAAUUCCAGAGGAAAAUUUCGCUACUCAUAGGUGGCUGAUUCUCAUAAAAAGACAUCGUGGUAGGGUGUCUCAAGUGCAGGCUCACCAUCAACUUGCUGCCCUUUUUAGAUUAUUGUAAAAUGAUUUCACAUGAAGCCCAAUGCAAAACUUUGAAAGAAAAGGUUGGUGGAGACGUGAAGAAUAUGUAACCCAUAGGCCAUAACUAGUACCGAAGAUUAUUGAACAAACAUUCAAGGUUUUUGUAUAGACGAAACUGAAAAGAAUGUGUACCAGACUCAGGCGUUCAGAUCAGAUGAUGCCGUAAUGUGGAUUGUGGAGGAGCAUUGUGCAGACAGAUAAUGAGAUUCUGAAAGCGAGGCCACUGAUGGGCCCUUGGAAGGGGGGCGUGCCUUCAAAAUUAUAUAUAUAUAUAUAUAUAUGUCAUUGAAAAUUGGAAGCAACUUUUCUUCUUAAGUUAUUUUAAUCGAAGAAGAAACAAAAAGUUAAAAACAUACAUUAUUCUUCCUUCUUACGAGGUUUCCGGGUCUAAAUUACUAUGGUCUCUGCAACUGGCGUCGUUUUCUCUCCCCUCUCUCUAUUUUCCCUUUAUUUUUUCACUUUUAGAAAGAAGCAUCCCAUCAAGAAUCUACUACAACCCUACGCUUCCAUUUUGAUUUAGAAAGUUAAAAAUAAGUUUAAGUUAAAAAAAAAUAUUUUCUUAUAUAAUUAUUUAAACUUAUUUCUUUUCCUUUUUAUAUAAAGAAACAAAUAUUUUGCAAAUAAAUAAAUUUCUAAUUAUUUUCAUUAACAUAAUAAUAAUAUUUUUCAUAUGACUUUAAUCACAAUUUUUUUUACCACUUGUCCAAGGCGGUGAGAGGUGAUAAAAUGUAUUAAAAAAACGAUUAAAUUGCAUUAGGUAUAGAAGUUUUGUGCUUCAAUUAUCACUUAUAAAAAUAAAAUAAAAAUAGUCAAAUUUGAGUGUGCAAGUUGGUAUUCGUAUGUAGAAGGAAUUGGGGGAUUUGGGGGUCCUAACAAAUUUGAUAUGAUUGAUGGAAGGAAAUGAUUAUUAUAGGAUAAAGUCCGAAUGAAACGCUGACGAGGGGGGAAAAACAACAGUGGCAAUGCACUAUCCACAGAUCCAUGAUUGAUUUAUGUUAGCAAUAAUGAAUUAUUUUGACUUUGAUAACCUUGGUUAAGAGAAUUUGGUCUUGUUAUUAUCAUUUUUUCAAAAAAAAAAAGUGUAGGUAACUAGGUAGUUGAUUUAUUAGAAUUUAGAAAUGAGGAUCCCCUCCUCCUGCAAGAGCCGUGACAGACAUGCCUGCUUUCUUGCCAGAUUAUACCAAUGUGCCCAAAUAAUCCCCCAUCUAUCAUCUCUGCACCCUGGAACACGUCACUCCCUCCUUUGAGCAAUAAAAUAUCUCUUUUAUUUUCUUUUGAACCACUCUUCUAUUUCUUUGUACCAGACUGGACCCAUUUAAAUUCUUCGCUACGCUGUUCCCAAGGACUACGAGAAUCAAAAUAGCAAAAUUCUUGAAUCAUUUUAAUGGGUUCAGAAACCACAUGUUUCUCUAGAUCAUAAGAGGAAAAUCUUUUUGGAUGGUGUUUGUGUUGUGUUGUGUUCAAUAUUAAAUACUCAAUUAAAUAAGCUAAAUCAAAUAUCACAUGAAAAAUAAUCAAAUUAAAAAUAGGGAGAAUUAUGUUUUGAGGGUAGAUGGACCCCAAAUUAACAAAAGGUUCAUGUAACUCUUCAAAUUGAGCCCAGACCCAAUGAAAAUAUGGAAAUUGAGUUGAAGUAUAUCAUCAUUCAGUAUUUCCAAAAAUGUCCUUUGUUGAUUUUGAGAAAAAAAUUAAUAUUUUUGAAAAAUAUUUUUAUGUAAUUUAAUAUUUUUUUAAAUACUUUUAUUUAAUUUAAUAUUUUUAAAAAAUAAAUUUAUUUAAUUUAAUAUUUUAAAAAAUAUUUAAUUUAAUAUAUUUUUUAAAUACUUUAAUUUAAUUUAAUAUUUUUGAAAAAAAUUUUAAUUUAAUAUUUUUGAAAAAAAAAUUAUUUAAUUUAAUAUUUUUUAAAACUAUUUUUAUUUAAUUUAGUAUUUUUGAAAAAAAAUUAUUUAACUUAAUUUUAUAAAAUAUUUUAUAUGUGUUCUUAAAGGGUAUAUUUGUCCGUUACUAUUUCAUAUCCUUCAACUCAAUUUAAAGAGUUAUAUGGACCUUUUGUUAAUUUGGGGACCCAUCUACCCUCAAAAGAUAAUUCUCCCUUAAAAAUAUAAAUUUAAAUAUGACAUAAUUAUUAAAUAUGUUAGAUCUUGUAUGAGUUUAUAAGAUUUAUGUUUCAAAAUAACAUGUUUAUAAUUCAUCUAUUGAUUUAUAAUCAAAUUUUAAAUAAAUUAAAGUUAUUCAAGUUAAUAAAUAUGAUUUAUGUUAUAAAGACUAACUAAAAAAUAAUUUAUUAAUUAAACGGAUCCUGGUCAAUAAAAAUUUGAUUUAAAUACGAUCAUACUUAAUCAAAACUUAGGUCAAAUUGUAUUGAUAAAUUACAUCAAAACCUUGUUGUGUUCAAUAUUUUAUAUUAAACUAUUUUUUAAUAAAAUUAUUUUUAUAAAUAUAAUAUUACAUCAUUUGGAGAAACAAAAUAGUAUUAUAUUGAUUUUACAUAUAAAGCAACCAGUUAACCCCUCAUUAUUUUGAUCCAUUUCACAUCCAUAUCAUUCUCAUAAUUUUUUUAUAAUAUAUUAACAUGAUGGACGGUAAUUGAGGGUAGAAAAAAAAGAUGAGAAGAAUAAAAUAAUGUGAAUCCUCUCUAAAUGUUACAUCUUCUGACAAAUGAAGUCUAUAGAAAUGUGUAAAAAAAAAAAAAACACUUAAUUGUGAGGUUCACUUGAUUUAGCAAAAAAUUAAUAUUUUAUUUGUUGUGUGAUUUAAAAAUAAUAUUUUAUUUUUAAAAAUAAAAAAUUAUUUUUAAAGUUUUUUAACACUAUUUUACUAUUGUUCUUUGAAAUAAUUUUUAAAAUUAAAAUGAAAUAACUAAUAAUUUUUAGAUAAUAAAUUAAAGUUGUUUUUAUUAGAUUUUAAAAAUAAAAGAAAAAUAUAAAACCAUUUGAUCAAAUUUUUUUAAACUUAUUUUUAAAAGGUUUUUUUUUUUUUUUUUUUUUUUCUAUCCUAAGUUAAAAGAUAAAAAAUAAUUUUUAAAGAUAGGUUACGAGCAAAUGCCACAAACUUUUUUCUUCUCUUUCCCUUGUUCGGAUAGAAGUGAAAAAUAUCCUCCCAUGGAUCGACAUUACGUGAGCCAUCACCAUUCCCCAACUGCAAUUCAACCGCCAAAGCUGAGGUGUCAUUAUUAGUUUGAACAAAAGUCAGCAUUGUCCACGUGGUGACAAGCGGAACUGACCCAACUUGCAAGGCAAAAAAAUAAAUAAAAUAAAAUGAAAAAAUCAGAUCACCAUUAUGACGUCAGUCCAAUUGCUGACCUGGCCGCCGUCCCCCAUUUGACCCACGUGUUCAUUUAACCCAUUCGCCGUAUGCCGUGGCUCCCCACCCAUAUGGCCAUAUCUGCCAUUUAUUUUAUCCGUUGCCUCCAUUCGGUUUUUGGAUUUUACCCAUUCGCCCUCGUCUAUUCCCAUUUCCGUAUUUGCCCACCAAGGAAAUUCAAUUCCCAUGCUUUUGUUUUACAUUCAAAUCCUCCCCCCUCUAUAUAAAGGAGGGAGUAGGGCUUGAAAGUUUCUCAAGCCAACAUGGACUGUUGAGAGUGAAAGACAGAGGAGCCACAAACAAAUAUCACUCACUCAAACCAAAGCCAAAACCAAUACCGAAUUCAAUUCAAAUGACUUCUUUCUCUCUCAUCAAUUCCCUGAAUUCCGAUUCCGAUUUCAAUUUGUUAUCGGAUUCUUUUUCCUGGGAAAACUCCCUACCUUUCAAUGAAAACGACUCCCAGGAGAUGCUCCUCCUGGGCAUGCUGGCCAGCUCCACUCAGGAAACCUCAGAAACAGUUUCUUUGAAUCGAGUGAAGGAGGAAGAAGUGACUUCCCAGGAAAAUCCCGAGAAGGAGAAGUCAUACAGAGGCGUUAGGAGGCGGCCAUGGGGGAAAUUCGCAGCAGAAAUAAGGGACUCGACCAGGCAUGGCAUAAGGGUGUGGCUGGGAACAUUUGACAGUGCAGAGGCAGCUGCUCUGGCCUAUGAUCAAGCUGCUUUUGCGAUGCGGGGCCCUGCGGCAGUCCUCAAUUUCCCGGUGGAAAGAGUGAAGGAAUCGAUGCAGGAGAUCAAGUGCAUCUUGGAGGAGGGGGGCUCACCAGUGGUGGCCCUCAAGAAGAGGCACUCUAUGCGGAGAAAAAGUCCUUGCAAGAAACAUAAAAGUGAAGAGGUGAGGUUAGAAAAUGUGGUAGUGCUGGAGGAUUUGGGUACUGAAUACUUGGAACAGCUCCUCACUUUCUCUGAGACCUCUAGUCCUUGAUCAUCAUCAUCCAUCACCUGGAUAGCUUCUUCUCUUUGCUCUGUUUCUUACUUUUCUCUCUCUCUCUCUCUCUCUCUCUCUUUUUUUUUUAUGUAAUUUUUCUUAAUGUAUUUUUGGAGAUGGCGGGGGUGUAGUGGUGGCAAUUAUCCAUCUAGAAUUUUUCAAAAGAUAUGUUCUUUUGUUUCUUUGUAUAAAGUUGAAAAGUGGGGAUCAAUUGUGAUGGUGCUCUAUGUUCAUCCACCCAAUUUAUAUAAUCAAGGUGAUUAAUGUUUUUUGAUAUCAACAAUUUGUGAAUGACAUAGAGAGAGAGAGAGAGAGAGACCUUAUUUUCUACACUCAUUACGGUGGUUUCCAUUUGGGGAAGGAAAAGGAAAUGGCUAAGAAUGUUACCAAAAGAAGUGGGGUGGCUUUCAUAUGCGUGGUGGCAUACUUGCAUACAAACUUUUCAAUUGUGUUCUGCAUGCCACUCGGGUCAAUUUCAUUUCUUUUACUCCUAGUAGCCUAAUUGGAUUUCCUUUUUCUCAUGAGACAUCAAAUAAAUUUCAUUUUUUUAUAUUUAAAUAGUUAGGUAAGUUUGAUAGUGAGUUAUAUUUUAUACAUUAAUUCAUCUUUUAGAAUGUUGUCUACAAUAUAAACAGUGUAAUUAAUUUCAUCAUUACAGAACAGUCAUCUUAUAAAAUAACAUAAAAAUUAUUGGAUCACUUGUAUGGCACCACUGAUUUGGACUUGGUAUGGCUCUGUUUGGCUUCAUAGAAAAAAUUUGGACCCAAUUUGAAUGUCUUGCAUAAAAAGAGAUACGUCCCACUUUGAAUGAUAUUGAAGAAAAAAAUUUCUGAUGAAGAAUAUAUUGUUGGCAGGGUCAUGCAGGCCAAUAGGGAAACGAUAAAUUCAGAAGAAUGAGUCCAAACCAGUGGGCUUGAAAAUUAAGAAGAGAAUUGCUGUAUAAAACAAUCAUUUCUUAAUCGAGUUCACUUUCUGAAUAAUCGUCACUUUGAGAAUGCAUACUUAGGAAGAUGAUGAUCCUUAAUGGGAAUAAUCAAAGGCAUCAAAAAAUUGUUCUGGAACAAUUCUUGAUUGUCUCCAGUAAAAUUCAAAGUCAAAAGUCAAAAGUCCAGUCGGUCAACACCAAACCAGGCCAGUCCAAAAGACAUUAAUUUGCAAUCUAGAAUCUAUGAUGAGGUGGCGAAAUCAAACCUUGGCUUUUCACCAGGGAAUGGUACUCUGAAUUUGGUCAGUUCACUGUUUCGAGUGAAUAGGGUGUAGUAAUUAGUAAAUCAUAUUUUAGAUUUGUGUCACAAGUUACAAGGGAUAUGGGCUGACGUUCAAUUUUGGCGACAAUUUGUGGGCCCGUAUAUUUGUUGAGAUGUGGAAAUUGGGUGUGUGCUUUUUUCUGCUACCACAUAAAUAUAUUUCUUUGAAUUGAAGAGUGUUUCAGACCAUUUUUUUUCAAGUCACAAAUGGACAACUGAUUGAGAUUGUAUUGGUGAGAGUAGGAGUUUAUUUUGGGCUGGUUGAGCGAAGUUGAAAGUCGAGUUGGACCUAACCCUUGAAUUCAGCAGACUACAGUCCGAUCCUGUAUUUUGGAUUUAGGGAACCUUCUUUCCCAGAAGCUUCGUCUGGGUUUUAAAGUCUAAAUGUGGCUACUCUUAAACAUUGGAGAAAGGAUGAGCGUUCACAAGCAAAUGGGUAAUUGUGGAUGGUUCAAGGACCUGGCCAGCUGGUCUUCAAGUUUGGAUGCCGGUUUGGGCCUGAGAGAGUCUUUGCAAAGUGACUUCACUUCAGCCUAUGAGAUCAAGAUAUCAUGGUGAUGUCCGAUCACUUAGGUUUCAUUUUCACCUCGGAUUACCGUUACCAUGUUCAUGAAUAAAAAUAAAUAAAUAAAUGAAGCCUUAUAGAGAAAUUAAUGAAGUGAGCUAUACAAGCAACUGGGCCAGGAGCCUACAAGGCAGAAAUUCCCUGCCCUAGACUAGGCCGAAUAAAUUAGAUGAAUGAAUUGGGGAAACCUGGGCCAGCCACACAUCCUCCUGAAGGCUGAUGUCGAACUCGCUUACGAGGAAUGGACAUGGGAGAUUGGGCUGGGACCAAAUAACCAAUUGACAGCCCUAUCCUUGUGGCAAGACGUCAGUAAAAUGGUUCAUUCUGAUUUUACGCUGCCAUUCAAUUUAAUUUUAAUUUUUGUUUAAAGCGAUGUACAAAUUGAAUGGUGUCUAGUCACUUAAAGAGUGGUUCAUAAUACACUUAAUUUAAACAAAAAAGAAAUUAUUAGAUAGGGGAUUCUCCAAUAAAAACCACCCCAUCUUGUCAGCAAGUCCGGAAACUUCCUUCACUUAGGGCGUAUUUGUUUUUUUAACUUUAAUAUUAAAGAAAGUUGGUUAAACCUUAUGACACUUUUAUAUUAUUUUAUGAAUUUUUUUUAAUUUUUAUUUUAAUGGAAUUUUAACUUUAAUACAAGUUGGAGUAAUUCUUAUCUUAAAAACAAAUCAAAAUUACUUUAAUUUUAUAUAGAAAUAAACUUACAGUAAAUUUACCAUGAAAAUUUCUAAGUCAAAUACACCAUAAGUGCUAGUAUUUUAUAAUAUUUAGAAACAUGUUAAAUUAUUAUUAUUAUUUUUUAAAAUUAUUAGUUUUCAUAUUAGUUUUAGGGAAACUUGUGCUUUAGGUCUUUUAUUUGCAAAUAAUAUGGUUUUCAAAUCCUAAGAAUAGAAAAUAUGAGAAUCAACUGUUAAUGUGGAAAAUAAUAUCAAUUUUGUGCAAUCUCUAUUGACUCAUUUUUUUGUGCCUAGAUUGCCUUCACCCACUUCCAUGUCAACAACCACAUUAAUAGAUUGUUUUUUUUUUAUAAAACAAAUAAUUAUUAUGUUUAAAAUUUUGGGGAAACUCUCUAUCUCUCUUACUUCUUCACUACAUCCGAGACCCAUCUUCCUUAAACGUUUGCCUCUCAUUUUGCCCUAACCCCAAAUCUCAUAAAUUUCUCAUUUUCUUGCCUCAUUUGAAAUAUGAAGAUGACCGAUUCUCAAACAUCUCUGUCUCUCUCUUCACGUUUUGACCAGUCUAAUUGGAAACCCAUUUUCCAAAAACCUUCUUUCUUUCAUUUUGCCCUAACCCCACUAUCUCCCUCUUCAAGACCUAAUCACCCAAACUCGAUAUCUAUCUUCCCAAAACCUUCAAGCAAACUGAACUAGACCCAUAUCUUCUUUUUUCAUCAUCAAAGGUGAAAUUUUUUUAAGGCUUUUGGAAACCGAAUUGGAGCUUUCCCUUCUUCUGGGAUUAAUCAUUCGCAAGUGAGUUUUCCAUUUAAGGCUUUGUUUGGCUGUUGAAAUCUUGGGAUCAAAGGUCUUUUAUUUUCAGGUUUCUUGUAUUUUGCUUUAUUUUCUUGUAUAUAACAAUAAUCAUUGUAACAUAUGCUAGUAGUUACCCUUGGUGCAACUUUACAUUUCCAAAUACCCUAAAGUCCAAAGCUUUUAAUUCCCUUUUCAAAGCUUUCAACUUUGAAAGCAGACUAAACCAUAAGAACUAUGAAACUUAUAUCUCUAUCACCACUAAUUAAGCAUGUCUAUGAAUCCUUCCACUUUAAGUCACUUAUUCUCAAACCAAGAAGGGCUCCUCUCAUUCUCACCCCACCUCAUCUAAAUGAGGGAAAUGAUCAAUUGCAGCCAUGCUUUGCACCAAAUUAGAGAAGUGAUCCUCCCAAUCAUCCAUUACCAAAAAUUGAUCAUGCUGAUGAGAUCAUAAGAGUCUAUUCGGAACUCCCAGUUUACUUGCCUCUUAUCUCAGGAUCCUCCAUUACCCCCUGUCUUUCCAACAUCAAAUCAACUUGCAAACAAUUCCUUUGUAGAUAAAAUGUUUUUAAUAUUGCAAAAGGGGACUUAUCAUAAUGGUUGAAUCGAUUUAUUUGAUAUAAUCACUCAAAUUCAAGCUUAAAAUUGAUCAUAAUAAAAUGUUUUUAAUAUUGUUAAAAGGAGAUUAUAAUGGUUUUAUUUGAUAUCAUUACUAAAAUUCAAGCUUUCAAACAUGCUCUACAAAGAAGUUCUAAAAGACUACAAGAAAGAGUUUCCACUAAAGAAAAACAAUGAAACCAUUUCUACUAAAGACAAACAAUGAAACCACAGAUGCUUUGUGAAAUAUGUACCCGCACAAUCCAACAAACUUUAGAAAUUCACAAACACUACCUAGAAUUUUUGCUGACCAGCAAAAAAUUUAUGCAAUUUAAUUCUUAUUGUUAUUAUUAUUUUCAAUGUGAACAAAUAUGAUUGAAUUAUGAAGUAUUUGGCCAGAAGAGGAUCUUGCCUAAUUAUAGUCAUUAAACAACCAUUUAUACCAUAGCCUCUAGACUUUAAAAAGUUUAUAAAACUCAAGGGCUUCCACCCAAUUUCUAGAUAUCUCCAUAACAUUCUUCUGACUAUUAGAAAGCAAUUACCACUUUAAUUUUUCAUUUCAUGAGUGUUCAAUUCAGAAAAAGACCAGGAUCGAACUUGCGAUCAUGCAGUCGAAAAUCCACCUGUGCAUGAAACUAUUGCCUCACGAUUGCAAACUCAAGUUGGAGUCCAGUAACAACUCUAGGUUUGCUGAUGUGCUCCAUUUGAAAUAAAGGAACUAAAGAAUACUUUAUAAAGAUUAAUUACCUUCAUAUUUUAGGUUGGGGUUAAGGCAAAAUGUGAUAGAUUGAGAGGAAGAAAAUAUAUCUUGUUCAGGAAGCCAAUAUUUUGGAGUUCACCUUUCCAUUCGAGUCCACUCUGCUAUAGCAAAAUCAGAGUCACAACUAUGCCUCUUUAAGCUAUCCUUUAAUUGGAUGAAUUGCAGAUUUGGUUGCUGAGAAAGUGGAUAAGAAAGAAAAAUGCAUACUGUAGCUUGAGAUUAAGAGUUUGUUUUCUAAAAUGAGAGAAAGGGAAAGAGAAAAAAUGCAUAUUGUAGCUUGAGAUUAAGGGUUUGUUUUCUAAAAUGAGAGAAAGGGGAAGAGAAAUGUUCGACAACUUUGAGAUGACAAAUUUUUAGAUUUGGAAAAUUUGAGAUGAGUCUCAGGUUUUUUUUUUUUUUUUUUUGUCUUUGUCUUUGUUUUUUUUUUUUUUUUUUGUUUUUUUCCCAAAAACAACCUGUUAAUGUGGUUGUUGACAUAGAAGUGGGUGAGGGCAAAAUGGGCAUAGAAAAAAGAGUCAACACAAAGUGCACAAAACCCAUAUUAUUUUCCACAUUAAUGACUGAUUCUCAUAUUUCUUGUUCUUGGGAUUUGAAAACCAUAUUAUUUGCAAAUGGACCUCCCAAAGCACAGGUUUCCCUUAGUUUUAUGUCUCCAUCUACAUUUUACAUAUAAAUAGAUUAUUUUAUAAAAUUUGUUUUGUAGAUAUAUUAGUUAAUAAUUAUAUAAUUAAUGAUAUAGAAAACAUAUAAAAAUCAUAUUUAAAAAAGAUAAUUACAUAUUCCUCAACAAUCCAUCCCAAGAAUUCGAGGUUGAGUUGAAAACAUGUAGAGUCUUUGAUGUUAUUAUAAUCAUAUCCAACACAUAUGAUUAUUGUUUAUGAGAUAUUAUUAGAAAGUUUGUCUUAAAAUAAUUGAUUUAUUACCCACCUUUAGCAAAUGCCCAUUUUUGCGUCUUUCAAAAUUUUCAUUUUUUUUUUGUUUAAAAGAAGUAUUGUAAAGAAUGAUGAAAUAAGAAAUUUGUUGAGAAAGUGUGAGUAAAUAAUUUUACAUAAAAAGAGAUUUAAUACUUGAUAAAUAAAAUAAUAAAAUCAUGAUUUCUAGUUGUAUAGGGCCGGGUGGAUGGAGUGGCUAAGAUGUAAUUCUUGAAAUAGAGGAGACAACAUCAAUGUAUAAAAGUUUAACAGAGAAGGAAAGUGUGUUUGAAUGACUUUAUUUUCUUCAUUUAAAGUUUUGACGAUGAGUGUUUAUACAAGAUAAAUUUUCAAAUGAUAGGACUCCUAUUUACAUGGAGUUUGUGAUAUACUAUGAUUAUACAAAUUUAAAAUUCAAACAGAUUCAUGAGUUGAUAGGAGUCUGCUCAAUACGCCCCUUCAAAAUGGUGGGAGAUAGCACACCAAUCUUGACUCGAAGGGCCUAAACUCGUGCAGAAGAUGAGGGCUUUGUUAGAGCAUCGACAAGUUGAUCCGUGGUUGACAUAUGGGACACCUUGAGCUCACCUGAUUAAACCUUGUUUCAAACAAAAUGAAAAUCAAUCGCCGAUGUGUUUCAUGGAGAGUGAAACAUGGGAUUUGCACAAAGAUAUGUUGCACCCACGUUAUCACAAGAGAUAGGAGGUGGUGAUAAAUUUGAAACACUAAGUUUUGAGAGAAGAGAAUUAACCCAAAGAACCUUUGAGGCUGUAGAGGCCACGACGUGAUAUUUCGCUUCAGUGGAAGAGCGUGCUAUGAACUUUUGUUUCCUCGAUGACCAAUACACAAGAUUGUGACCAAGAAAAACAAUGGGAGCAUUGGUGGAGGAUCUGACAUAAGGAUUCCUUGCCCAUUCAACAUUCGAAUAUGCAUGUAGAUUGAUGGGCGAUUUCUUAUGCAAGAACAGACCAUGCACCAUUGUGCCGACUAAGUAUCUAAGCAAUCUUUUAACACAAGACCAAUGUGUUGAUGUUGGAUGGUGCAUAAAUUGAGAUAAUUUAUUCAUCAAGAAGGUGAUGUCAGGGCUAGUAAGAGAGAAGUAUUGAAGGCUUCCAACAAUUGACAUAUAUUUAGUGGGACCAGGAAAAGAGGUGUCAUCACACAGAUUUGGAACAUUGUUGAGGAACAUCAAUGAUUGAACUGGUUUGGUAGCCACCAUUUGUGUUUUCUUAAGAAGCUCUCGAAUGUACUUGAGAUAAAAAUAAUCCUUUGGAAGUAUGUAUCAUUUCAACACCAAGAAUAAAAGAUGAAGUCCUGAGAUCCUUAAUGGAGAAUUUGACUGCUAAUUGAGAGAUCACGCGAGCACGAAAAACAUUAUUGUUACUUGUUAAAAUAAGAUCAUCAAUAUAAAUAAGUAGGUAAACAAUGAGACCACUCUUUUUAAAAAUGAAGAGGGAUGUCUCGGUUUAGGAGUUGACGAAGGCUAUUGAGAGGAGAAAUUGGCAAAGUUCAUGAUACCAUGAUCGUGGAGCUUGUUUAAAGCCAUAAAAAGCCUUACAAAGUUGGCAAAUGUGAUGAUGUGUGUAUUCGUGAACCCAGGAGGUUGAAUCAUGUAAACAUCUUCAUGAAGUGUCCUAUGCUAGAAUGCAUUAUUAAUGUCCAAUUCAUGAGUUGAUAGGAGUCUGCUCAAUACAAUGUGGGAGUGUGAUUUCAAAAUUAGGGUAAUUUCGAAAUGGAUUUUGUAUUCACAAGUUGAAUUUCAAAAUUAUUUUGAAAUGGUCUUUUAACUUUAAGCAGUUGUGUUCAAAAGGUCAUAACUUCUUCGUUUCAAUUUUGAUUUACACAUUGUUUAAAACAUUGGACUCUUUACUUCCCGAGCUUCAAAACGAUAUAUAGUAUGCUCAAAAAUGACAUCAGGAUUGGUUCAAAUUUCAUCUUGAUAUUAGAGUACAUGUUGUGAUUAGAUUUUGAGUUCCAAAUUUCCAUGUAAACUUGAUUGCAUUUGCUUCAAACCUCCUUCAUUAUGGUUGCUUGCCCUCUAUCUCACUUUGCAACAUUUGUUACUAGUAUUUUAUGUCCAUGACUUACUCAUUUCAACCUUUCUUGGAUUCUUCAUGGUUCACAAAUUAUGGAUUCUUCAUGGUUCACAAAUUGAGUCUUUCAAUUAUGCAUGUUUAACUCCUAUUUCCUUGGUUGAUAAUGACUUUUACACUUAUCAUUUUCUUUUAUUCUUUAAACCUGAAUUUAGACUUACAAAAAAAAGUUAGAUCCAUAACUAGGGUCUUAGCAUCAAUUUGAGUUAAGUUGGAUGAUUUGAAAAUUUUAUAUUACAUAAAUCAUAUCAUACAUGUGCCAUUGGAGUGCACAUUUUGGCUCUAAUCAUGUUCCAACCCAUUGUUUUACUCUUGCAUGAAGUAUGUGGCCAUUGAUUUUAAUUUUAUUUGCGAUUAGGUUCAAAAUGGUGCUUUUGUGUUGCUCAUGUGUCAUCAGAAGAUCAACUAAUGGAUUCUCUAACAAAACUACUACAUCAUAGUCAUUUUUUUUUUUCUUAAGACCAAGAUUGAGAUCUCCAAUCGGAGCCAACUCCAUCUUGGGGGCAUGUUAGUGAAAGAUAAAAUUUAUCUUUAAUUUAAAUAUUAAUAUUUAUCAGUUAUUAGUUUUAAUUAGAGUAAAAGAUAGAGUUUAAAUUGGAGUAGGAGAUAAACUUGUGUUUGAACUAGAAUAGAAGAUAAAGUAUAAAGAUUUAUGUUUGAAUUAGAAUAAAAUAUAAAGUUUGAAUUAGAGUAGAAGAUAAACUUGUUCUUUAUUUGUAUAUAAAUAUUCAUCAAUUCUUGAGAAGAAGAUUAUUUCAUAGUUUUUCUAUCUUCUUUUUUCUUCAUACAUAUCUGCAAGAAAUUGAAGAUUUCAAGUAAAAUAUUUUCUGUUUUAAAUAGUGAAAAAAGCUAGAAAUUCACUUUGUUAUCUCUUGGGGUAAAUUGACAAGGUUUAACGUUAAGAAGGUGAAUUAUUUUUUCAGAAAAACUGAAGUAGCUAGGAUAUCUGGCCAGUUGUGAUCGAUAAAAAAGUUGUAAAAUCUCUCAUAUACUAAACAGGUUUUGGAUGUUGGUAUGGUAAAUCCAUCUGCAGUCAUUCGUCAUCUCAUCUAGUGAGAUGUUUGGGAGGUGGUGACCGCCGGAUUGGGUUUCAUUUGGUUAAAUCUGUCAGUGGGUUGGCUACUACCCGAGCCUCUUGCUUUGGGGGAGGUGGGUUCUAGAUAUAAUGUUCAAACCAUUUUAGUUAUCAUAUGCAUGACAUGUAAGCAUAAUCUCUUUAUCACUUCUUCAAUGGGAGUUCAUGGUUAGGAAUUGACUUCUUUUCUUCUGGGAUGCUUGGCAUGUAAUGGACAAAGUUACUUUUAUAUCGAUCGAAUUUCUAGUAUUAUAGUGAAGACUUACCCUUUUGACAUUUUAUAUCGAAUUAUAGAAGAUGAAAGGGACAUACAUGCAAUCGACUGACGCUUUAGUGAAUAUGCUGAAAAUAUGCUGAUGCUGUGGAGAUCGUAUGAGGACAGAGGAAAAAGAUAGAAAUGGAUAUAUAAUUAGACCUAGGUUUUUAUUAAAUGAGAUGGGGAACAUAGAGUGAGGGAAAAUCAAAAUUUUUGGCUGCAGUUCACAUUGGUGAUAUUUUGGAUUGACAAAGACUAACGACUUUUCUAUUUUUCUUUUCGGCCUGACUGGAUAGUUGGACAUGGACAAUACAGAAUCCACAGAAGGAUUGUUGGGACCGCUGAAAAUUAGCUAGAAGAAGCUGAGGAAGUAGUCUACGUAGUCAAAUACCAAACACAAAGAAAGAAAGAAAUGGAUAUCAUGGAUGCCUAGAGUUAUACUCCUAAUACCGUCACAGGUAUUUUUCUUUCCUCCUUUUUUUUUCUACGAUAAUUAGAGCAUUUCUCCUCCUCCUCCUCCUCCUCCCCCCACCCCACCACCAAAAAAUAAAAAAAUAAAUUAUUGCAAGUAACACUUCAAAUAUUAAUUUAUACAUUCUAAAGUAUAUAUUCAUGAAAUAACUUGAGUAUCAUACAUUAGUUCUCAAAAAAAAAAAAAAAAAAAAAAAAAAAUUACUGGAAGAGAAAAGUUUAAGAAAACAUAAAAAUAUUCAACUACUAUUUUAAAGAGAAAAUUUAAUUUUUACACUAUAAAUUUGAAGAGAACUUUUACAUGCAUCUUAUAUAAACUACCAUUUUUUGCUAAAAGGCUUAAAUUUGUCAAAAAUACCCCUUAGGUGCUUAACGUUCUGGUCAUAAUAUAAUUGGCAUCUUUUCUCAAACAUAAGGCCUGUGUGUGGGAACAAGAUUUAAUGUUAAUGAGCUUCGCCACCGACAUUUAGUUCCAGAAAUCAUUAUUUUAAUAGAGUGGGCUCAAUUUACAACUUUAAUUAAACUCUAACCAACUGCAUUGUGAAAUGAAUAUGUUUCUUUCGUGGUGAAUCCAAUGAGUUGGGAGUCAAACUUUGCUUCAUUGUGUAUAGAUGAAAUGUUAAGACUCCAUGUAACCUCAAACAUUUCCGCAAUNNNNNNNNNNNNNNNNNNNNNNNNNNNNNNNNNNNNNNNNNNNNNNNNNNNNNNNNNNNNNNNNNNNNNNNNNNNNNNNNNNNNNNNNNNNNNNNNNNNNUUCUUUCGUGGUGAAUCCAAUGAGUUGGAGUCAAACUUGCUUCAUUGUGUAUAGAUGAAAUGUUAAGACUCCAUGUAACUCAAACAUUUCCGCAAUGAGCGGGAGUUCUAAAUUUAAUAAUUGAAAUUGUCAGUGGAACCAGUGGACAAGAGUUGGUUUGUGGUUGACAAACUUAUCCGUUUGAUCUUUACUUGAACAGUUCCAGUGUGUGGAUGGGUACUGAUGAAGUGUGCGCAUUUAUUUUGAGAAGCCUGCUUGUUCGCAUAGAUUUUAACGACAUGAACAUUGUGGUAAGGUUAGAGAGUAAUGCGAAUGUAGGAGCUUAUAUUAGAAAUGACACAAACACGUAAAUAGAAGUAAUCUAUAUAUGAUAUUACUCAUGGACUACAAGCAAAGAAGUACAAUACAUGGAGUAAGUGAUGAAAUGAGCAUUCCUCACUACUACUGCUUGACUGAUGGAACAUGAUGCACGAGAUAGCAUAAGUAGUAGUAGGAAGCAGCUCUUAUUUGUGGCGUCGGUAUACAUCAUACUAGGUAGAUGGUUCAAUUGGCAUGGAUGGGUGGUGGAGCCUUGAAGUGCUUGUGAUGGGGAGCCCACGGCUUCUUCUCAGGAGUUGGUGGCUUCUUGUAUGGAGUUGAUGGAGGUGUUUCUACUGGAGGGUGGCCAGGGUAGUGACCCUGGGGUGGUGAAGGUUCUUUUGUCGGUGGUGGCCUCACUAUUAUUGGCGGUAGAGUUGGUGGCUUGGGCGUUGGCGGUGGUCUCACUACUCUUGGGGGUAGAGUUGGUGUCUUGUGUUUUGGUGGUGGAGGUGGCUUAACAGGAGUUGGUGGCUUGUAUUCUGGGGGUGGUUUCUCCACCGGAGGUGGCUUAUAAACUGGAGUUGGUGGCUUGUAUUCUGGGGGUGGCUUCUCCACUGGUGGUGGCCUGUAAACAGGGGUUGGUGGCUUAUAUUCUGGGGGAGGCUUCUCCACUGGAGGCGACUUAUAAACAGGGGUUGGUGGCUUGUAUUCCGGGGGUGGCUUCUCUACGGGAGGUGGCCUGUAAACAGGGGUUGGUGGCUUCUCCACCGGAGGUGGCUUAUAAACGGGGGUUGGUGGCUUGUAUUCUGGGGGUGGUUUCCCCAGUGGUGGAGACUUGUAAACAGGAAGAGGUGGUUUGUGCUCAUAUGGGGGUGGCUUGUGGUCAUUAGCAAGUGAGGGAGUGGUGAGGACCACCAAUCCAAGGAACAACACGAGUGAGCAAGCAGAAGACAUGUUUGGGCUCUGGUGAUGCACAAGUAGAAGAAAUGGGAACCAUUUAUAAUGCUUCGAGACCUUGGUUAGCACCAAAAUAUGUCAAAAUCUUGAUUACUUCAUUUCAUACAUAGAUUUAAAAUUAUUUCAAUCAACCAUGAUCCUUAAUUUUCUGGGUGGUCCAUAAAUGUAAUGGGGUCAAUUUGGGACCUAACAAGCUGAGAAGUUUGACAAUGCUGCAAGGCUUCAUCCGAAAGUCCGGGGAAGAAUAUUAGGAGUUACACUCCGUUUCCUUUUUUGGGUGCAUUUUUCUCCUUUAACAUUCUAUUCCCUUUUACAUUAGCAUUUGAUCUUAGCUCAUUUCAAGUACAAGUUUCUUGAACCCUAUACCAUUGUCAAAGUUGAGUAACCAUCUCUACUUUGCUCAAGAAACAUAAAAGACAAUGACAAUAAAGAAAAAGGAGAGAGACCAUACGUGACUUGGUUUAUAGGUGGCUUUGUGUUGACAUUUGAGUAUGGAAGCCGACAUGCAUCUUAGCUUCGAUUUUAAUUAAAUUUGUACAUUAGUGUCUGUGUCAUUCAUUUUGGUAUAAAAGGUCUCUUGAUUUCGUAAGUUUGGUAAGAACCGUUGAAAAUAGCAGUAGCAGCACAUGGUCCACUUUCUUUCACAAAAUAAUUUUAAAAGUUUAGAAGCAUAGGAGGUAACAUUAGUGGCCUUGUGGCUCAGCCACGAGUACUAUGUGGUGCUCGAGAAAUUGAGUUUAAUUUCCUUCCGAUAGUUCAUGAUAAGGUCCGUCACUGUCCUGAGACAGAUUGCGUUUUUUCUUUUUUCCUUUUUUAGUGUUUUAUUGACUAGCUAGGUGUGACUUUUCCUACUUUAAGGCACGAGGCAGAAAAGAAACUGGGAUUUAGUGCUUAAGAAGGCAAAUUUAAUUCGAUUUGGAUCUAAAAUUUGCCAGCAACAUGAGAUUUUCCAGCCUAUCGUUGCUCCACAUAUAGACAAGGCACUUGUAGAAGUGGCUUGUUUGUAGCCAUUCCCGAUAUUUGGACUCACUUGAUUCACCGGACACUUUGAUAAAAUUUAAUAUUUAUUAUUUAAUAAUUUAAAUUGAUUUAAAAUUAAAUUAUACCGAAGUUGUGAUUUAAAAAUUAUUAUUUAAUUCUUACUUUUAAAUAUGAAGAUUAUUUGAUAAAAAUAAUUUAAAAUUUAUUAUAAAUUAUCAAAUUAACAUAUUUAUCCUUAUAAAUUAUAAUUAAAACAGAAAAGGUCAAAUGAUUUGAGUAUCCAUAGAUGUGGUAAAAUAAUAAAAAAGAUUAUAAAAACAAUUAUGAUAAAUAAAGAUAAAAAGUAAAAUGAAUAUGUGAAUUUAAAGAAUAAAUUAAUUAUUUUUAUUUAUUACUUAAAAUUAUUUUUGACUUUAAAUUAUAUUAUUAAAUUAUUUUACCAAACAUACUUAAUUUAGUUAAUAAUUUAAAUUUAAUUUAAGUUAUUAAAUUGAUUCACCAAAUACCCACUUAAUCAAAGACUGAAGUAUACAUUAUUUGGCCAAAUGCAGCUAUUGAAAUUUAACUUUUUCCAAACUUAUUCAUUUUGUGGAAAUAUUUUUAGAAAUGAUUUUAAAAAUGCACUAUUCUGUGUGUUGAUUUUAUAUUUUGGCAUUAAUCCAACAUAGAAAACGGUUCUUAUUUUCGCUGUUAAAUAGGUACCAGAUCCUUAAUUAGUGCCGUGAAUCCGGCAGCUUCCAAUGAGUAAUUUGGACUUGGGUAUUGACAAUGUGUGGCCAUGCUUCUACUAUUUUAUUAUUCUUGAAACAUAUAUGAUAUAUUGGACUUUAUACAGGGAAAAAAAAAAAAAAAAGUCUUCACCAAAAAUGAUUCCUCCUAAAAAAUAGACUCCACAAACUAGGUUUAACAGGAAAAUGAUUCUAAUCUAGUAGUUUCCAGCCACAUGAGCAUUUACGUAACAAUAGUAUAGUUGAUAACGACUUUUAUUUUAUUUAUUUUUAAAUAGUUAAAGGGAUAAUUUUUGAGCUUAAAUUUUAUUUUUUUAUUUAGAAACAUUUUACUUUAUUUUUUAAUCAUAAUUCUAUUAUAUUAAUGUUUUAUUUUCUAUUUUUUAAUAUAUAAGGAGAUACUAAAUUUAUGUGAUUAUUUUUUAAAAAUUUAGUAUAUGAAAUUAAAUAAUUGGAUAUAUAUACAUAUAUCAUAUAAUGUUUUUUAAGUGUGAUUUUUGAACUUUUUAGUCAUUUUAUAAGUUUAAGCUUUUGAUUUUUUUUUUUAAACUUUGGUAUUUUUUAUUUUAUAUAAAACUAUUUUGAUUUAAUUUUAUUAAAAAAUAUUGGUAUUAUAAAUUAUUGUAUUAAUUAUUUUUUUAUAUUAUAAUGUAACUGGUAUAUACUAAAAAAUGUAUGCAAGUUCAAUUUAAGUUUCAAAUUAAAAAAUUUCAUUUAAAUAUUUAAUAACUUGUUCAUAAUAAAAAAUUAAACAACAUAAUACAAAUGAAAAGAAACAUAAAAGAAAAAGGAAAAAAUGGUCCUCUCUGUGUGUCACAUUACUAGGUCAUCCUCUUUUUCUAUGACCCUUACAAUAGAAUGGCAUAUUUGUCAAAUCUACUUAUGAAAGUUGGAAUGUUUCUACAUGUGUAGGGUCCAUUGGAACUAAUGGAGGAAAGGCUUAACGUCUAUGUAAAUCACAACGUUGCCUAGGUGGGCAUAGAUCUAGUUGUGUAACAUGAGAUGGUGUGAGAGUACAAUAUAUGCAUUGUAGUCUCUAUGGGAAGAGAGAUAGGUAAUGGUAGGGUGGUAGACGGUAGGGUGAUCUCUAAUAUAAUGACAUUUGAUGUGGUGGCUUCUAAGAGAGGAGAUAUAAGAGAUGGUAGAAUGACAUUUGGUGUAAUGGUCUCUAGUGCAAUGACAUGUGAUAUGGUGACCUAUAAAGAAGAGAUAUAGGUGAUGGUGAAGUGGUAUGUGGUGUAGUGACCUUUGAGAUAGAAAAUAGAGGUAAUGGUAGGUUGGCAGGUGGAGUGGUCUUUGGUGUAGUGACAUCAAUUAUAAAUGUCUCCAAGGGAGGAAAUAAAGGUGAUGGUAGGUAGUAAAUGUUGAGGUGGUCUUUGAUAUGUUAUGCUCUAAGAGAGAAGGUAUAGGUAAUGAUAAUAGGGAAUUUGACAUAGUGGUGUUGGAAAUAAAAAGUGAAAGUGACCGUAGAGGUGAAAGGGCAAGUGUAAAAGCCUCAAGUACGAAUGGAGUAAUUAAUGUGGAUGGUGCUAACAUAGUCUUAGGUGGAUACACAAAUAGUCAUAGUCAUCAACUAGCUUGCCCACCAUCUGUCUUUCUGCUAGUGAUAGGUUACAUCUUAAUAGUAAUGGCCAACAUAAGUGGUGUGGAUCCGAUUUUUUUACGUGUGUCCCCACUCAAUCGACAAGACUUAUUUUUUAUUAGUGAAAAAUUAAUUUUGGAAAAGUUGGAGUCACCACUUAUUUUAUUUUAUUUUAAAAAGGAAAGUAAAACAAGAAAGAGAACUCUAAAGAAGUGACUUCAUAGUUUUGGAAAAGUUAGUCUUAAAAAAUCCAAGUCUUGGUCCGGAGAUCAGGUUACUUAUUGGGAAGAUACCUCUAAGAGGUAAUACCCCUCUAAACCCUAAAGAAGUCUCUAAUGACUAAGUUGAGGAGAAUGUGGUAAUUAAUUAAUUGAUUGAGGGUACCUAGGUAGACUAAGGUGAUUUCAGAAUUAACAUACCAAGCUAGAAAGUCCAAUCAUGAUCAUAAAAGAGAGUCAAAGUAUGUACCUGAACUGCUUCUCAAACGCUAUCAUAAAACAUCAAAGUUAGUAUAGAAAUAUAACACAUAAUAUUUGUUUUAUCCAAGCAAAUAAAGCAUACAUCUAAGCACCCAAGAAUCACAUCAAGUAUGGAUAUAGUCAUCAAUAGCAUACGUGUCCAUAGAACUAUCGAAAGUAAAUGUGGAGGAGCGUAUCUGGACAACAUAGAUAACUUAUAAUGUGCUUCCACAAGACAUGGGGGUUAGAUAAAAGUUAUAAUAAUAAUUAGUAAAUGAAAGAAUUCUAGCAUGUUUGGUAUCUAAAUAACAUAGCAAAAAUGAACAAGAGUACACGAAAACAUCAAUUAUCACACGAGUCAUAUUGGCUAGUAUUUAAUCAAUAAACCAACAAUAAAUGACUAUAAACAUAUAAAAUGACAUAUUCAAAGAGACCCAAACAUAAAGAGCCUAGAACACAAGCUUACACUAAAUUUAGAAAACUAAAACAUGGAAUUUUAAAAGCAUAAAUUAGCAAACAAAUUGAUGGAAACUAAAUUUAGAUAACUUAAGAAUAUUUUUCUUAUCCUUCAAUUUAAAUCAGUAAGCCAACAAUAAAAAAUUAUAGAAACAUGGAAUAUCAAGAUCAAUGGGAUACCUAAACUAUAAUUUUUAAAAGAAAAUAAACUAAGCAUAAUAUCUACAAAGCAACUAAACUAACAUUUUUUUAAAAAUAAAUUAAACAUGACAUUAAUGGAGUAACCAAACUAAAUUAAAGUAAACUAAAAACAUUUAUGAAUUUUCAAACAUGGAAUCAGCUUUCUUAGUAAAUUAAAAUUAUUAAAAUAAAAUCUAAGCUUAAAAAUGAAUUAAAUACUAACUAAAGCAAAUCUAAAACCAAAUAUUUAACACAUAGGAUCAAUUAUAUUAACAAACUAAAAUUUUAUAAGAACACUUAAACCUAAAGUUGAAUUAAAAACUAACCAAUUUUUAAAACUAGAUCUUUAACCCAUAGGAUCAAUUAUAUUAACAAAUAAAUAAUAAAUAAUAAAUAAAUAAAACUCAAACCUAAAGAUGAACUAGAAAUGUACCAAAGUAAAUUCAAAACAAGAUCUUUAACACAUUAGAUCAAUUAUAUUGACUAACUAAAAAAAAAAAAAAAAAACACUCAAACCUGAAACGAUGUAUUAGAAACUAACCAAAGCAAAUUUAAAAUAGAGUCUUUAACACAUAGGAUCAAUUAUAAUCACUAACUUAAAUUACAAUUUUUGAAACAUGAACUAAUUAGUGUUGGAUUAAUUAAACUAAUUAACUAAAAAAAACUAUAAACUAGAAUACGGUGAAUCAAGAAUUCAAAUCAACAAACAUAAAAUAUGGGUACAAUGAAAUGAAAAUCUAUUAAACUAAUAAGACGGAAAUAUGACAAACUCAUGAACCCACAUUUUGAUCAACUAGGAAAUAGAAAUUAAUAGACCUGUAGCAUGGAUACAAUGAAAUGAGAUCAGUUAAAUUUAUUUGCCGAAAUUCUAAAAAACACAUACACUCAAAUAAGAUCUAAAUCUAAGACCAAGCAAAACUCAAACUUUCUCAAUCUAAUGCAAUGAAUCAAAACUAAAAUUAAAUAGAAAUCAAACCAUUUUUUUUUUAUCUAAUAUAAUAAAUCAAAGCUAAAACUAAACAAAAUCGAAUUUUCUUAAUUUAAUAUGAUGAGUCAAAGCUAAAAUUGAACAAAGUUCAAACCUUUAUAUAAUGGAUCAAAGUUAAAUCUAAAUGAAAUCCAUACUUCCACAAUUUGAUAUAACAAAUCAAAAAUAAAACUAGAUAAAAAAAAAGUCAAAGCCUUUCAACUUGACAUAGUGAAUCCAAACUGAAACGAAACAAAAUUUUAACUUUUCCAAUGAAACCCAAUAUAGAAAAAAUUAGCUUACCUUCUUUAGAAUAUAUGUAUGGGCCAUAAAGAAGUCACCUUGGUGCAUGUGUUCCUCACUUUGACGCCAAUGGACGACUUUCUAUGGUAGCAAAUGGAGAUCCUUUUUGGUGGUAACUUGCGUGUGGAAACCUAUGGUACAACCAAUGUCAUCUUUUAUUGUGCGUGUGGACCAAUUUCUUCUCGAGAACUCAUGUGUGUUGUGCUCAAAAUAUGUUGCCUGUGAGAAUCUAUUGGUAUACCCCACAUAUGGUUUCCUUGAGAGAAUCUGUGGUUGUGUGUGGGCGUUUUCUUCAUGACAGCAUGUGGAUGUUCCCAUCUAUGGUAGAUUGGUUGUGAUGCUUUAGUGCAUGGUCUCCAUAGGAAUAGUGUGUUAUGGAAAUUUGGUUUUUUUAUUGGUGCAUGUUGUCUAGACUUUCCCAUAUGCGUGGACUGUGUGUUCAUGCUUUUCUUUUCGGAUGGUCGCCUGUGUUAAUGUGUGGCGGUGUCUACAAUGAAAGAUACAACCCUUUCUCUCCUUCUGCGUGAUAGAAAAGUCAAUCCCCCAUGGUGCGACUAUGUUCCCUCGUCCUUUUUGAAAAAUUUUGGUGUUUUCCCCCCAAAAAAUCCCCUCCAAAAAUCUAAUUAUAAAUGUCUGCUUUGGCCUAAUGUGUGUGCUACUUUUUUUUUCCUUCUUUUUAUGGUUGUGCGUGCUUUUCUUGAUACGUGGCUUAUUUCUUAAGGAUAUGAUUCGCUCCCAAUUGGUGUCUCAGCUGAUUCAUGUCCUUUCAAUGGUCCCUGACAGUGGUGCCAUUUGAUUCGUGUCCAGCUGGUGUCCCUUGAUUGUGGUCCUCAGAAGGGAGUAAUCAAUAAAAUUUAUAACCUAUUACACCAUGUAUUAGGAUAGCCUUAGCUAGCAUAGCAUAGUGGCUCUAGGGUCGUUUAUUGGGAUGAGUUUUCACUUCACAAUUGAUAUUAAUUCAAGAGCUGAAUUGGUGCCUUUUCAUUUCAAGGUUAGCUUUAAAAGAAAACAUAAUCUUUGGUGGAAAAAGGUUUGGUUUUAAACUAACCAAAAAUAGUAACUGAUUUUACUUACAAAGAAAAGUGUUCUUUGGAGUUUAGAUCACUAGGCUCAGGUUCCUCAUACAAAAAGGAGAGUUCCGAUCAUUUGUUUCUUUUCCUCGCAUUAGAGAAUUAACAUAUAGUUAAUUCUCUAACCGGUGCGGUACAUAUGCUUCCCAUUAAUGGGUUCAAACACUAAAUACCUCUCACUGAUGCACCUUGCAAUGGCUCGUGCCUCUCACCUAGCAUUUAUCAUUCAAGGUGAUCUUUAACCUUGGAUUACCCAUCAAAAGCUCGCAAGAGAUAACUAAAGGAUGUCUCCUUAGAGUCCAAAAGCUUACCAAGUGUUGGUUAUUCUAGAAAAUCCUACCUUCAAACCACCUCCCAAAGGCUCGCAAGAGAUAAACAAGUGCAUCUCAAUGGAUGAAGAUCACUUGCCUUACCAAGUUUUGGCCCAGAUGAUUUAAUGACAUUUUAAGUUAACUAAAAAGAUAAAAACCAUUAACGGGUCACACUUUCUCUUCAUUAAAAACUAAAACAACAAAACUUCCAAUUUAUGCAUGAGGAAACUUACCUGGCUUUCUUCACUUCAAGAGAUGAAGAGCCUAGCCACUCAUCAUUUGAGGAAAAAUCCUCAGAGUUUGAUUUGCUAGAAAUAAAAAUAAUGAGAAAACAAAAAUAUAUAUAUGAAAAACAGAGCAAGUUCUCUGUAAUAUAUUUUUCUUCCUUAUACAAAAGGUUGUCUCUAAGAACAAGUUCCCGAGAUCUAUCUGAUUGUAAAUAAAAUUACAACUAUAUAUAAGAGGUUAUUCACCCCUUUGUUCUUUCUUAAAGACUAAGGAAUCCUAUGAUAGGUGGGUUACAAGGAGAGUUUGGGGAUUUAGACAUCAAAUAUCUAAAGCAAAAUAUCUCAAGAUGUUAGUCGGAAAUAUCAGGAAGCUUCAGGAGAACACCGCGACACUGUAUACUGAGAGAAAAACUCUCCGGGUAAGCUCUAUCAAAGGAUCCAGACAUGUCUGACUGGGAAAGUUGAAACGUCCUUCUCUCCCAUCCGGAUGUGAGAUAUCCGGAGAAAGUGAAAUGUCGGUCGGACAGAAUUCUUUCCCCGGGUGGAAUGAGUUGUGUUGCGCGUCGCAAGGGGGACCGUCUGCGUGUACAAGUUGUAGGGACCCCUCUCCCGGAUGACACCGAGCGCGUAAGGCUAUCCGGAUCAACUCCAUUCGGAUUCCCCAAGAGGACAUGUGGCGUGCUCCCCUAUCAGGACUCCCUUAGGGAGAAGCACACGACACUCGUGAACAUCAUACCCGGACGAUAGCAUGUCCUAUCCGGAUGUGUUGUCCGGAUCAUUGACUAAAGUGAGCAAGCCUUGCUACGUCAUUCGGACAGCUUGCCACAUACCAUGUUCCGUCGCCAUCUGAUGGUGUGUCCGAACGCCUUGUCCGGACAUCUUUUGCUCCUUGCAUUCCGGAUUUGCUUAUGACAAAGGACUUCAAAGCUUCGGUUCUUCAUGUUUCUGAGCUUUCCAUUGCUUUGCCAUGGAUUCCAAAGAACUCUCCUUAAUCACGGAUUGCUUUGGUGAUCAAAAAGUUAUCAAAACACAAAAACUUAACAUAGUUUGAUUAGAAUUGAUUGCAAGGGUUCUUAAUAUGUUAAUUGGGUUAAAAGGUGAUAACUACUACUCAAAAGUGUUUAUAAGAAUUAAUUACAAGCUAUGAAAUAACACUUUUUGAGUAGUAAUCAGGAUACAUCCUAGUUUUUCAUGGAAUUGAUAGUGGGUUGUUGUGCAUGAAUGCCACCAUUUCAACUAUGCUGUUGUUAUUUUUAAAAAAAAUAUGGAUUAUGCGCGAGUGGCAAUUCUCCACUAUGGAAAGUGGAUUGCUCCUUCAACCCAUGCAUGGCUACGUAUUCCUAUGUCUUUCUACUUGUGUUUGAUCCUCCAAAAAAAAUUUCGGUUUAGUGCUAGUAGAUUUUAAGUGGUGGAUCCCCAUUUUUUGAAAAUGAAGUGGCAGCCUCCCAUUUCAAGACAAAAUGGUAGCCUGCCUUUAAUCUUUGGAGAAAAAUCUGUGCAUGACCUUUUUUUUUCCCAAAAAAUCCGUGCAUGGUGUCCUUUAAUAUUUGGAGAAAAAUCUAUGUUGGAUCUUUUCUUUUCUAGAAACAUUUGUGUGGUCUUUUUUGUUAGCCCAAGGGUUCUUCUAAUCAAGUUUUGAUGAUAACAAACCAUGGUUAAGUGACUAAUUGGUUUAAUGAUUAAGAAUCUCAAACAUAAAAUCGAAAAUUCAUCAAAGGACCAAAUGGAUACAAGAUCGAGACGCUUGGAAGACUUGUAAUCAUAGGAAACUAAUGUAAGAUGAAUGCAUGAGUGCACUUAGGAUUUUCACACGUUUCAUGCAACUUAGAAAACCCAGUUUAUUCUUUAAAACUUCAUCCCAGUUUAUUCUUUUUAUGGUUGUGUGUGCUUUCCUUGAUACGUGGCUUAUUUAUUAAGGAUACAUCCCAGUUUUUCAUGGAAUUGACAGUGGGUUGUUGUGUGUGAAUGCCACCAUUUCAACUGUGCUGUUGUUAUUUAAAAAAAAAAAAAAUGGAUUGUGCGCGAGUGGCAAUUCUCCACUAUGGAAAGUGGAUUGCUCCUUCAACCCAUGCAUGGCUACGUAUUCCUAUGUCUUUCUGCUUGUGUGUGAUCCUCCAAAAAAAAUUUUGGUUUAGUGCUAGUAGAUUUUAAGUGGUGGAUCCCCUUUUUUUGAAAACUAAGUGGCAGCCUCCCAUUUCAAAACGAAGUGGUAGCCUGCCUUUAGUCUUUGGAGAAAAAUCUGUGCAUGACUUUUUUUUUCCCAAAAAAUCCAUGCAUGGUGUCCUUUAAUAUUUGGAGAAAAAUCUAUGUGGGAUCUUUUAUUUUCUAGAAAAAUUUGUGUGGUCUUUUUUGUUAGCCCAAGGGUUCUCCUAAUCAGGUUUUGAUGAUAACAAAUCAUGGUUAAGUGACUAAUUGGUUUAAUGAUUAAGAAUCUCAAACAUAAACUCGAAAAUUCAUCAAAUGACCAAAUGGAUACAAGAUCGAGACGCUUGGAAGACUUGUGAUCAUAGGAAACUAAUGUAAGAUGAAUGCAUGAGUGCACUUAGGAUUUUCACACGUUUCAUGCAAUUUAGAAAACCCAGUUUAUUCUUUAAAACUUCAAUUUCAUUAAAACCCGAGUUUUUAACUAAUGUACCUUAGGCAAAAUGUUUUAUAAUUGGCUUAAUAAUUCACCUAAAUACAUUUUCUAAGUGUUAGAAAAGAAAGGAAUUAAAAAAAGGUUUUCGGGGCAAAAAAGGCUCAACCGGUCGAGGCUAUGGUCAACCGGCUCAACCGGUUGAGGAACCAAUCGAUCGGUUGUGCUUGUCCGAUCGAAGACCAAUCGAGGGAUGCCAAAAAAUUUCUCUCUCUCCUAGUGGCCUUCUCUUCCCGGUCGAGGUUCGGUCUAGGCAACGGUAACAUGUCAAGCAUUAAAUGCUCCGACGACUAGUGAAUCGGUCGACCCCUAGCCCGAUCGGACGAGGUUGCCUUUUGCUGUUUUUGACUCCCGAGCUUAGAAACCUAUAAAUUGAGAGCUCCACUUCAUUUAUUGAUAAAAGAGAACACUUGCAUUCAAUAGUCUACCUACCUUUUCUUGAUCAAAAAGCUCUCAUUUCCUUCAUAGUGCAUUAAAUCAUCACUUGCAUAUCCUUUAGUGCACUAUUGUGUGUCAUCCUAGCUUUGUUUUGUAUUUGAGCUAUCCUUAAGCUAGGUUGAGGGAUUAUUUCUUAUAAAAAUCUGAGUGUUAAAGCCUUCAAGAGAUUUGAAUCUUGAAGAGAUUGUGUAAGAGCCCAUUGGAGCCGGAGUCCAAGUGUAAGAAGAUUGGAAGCUUGGUUGAAGCUUCAAGUUAGUGGAACCCUCACUCGGUUAGGAGGUUGAGGAGAGUGGACGUAGGUAAGGAAGUGUCGAACCAUUAUAAACCCGAGUUUGAAUUCUCUAACUCUAUCUCUUUAUUUUGCUUAUAUUGUGUUUGAAUUUGUUGUGAUUGAAAAGAUUUUAAAAACCUAAUUCACCCUCCCCCCUUUUGGGUUUUUUUUUCUUAAUUAAGCAUAACCUUUGUUUUCUAAUUUUCUUUUUAGGAAAAUCCAUGCGUGGUAUGUCCAAACUCUCCAAGUGGCAGUCUGCCUUCUUCUAAAAAAUUUGUUUCUAUUUCUUUAUUCGACUACCUUCCAUGUCUUCCUAAUGAGUGCUUGUGCUCAAUGGUCAAUCCCUGGUGGUUGCCUCCUUUUCCCAUAUAUACGUGUUGCAAAAUCAACAUCCCACUAUAUGUGGGUUGCCUCUAUGGCAAGUUCACAUUUCCCACAUGAAACCUAUGAGUUUCCACCAAAAAUUGCCAUGAAAAAGUCUUUAUAUGCAUCUCAUGCAAUAAAAAGUCAAGCCAAUACUCAUCUUAUCUCGAAAAAUAAGUAACCAAAAUCAAGAUCAUGCCUAAGUGAACUAUGCCAAAAGAAGUGUCCAAGUGACCUAUUAUGAAAAAAGUGCCUAAGUGACCUAAGGUGAAUGUGUGUAAGCUGGAAGGUGUCUAGGAUGUUUAGGACAAUGCCUAAGCCUAAAAUAGGGUUGCCAAGGGUCACAAUGGGGUUAGAUAAAUCUCUCAAUCAGAGUCUCCAAGGUGGCUCAUAAAAGAUAAGCUACACGAGUAAUGAUGGGCCACCAGGGAAUUAUUGUAAAGCACCAAACGAACACAUAAUAGGACAUGUGUUAGAAUGAAAAAAUGGAGGGUUUACAAGUGGUCUCAUGGAUGAGCUUGAUAAUUUAAAUGACUCACAUAAUGAACGUAUGUGAUGUUUCUCUCCAAUAACAAGCAAAACAUCACUAGCAAUAUGAUGAAUGUCUCCUAAAUCACUUGAAGUAGUCCUAGCAAAUCAAUUAGAAAAAUCACACAUAUUGCUCUAAUGUAAUAUUAUAUACAUCUGUCAAUGAAUGGGAGAACUAAUGACACAACCAUCAUGUUGAUAUCUCGAACCCUCUAAUCUCAUAUGUAGGUGGGAUCACACUUAGAAACUCAUAACACAGUAAUGACCAAUCUAAGUCAAAAUGUGUUGGUGAUCGGAGGCCCAUGAAUAUGAAGUUCUAGGAUGAUAAUGACAUCUUAUAAAGUAAUGAUCAUCUCCUUAAUAGAUAGGUGAAAUGUGUGUGUCUUAGGACACCAUCUCUCAACAAGACUUGUGAUCAAUCCCCAGUCUAGUGUAACAUGCCUAUUAUGACAUCCAUCGUAAAAUCUAGACUAGAUAAUAUAAGGACAAAUGUGAGGGUUCAUCUCCCUUUCCCACAUAAAUUUAAAAAAUUAUUAUUGACAAGUUAAGACCAAACUAAGUUGCAAAAUAUAAAUAAGUCCAUUAGAUAACAAAUUUAUGUUUUCUCAUUUUCUCAUUUUUAAAGAGAUAUUAUGUGCUUCCAUGUACAUACAUGCUAAAGUCAAUUAUACGAGACUUAUAUCCAUCUUGUAGAACCAAAUCGAACCUAUCUAAUAGAUCCAGAUUAGAAGUAUGUCCUCUAUACUCCAUAUUUAUAACACAUUUAUAAAGAUAAAUGCUAAAAAAAUGUUAAAGAUAUAAAUUUAAUGAACCAUACUUUAUGAUUUUAAUUCUCAAUUAUUGUUCAUAUUUAUAAGAGAAAAGUUAAAAAAAUUGAUAGAGUUUUCCCUCUAUCAUGGACAUUAUCCCAAAUAAAAAUAAAUUGAUUAUGCAAAUUACAUUAAUAUUUGUAACCAAAUGAUCAAUAACUAUCUUGUAUCAAUUUAGUAAAUAAAUUUAAGUAUAUCUUUUCAUUUAUGACUAACAAAUAACUCAUACUUGUCCAAUAAAAGCCACACCUAAUUUCUAAAAUUUUGUCUUCACCUCAAGUGAGUGUUACAUUGAGAAAGAAAAAAUAUGAAAGAAAAAAUGAACACCUUUUUCUUUUAAUAAAAAAAGGCCAUAACGAAACAUUAAAUCUCACUGUUACACCUAUCUUCAAUGGAAACAUGAGGAUGUGAAUGGUGGCGGUGAUAUUCUUUGCUUGAAGCUCAUAAACAAAUAUUCCUUACUAAGCCUAUGCCAUUUAGUAUUUCAAUAGUGGACCCCCCCCCCCCCCCCCCCCCCCUCCUUGCAUUUCAGAUUUAGCAAACUUAGAACCAAAUAACAAAGUGCAUUUGAACCCAUAAAGAAGUAAUGAGACUCUCCUAUAUUGGCAAUAGAAGAAAUUUUUGGAGGUAUAGGAGAUUCACGGAUGAAGAAGUUGGGCCCCAAUUGAGAUAAGACCCAAGAAAAGAUGGGGUAGAGAGGGAUGGUUGGAAAUUGUAAAGUAAGAUUUUCAAAAUGUAGUUGAUGACUAAGAUUUUGACAAUUUAAAAAAGGUUUAAAAAUGUAGUUAGCAAUCGGGGUUUUGUAACAUUUAAAAAAUAAAAUAAAAUCUCAGGCCACAUGGUAGCCCAUGUGAUUCAGAAGCUUGAGAAUUAUUUUAUAAGAAGACUUAAUUUGUGAUUUUUUUAUAACUAUAUUAUUUUUUUUCUUAACACACGAAAAAAAUUAUGAAAUAAGACAAUUUUCCUAAGAAAGCAUGUAAGUGACUCUUGGUUAUUUUAUUUAACUUCUUCUAGUUUGGAGAGGAUUAAUACCUUUGCUUUUACUCACUUGCUUGGAUAUGUACACGUUGUUCAUGUCACUUUUCAUUUAAUUUUCUGAUUAAGGGAAUUGGAACCGUACGUAACUGUCUUUAUUCCCUCUGAAACUUGGACUUGGAGUUGGACUUUCAAUCUCAUCAGUCGUGUUUCCAUAAAAAAGAAGAUGGAUUAACCAAUUUUCCUAUGCCUACUAAUCAUACACAAAACUCCACUUCCAAAUAAAAAGGAAUGGGAUAUCACUUGUUAAUAGUGGCUAAAGACUAUUAAUAACCAUGCAAAGAAAUGUCACAUUUUUUGUUCUACGCAAAUUUUAUUCAUCAACUACUAGAACCAUUUCAUACAAUAGUAGCUUUUCGAUCCUUUGAUAAAUGGACACUUGAUGUGAUAACACCAACUACACCUAUAUAUUCAAGCAAUCAUGCGUAUAUAAUAGUGGAUAUGGAUUACUUCUCUAAAUGGGCAAAAGUUUUGUCAUUCAAGGAAAGUGAACGAGGAAACACAAGUUUACUUUCAUCGGAACUAAUAUUAUAUAUUGAUAUGACUUCCCAUUAUUACUUACGAUGGAAUAUGCUUCCAUAAAAUGGCCUAGAUGAACAAACUAUCCAAGAAGUUUGGGAUCAAAUAAUAUAUAUAUAGUUCAUGUGUGAUUCUUUGGUUGACAACCUUGUUAAGGGGUGAGUGAAGCACUUUGGGCAUACCACAUACUACAUGCUAGACUUCCACCCAAGCUACCCUAUAUUCCUUAUGAACAAAGUAGAAGUUGUCAUCUCUCUUGAAUACCAAAUCCUUUCACCUAAUAAUGCUAUCUAAAAAGGUCUUAAAAAGGAUAAAAAUGCGCAUAUUUGAAUUUUUGAAUUAGGAGUGCUACUUAAAAAGAAGCUAGAUAUACAAUAAUAGAAUGUUAUCAAGCAUAUCUCUUCAAAGUUUUUGACCAAAAAAUAUAUGAUUUCUCAUUUUAGGUAGGAGACUUAGUACUCACUAUUCAAAAACCAAUUAUCAUUACUCAUAAAAACUAAUAGAAAGUUUGGGCCAAAGUAGGAUGGACCUUAUAUUAUGCAACAAUUAUGCCUAUAAAAUUGUUGCAAAAGAGGUUUUAGAAUCAAAUCAAUGAAUGAAAAAUUAUUAAAGCAUUACUAUGCUUGAAGGCUAGUCAUUUUCCCUUAAAGUGCAAUAUUAAGUUGCAUAGUACUAUGUGGAUCCGCAUUUUUCACAUGCGUUCCCACUCAUUGUCGAGACUCACUUUUUAGAAGUGAAAAAUUAGUUUUAUUAAAGUCGAAGUUGCCACUGGGGAUUUGAACCCUAACAAAAGGUUCAAUUUAAGGAUAAAAAUAUCGAUAAUCACAUAUAUAUAUAUUGGUACUUUGAUUUUAUGAAUAUAUUGAAGAAAUAUGGACAAAUAUUUUGACACAAAAUAUGUACAAAAUAAAAAUUAUAUAAAAAGUAAAAAUAAAUAUUUUAAAAUUAUUUUUUUAAAUAUAUAUAUAUAUAAUUUGACAUAUUUGAUAAUAAUAUAUAAGGGUCUCCAAAAAGCCCGUGGCCCGCUUUAGGCCCGGUCCGACCCGACAGGCUAAAGCCCGGCCCAAGCCCGCCGGGCCCAAGCUCGGCCCGAGCCCGUUUAUGGGUGGGCCGGGCCGCGAGCCCGUAGGCCUGCUCCUUUAAAAAAAAACUACAAAAAUAAAAAGUAUUAAAAAAAAUAUUCAUUUCAAAAUUUUAUUCAUUGAAUGUAUAAUUACAUUUGAAAAUGUGGGAAAAGUUUACAUCACUACAAAAUAAAUACAUCCCAACUAGGUUGGCACCUAUUUAUUUGUCAAUCAUCUGUAUUUUUCAACCACAAAAAAUAAAAAUAAAAAUAUAAUAUACAUUUAGUCAUUAUUUUCUGGCGGUGAUGGCGAACUAUCAUGCAUCCAUGAAGAUCUUGAUAAUUUUAAAGAUUCCAUAUCGGUAAGCAUCUUUGUUUCUCGAAUGGAAUCAUACAUCCUUUUAUCUGCUAUUUCCCAAUCUUUCACACAUAUCCCUGCUUUAAUAACAUCUGACGCUAAGUUGCAUCGUUUUUUACUAACUACUCUUCCACCUGCACUAAAAGCAGCUUCUGAUGCAACUGUACUCACAGGAACUGUUAGUACAUCACGAGCAAUUAUAGAAAGCACAGGAUAUUUGUGUUGAUGUGAUUUCCACCAUAUUAAAAUAUUAAAAUCUUCUUGAUCUUCAAAUGAAAUUAUAUCAGUAUUAAGAUAUUUAUCUAAAUCAGAUGUAUUAUUUGGAGAAUUAUUUGUUGUCUUUUUUCGACUUUUCAACAUUUCUAGAGCUCCUUUAUAAAAAGAUGAGGAGUUUGUAGAUGUAGGUGGUAAUUUAAUAGUAUUAAUAUCAUUACCAUAUUUUUCUUUAUAAUAGUUAUAUAAAUUAUAUAAUAAUGAAUUUAUUUCAUUUUUAAUUUCUUCAAUUUUUAUUUGGUCAUUAAAAUAAAUAAUUGUUAACCAUUCAUCCAAAGCUUCAAAUUUCAAUCUAGGGUCCACAAUUAAAGCAAUAUAAAAAAUUAAAGGUAUUUCUCCCCAAUAUUUUCUAAAUUUUUAUAUCAUUACAAAUAUUGUAUCAUUAAAUAUUUCAAAACUUAAAUAUUUUUGAAGUACAAUAAAAAUAUUAGUUAUUUGCGUAAUAACUCGAUUUGAAGUUGGAUAAUAUACACCACAAAAAAUGUUUGUUGAAGUAUCAAAAAUUUCAAAAAGAUCUCUUAAAACAUCCGCAAUAUGCCAAUCAUAAUCAUUUAAUGCAUAAAUAUCUGCUUCAUAAUCAUUGUUAAUUAAUUGUAUUUCAUAUAAUUCGACUACUUUUCUAUAUUUUGUAAUAUUUUCUAAAAGUUUAUAUGUGGAAUUCCAUCUAAUAGCCAUAUCCAAAUUUAUAUUUUUUCUUUUCAUAUUUAACAUUUUGCAACAAUCAAAAAAUAAUUCAUGUUUUGCUUGAAAACUAUUAAUACUAUAUGCAAUGCCUCUAAUUUUUUUCCAAUGUACUAUCAACAUUUUUUAAUCCAUCCUUUACAAUUAAAUUUAAAAUAUGUGCACAACAACGCACAUGAAAUAUUUUAGCAUGAUCUUCUUUUACUUGCCAAUAUCGUUUUAGUCUAUGUAUUGCUGCAUCAUUAUUAGCAGCAUUAUCUAAUGUUAUUGUCAAUAUUUUAUCACGAAUGCCUAAAUCUAUAAUUUCAUCAUUUAUUAAAGAUGCUAUAUUUUUACCACUAUGUGGAGUAUUUAUUAAUUUAAAUAAAAUUAUUCUUUUAUUUAAUUUCCAUUCAUUAUCAAUGUAGUGAACAAUUAUAUAUAAAAAACCAGUAUGAGUUAAAGAUGUCCAAAUGUCAGAUGUUAAACGAAUAUUUCCUUCAAAAUUUGCAAAAUUUUUUUUUAAAAUUUCUUUUUGUGUAUAAAUUUUUUUCAUAAUAUCUCUUUUAACUGUAUUUCCAGAUCAACCUUUAAAUUGAGGAUUAAUACCUCGUUGAAUUGUUCUUGCAAAAUCAUGAGUUUCCAUCAUGUUGAAAGGUUGUUCUGCUCUUAUUAUAUAAUCAAUCAUUUCUUCACAACAGUUAGAUUCAUCAUAAGAAAAUGUUUUUAAAUUUCCACUUUCAUUUUUACUUAAUUGCAUAUAAUUUCUAAUAUCUACAUUAUUUUUAGUUUUACAAUUUUCAUGAUGUCUUUUUAAAUGACUUGUAUCUGCAUUUGAGCCACCAGUAAGAAAUUUAUUACAAAUUUUACAUUUUGCUUUUAUUUUUUUUUUAUUAUUUUCUAAAAUUAUUUCUAUUCUAUCAAAAAAAUUCCAUAUAUUUAAAGUAAAUUUUUUGUUUGAUGAUAUUUCAUCACAUGGACUAGACGAAGAAGCACUUGUCAUAUUAUAAUUAUUGAUAAAAUAUUAUGCCAAAAAUAAUAAAGUAAUAAAUAUAAAAAAAAAUGUAACAAAAAAAAUAAAGUAGUAGGGGUGAAGUAUGUUACUCAAUUAGAGAACCUAUGCAGAAAUUCCUAGCAAAUUUGAACUCUUGGAGCCACCAAUGCUUGUUUUGCACCAUCAACAAUAUUGUAUAAUUUGAGGGAAAAAUAAAAGAAUUUAAAAUAUUGUAGAAUGUGAGAGAAAUAGAGAGAAUUUGAUGAAAAAAUGAAAAGGAAGAAAAUGUAUUUAUAGGAAGGUUAAAAAUAAUAAUAAUAAUAAUAAUAAUAAUAAUAAUAAUAAUAAUAAUAAUAAUAAUAAUAAUAAUUGGCCAUGUGACCGUUGGAGGCUUAGCUCCAACGGUCACAUGGGCUGGAGCUAGGCUCCAACAGUCACAUGACCGUUGGAGCCUUUAAUUUUUUUUUUUAAAAUAAUAUACUUUAUUUUUAUAUAUAUAUAACUAACUCAAUUAAUAAACAUAAAAAGAAUAUAGUUCAGUUGGUUAGAACCUUGAAGUUUAAACAUGAGGGGAGGGGUUUGAAUCCCUCCCUCUCCCUUAGGGGCUUUUUUAAAAGCCAUUUUGGCUUAUUUCAAAAAGCCUGUCGGCCCGACCCGCCCUGCAGCCCGCGGGCCUAGCAUUUUAGCAUGGCCUGGUCUGUUGACUAGUCAAAUGGCUCAUAGGCUCGGCCCGAACUGGGCCGCGGGCCUCUUAUUUACGGACCGGCCCGACCCGGCCCGCCCGUUGGAGACCCUUGAUAAUAUCUUCUAUAUUAAGUUACAUUAUAGUUUAUUUUACAAUAUUAUUAUGAUAAUAUGUCUAAUUUUAAAAUAUAUUUAAUAUUAAAAUUAUGAUCUAUUUUAAUUUAAAUGUAUUCAAUGAUAUCAAAUAAAUAAUAAUAUAUGUAUAAUUCUUUUAUUAUUUAUAUUUAUUAUUUUUAAUAAAUAUAUAGAUUAUAUAAAAAAGACCGGAUAUAUCUUUUCAAAUUUUGUAUCGCUCUCCAAGGAUAUUAGAUGUAUGGGAAUUUGUAUUGCUAUCUACGGAUACGUUGAUAUAUGGGUGAUUUAUCAGGAUAAUUAGAAAUUCUAAUUAUGUAAGCAGGUACGGAGUUCUGUGUCGGUGCGAUCUUGUCGACAACAGCUCCAAAUUGUGCAUCUUGCUCAUAGAGAGUAGCGGAAUGCACCAAUCGUAGGCUCAGAGUACCACUGAGUCGUCUGGCAGAGACCCAACUGAAGGUGCCUGUGUUGUUCCUGAUCUGAUCAGGCUUCAAACUACAAGGUGGAAUACUGGUUCCCCUAUAUCAGAAGCUGGAGAUACCCACCCCAUAUGCUCGUCUGGAUGUGCUCCUACCCUUUGAAGCCUUCUUCCGAGUCAAGUCCGAAUUGAUAAGGCUAGUGAGUUCCCAACCAACUGUACUCAGCAUGCUGCCAGGUGGAGACCCUCCAUAUUUGAUGGCUUCCUAAUAUUAAAAUGCUGACCACUGGUCUUCAUGUUCCACAGGCUUAAUUGUGUCCUUUGCUGAAAGAAUGGAUAGUGAUCCAUUUUAACACAUGAUUCACGCCGUCUUUGCCAUUCUUCAUGGUCUAGCCCUUUUAUAUAUAUGCUUCCUGAACUGUUGCUAUUAAUAAAAUGUGGUAUCUAUCCCGUACACCUUCCUGAUGGCCAGCGAAUGCAGAAGCUACAGAAACGGUUCCAUCUUUUGCUUCCGCCACUUUGGCAUCCUCCAUGAUGAGAUCGAAGGUGAAUAAUCAUAUUCUGGGGAUUUAUGUCCUGGAUAUUCUCAGUAAUGCCCAAUUUCCUGGUGCCGGCCUCAUUUCCAUGGGAACUGAUGGAUAACUUAAGGCUUCUACCAUCUGCGUGGUUCGCUUCUAACACAGGAAACUUCACGGCUAAAAGCAAGAUACCAAGAACAUCAAGGCUGUGACAAAAAUUAGUAUUUUUAACUUGUAGGAAUUUGAAAGGCAACCAACCAUCUAGCUCUGUUCUUAAAGCUCCCAUAGGAGGAUCAGAGGCUGGAUUGCUCAAGAUGAACUCAUCCAUUGUUGCACUUAAAAAGAAUUGGCAUGAAUUGUGGCCGCUCUAAUAGGUUCCCUAAACCAUCAUCCAAGUGGGCUUGCGGAAGGUAGCGAGUUUAAAACACCUAGGGCGAUGAACAGUGGACUGUGAUGCUCACAAAAGAGAAAAGGAAGAAUUCAAUAAUUCCUAAGAAUCCAUUUGCCUGUCAUCCAAAUUUUUAUAUUCUCUUCAGUCUGACGCGUUAUGCCAUAUAUUAAAAAUAGCGGCUUCUUCCAAGCCGAGACAGACUGUGCAAAGUUCGCAAGGCCAAUCAUCACCAUAAUCUGAAGUUGGCCUCCUCAAUCGCAGCUUGUAUCCGAAUGCUCACUUCACGGGAUGGAUUGUAAUGAAAACUAAUCUCAGUCCCAGCUAUGGCAGCAUCCUCACUUGACAGCAUUUUCUGCAUAUUCUAGAACAAAGCAAUAAACCCUCAAAGGCUCCUUCGGAUCAGAGUUAGAAGACUGUCCCUCAGGAACGUGAACACUAUGGUGGUUCUGAUAAGCAGUGAUAUUGCAUUAGAGCCUUUUGGAACAAGAGGAUCUUUUCAGGUGGAAACUGUAAACUGCUUCAUGUUGGGCUGCAACCUUUUCUUCAAGCAAUACUUUCUUUCUGUAUCACGACUUAUGUUGCUUCCGGAGCCAUCCCGUGUGGACUGCCCUUCAGUGAAAGAAUAUGUGUGUUGACAUGUUGGAUUGUAAUCUUUGUUCCACUCUAAUGGCUUUUGGUCCUCCUCUUUCUCUUUAUGACAGAGAACCAUUUAGUGAUCCAUCUCUAUAUUGUAGCAUUGCUGGUGCUUUGCAAUACUACACUCUCACCAAGCAUAACAUCUAUUUUUCCGUGACCAAAGUAUGUCGGUUUAUGCAUGCGCAAACUCUUAUUCAUUGGCAAGUUGUCAAGCGUAUCUCAUGAUUUCCCAAAGCCACAAGUUCUUAUGGUCUUUCUGUUCAAGCUUACAAUGAUCUAUCUUUUCUUGGUUAUACUGAUGUCGAUUGGGCUAGUUGCCCUGAUAACAAGCACAAUACUAGUGGGUACAACACUUUUCCUGGUCCUAAUCUCAUUUCAUGGGCAUUUUCAAAGCAGAAGGUUGUGUCUCACUCCAAUAACGAAUCUGAAUAUAGGGGACUCACUAAUUAAUGUUGUUGCCAAGGUCACUUGGAUUGAAUCUGUCUUACGUGAGUUGCGUGUUUCUCUACCCCAACCACCAAUUUUGUUGUGUGACAACAUUAGUGCUACACACUUGGACAAACCAUGUUGAAAUACACUAUCAUUUUAUCCAUGAAAGGCUUAUGCAUCACACACUCAAAAUUCAAUACACCUCUUCUAUAGACCAACUAGUCAAUGCUAUGACCAAAGCUCUUCCUUCAUCUCACUUGUACAAUCUUCAGUGCAAGCUGAUUGUUCUUCCCAAACCACUCAACUUGAGGGGAGAUGUUAAGCCAAUUUAAUAAAUUGAUUUCUUUUGGUUAAUUUGUUAGAAUCAUUUUUAUUAGAGGUUUGUUUGUACAAUUACAUCCAUUUAUCAGGAGAGUACACGUGUACAACUCCUCUUUUAAUCUCACCAUUGUAUAUAUAUGAUACACGACCUUACUCAGAAUUGCAUAACAUUUCCUCUGCUCAUUCCUUUUCUUCUUUGAAUUUUCCCUUACCUCACUGAUUUUGAUUUAUACCUGGUGUUUUCACCUUUGGUCUCUACCUUUCUAGCCAGUUUUCUAAUUAAUCCGUAUAUGGUAUACCUGUCAACUAAUGAGGAGAAAGAGAAAAGGGGAUUGCUGUUCCACCAGCUACAUAUAAUAAUUAAUUACAAUCAUGGUAAUGGAUCCUGAAAUCCAUCCUUUGUGGAUUUUGUACGGAAUAUUGUUGUUAUGUAUGUGGGCUCACUUAGAUGUAUAUUGCUAGCCUGUCUGGGAAAUGUGAUUGCAGGUCCAGAUUAUGAUGUUGAUAUUAGUGGGAUAAGCAAGAGAUGCAGUUAACACGUAUGUGAUGGACUUGAGUAACUUUUCCAUUUCAGUCCAUUUUUUAAGAUUAUGCUUAGUCUUAUUACAAGGAAAGACCAUAAGAAUCAUGAGUCAUUGGCAAGGUAAUAUCAUUCCCUCUUUACAGGCUUCUUCACCUUUUGGUUUUUUUAAUAUCCAUCAAGAUCUUUUAAUUGGAGGACAAUUACAAGUAUAUAUAUAUGUAUUAAAAGGGGAAAAUAUUAAAACAGGAAAUUUUAGGGAAAAUAUAAUAAUUAUUUCUUCCUUCUUUCCCAUAUAGAACUACACAAAAUAAAACUUUAAUAAUUUUUUCUUAUCUUUUUUAUUAUUAUUUUUUCUUAGAAACAUCCGUGGUCUCACAAGCUUGUAAUCCUAGAUUGUUAGGCUCCUUUAACAGUGCCCCAACAUCGUGGUCCAAUGACAAGCUUCCACGCCUUAAAAUCAGAAAAUGCCAUUAAACUUUAUCAGACAUUACAGUUCAAGACAAAGCUUUCAUUUGCUUAAUGUGAUAAUGAAAUUGUUAAUUUCAUUUCGUGGGCAUCUAAAUUUGGACGAGCAAGACCUCUGAAUUCCCUGUUUUUAUCACCAGCAGAGGAGAUAAAAUCUUAAUGGUGAGAAUCUCCACGUGAAAUUUAUGUGUACUGUCAACAUAUUUUUGUUUAUAUAGUCCAGUAGCUGCAGGAAGUCUAGAUUAUAUAGGUAGCAGUAGCACUAUUUAUAGCACUCGAUAUUCGCUGUAUGAAUACAUUAAACCUUGUUUUCAAUACGCAUCACAAGCAAGUACUAGAUACUACAAGGAGUGACAGUCGCAUCAACAUUUCUUGAUAAUAGCAGUGACUGAUUUAUACACAGAACAGUACUGUACACGUACCAGUCACCAGAGAUAGGAUCUUAUUCCUACAUACGACUCUUAUUGAUCGAAGUCACUCAGUUGGGGUAGCCUGGAGUUGGAGGUUUGUGUGGUGGCUUCUUCUUUGGAGGAGGCUUUAUCUUUGGAGGCAUCAUCUUUGGAGGCAUCUUGUGUGAGUCUUCUUCAGCAUUCUCUACAGGAGGAUGGCCAGGCUUAUGACCCUUAGGUGGUUUGCCAACUGGGAUUGGUGGCUUGUGUCCUGAGAGUGGCUCCUCUUCUUCGGGAGGUUUGCCAACUGACGUUGGUGGCCCGUGUCCUGGGGGUGGCUUGUGUUUUGGGGGUGGUUUCACUCCACCGGGAGGUUUACCAAUUGGUGUUGGUGGUUUGUGCUCAAUCGGUGGCCUCUCAACUGGGGGGCGCUUGGGGUAAUCAGCGAGUGAAGAAGUGGUGAGAACCACCACUCCAAGCAACAACACUAGCAAGUAUGUGGAAGACAUCUUUGAGUUUGGCUCAGAUGGUGUAGAACUAGAAUCCUGGGUGGCCUUUUAUAUUAGUUGGGCCCUAUGCCCGAACGACAAGUGUCAUGGUGACACAUAAAGUGAUGGGGUCGAUUUGGGCCUACCGGAUUUGAAAACUUGGACAAUUCGAGAAGCGUCUCCUGACUCCGGGUUGUAAAGUGAAAGAUUAGGUAUCGACCAUUGAAGUAUGAUCACAACUUUUGGCCUUUGGCUCUCUCUACUGCCGUAUAGCUUUUUUCCUUUGGAUAUUUUUCUUAGCUAGACACAAUUAUUGAGCAGUCUAAUCUCGAAAUGGGAUUAGUAUAGCUUUAAGCAAAUUUAUUAUAGUUAGUGGAGGACUUUUAAGAGUGCAGACGACAUUUAACACAUGCAUGCAGUAGUAUAGGGGACAUAACACUAUUCUUUUUCCAAAGAUUCACAUGAUUUUUAUAUUAUAGUAUUGGCACAUUGUAUGUAGCUGGUUUUGUGGUUAAAAUUCCAUAUGUAGACACUGGCGUUUCUCCAUUUCUCACAAUUGAUGUUUACCUCCACGAUUACUAGAUUAGAUAUACCAAACAAUAACACAUUGUAUAAUCUAUCCGCCCUUCAAAAUCUACUGUAUGAUGAAAUGUUUCAUGUGUGUGUGAAGUGUUAGAAAUGCACUAUAGGCAACAUCAUCUUCUUUUGUCUAGGCUUGGGCCUCAAAUUAUACUCCCAUGCCAUGAUAAAUUUUCAUGUGCAUUCUCUAAAGAAGAGUGUCUUGAAUGUGCCAAAUCAUUUUGAUUGAUUUUAUGAUGUUAAUUGCUCCGCAUAUGGAUGGGUAUGUGCUUUAUUUGCUUAUUCAAUCCACAAUUACCUUGAACUGAAGUCCUAUUGGAGCUCUAUUAUUUUAGCAACGUCCUGUCAAAUAGGCUGCUAACUUGGGGUGGUAUGGACCCAAUGAUCCAUCUUAAUCUUGGGUUGAUUUUGUCUGACUCUAUCUAUCUCAGAGAGAACCAGGAUCACCAGUGCUGGUCUGCUUAAAGAAGACUCAGUACUGGAUUAAUAUUGGUUUGGGUCAAUAGCUUAUAAUGCAUUGAAUGCAGAAUAAACAAGAUCAAUGAAACCCAAAACACACUGCCCACACAACUUCACUCUGGUGUCUGUUAUUCAUCAAUUCUAUUCCCACAUGAACUGGUUCAAGUUUAAGAAAAUGACAACGGAUCCACUGUAUUAACUUGGUUUUGCUUGGUUUUGAGCUAGUUGCCAAACCAGCCAUGAGUUUUACCUCUAAUGUCAAUGAACAAACCCCAAAUGAACAACUGCAACAGCUUAAAGAGAAGGAAUGGAGAUGAAAAUCCCUGUUUCUUCUCAUUCUGGGGACAAAUUAGAACAUAACUACAAAGGUUCUAUUAAUUGACUUACUCUACCAUGAAUUAUGGUUCUUUGGUUUUCCAAAUUUAAAUUGUACAUGAGAUUAUUUUUUUCCUUUAUAUAUAAACAUAUUAAGGUUUUCUUAUUUCGUGGGCAAAUGCGCUAAGGAUGAAAGUCAUUUCAUUUGGCUGCAACAGCAUCUUAUAAUCAACAUGCAUAAGCAGCAGUUUUAAUUGAUCGAUUGAACACCGACUCACAAGAAUAGAUAGAAUGGUACAAGACAGCUCUUAUUAAUUUAUACUCGUUACUCAUUUUAUGUAGCCCCAUUAAGAUGGCUGGCUGGACCACCGAGGUCUGGGGGUGGUGUUGCUUGUGUGAUGCAGCGGGCCGGGCAGACACUUCUCUAGUUGCUUCUAUUUGGAGUUAGAGGAUCAGUCUCUGCCAACCUUGAGGACUCUCUACCUCAGAGGGUCCAGGUGGUGGACUCUGGUGUCGGUAGCUUUGAACUCUCAGUAGACUAGUGUGUCUUAAUCAGUCACUGCCAGAGGCUGGCGUAGGCAGUGACGAUAAGGUGAGACAAAUUACCGAAUAGUCAAUAUCGACUGCACUUGACCAUUAUAGAUUUGUUCUGACAAAAGUGAGAAAAGGGAGAAAAUCGGAUGUUGACCUUUAUAGAAAAAGAUAAGAUUUACUGCAACACAGAGCACUGAUUUGUUACUUGGAAACCAAGUUAUGCUAUUAGCUAGCCUCCAUUAGCAGCAGGGUACCUUGCUGCCUGAUCCUAAUCUGAGUUCCCAAGGUUUCAAUCUUCGUUUGUUAACGCUUCAGGAUUUGGAUAUUUCAGCUUCGUUUCUCCAUUUAGCCAACGCUGCCUGGUUUGGAUUUCAAUCCUCAUCUGGAACAUUCUUUUUUCGGUCUGAUUCAGGAAGUGUUUGGUGAUAGUUGAUUAAAAUUAAACAGUACUAUCAUACAAAUAAAGCUGAUCUAAUUUUGGUGGGCAAUAUACCAACUCAUUUAUUCUUGAAAACACCAUGGGGAAUUGGAGGUCCAUCCGAAGUACUAUUUGAUGGGACUCACAAAAAGAACAGGUGCACAUUUAUGAGAUCCGUGGAAGAGAUAACUAUGACAGCUAUGCAUGUACAACAGAUUUAUGUCGAGUUCACCUCGUAGAUAUUUUGUUUUCAGUGUCGGUGGACCCCAAAAUGGAAAUCGGAAAUUAAGGUUAUAUUUAUUUUUUUAUUUAAUUUUAAAUAGAAUUUUAAUUUUUAAUAAUAUUAAGUAUUAAAUUAUUUUUUUAAGGGUAUUUUAUUUUUAUUAAGUAUUAAAAAGUAAAAAAAAUUAAUAUGUUGCUUUUUUAUUUUAAAAAAAUUAUAUAUUUUAAUUUUUUCUAUUUACUAAAAAGUUUAUAAUAAAUUAUAAAAAAAUAAAAAAAUAAAAAACUUAAAUUCUGAAAAUAAAUUAUUUUUAAUAAAAAAAUCCAAAAAAGCAAACACCACCUAAAUUUGAGAUGACUCAAAAUUUUAUAUUUUUUUUCACCUAAAUUAUAUUCAUAAAUUUAAAAUUAAAAAAUUAGGAAGUUGAAUUUUAUUUUGGAUAAUUGGAAACUACAAGAAAUCAAUAAAAAUAUUUGGAAAAAAAAGAAAAAGAAAAACUAUCUAUAUAUUCACCCCCUUCUAAGAAACAUAACUUUAGUUUUUAACUAUUUUUUAAAAUAAUUUUUGAAAAAUGUUAUAUAAUAUUUUAUAAAACAAAAAAUCUGUUUGACAAUUUGAUAUGUCUUUAACUUAUUUUUAAUAUUUAUAUAUAUAUAUUUUAAAAAUAAUUUUAUAUUUAGAACUUUAUCUUUAAUUAUUAUAUAUAUUUAUAUAAUUAUUUUUUUUAAAACAACUCUUAAAAAAUAAGUGAAAGUAAUUGAAAACAACUCAAAGAUAUUUGAUGAAAACACUCUAAUUUGUAUUUUUGAGAAUAAAAAAAUAAAUAAAUAAAUUUCUAGUUAUCAAAUGUAUUUUUUAAUUCUUUUAUUCUAAAAAAUAGAAAAUCGUUUUUGAAAAUAAUUAUUAAACAACAUUCUUAAAAAUUCACUCGUUACAAUCUAGAUUUAAUGCAAGAAUGAUUGAAGGAGUCCUCCAAUAGAACCCAAAGUUAUAAACAUGAACAAGAAGCCCUAGAAACACCAAAGAUCUCAUAUGGUAUAUAUAUGAGCUUGAUUGAGAACUGUUUUAAAUUCAGUUUUUUUUUUUUUUUUUUUUUUUUGUUUUCAAAGUCAAAACAAGUUUACUUUUAAUUUUUACUUCUUUUUUUUAAUUUUAUAAAUAACAGUUUUUUAAUAAUUUAUUUUGAAAACAUGAUUAUUUUUAAAACUUAUAAUGAAAAUAGGAAUUUUUUUUUUAAUAUCAUGGUUAUUUUCCCUUCUUUUAAGGAGGGCUAUUUUAAAAAUAAAUUUACAAAUAUGAAAAAUGAUUCAAACUAAAGCAGUACAAAUAAAAAACAUUUUUAAGAAAUAUUUAAAAAUAGAGAAAAUUAUUUGAGAACAUUUGAAGUCCUUAAAUAGACUUUUGUUUUAGAAAAGGCAAGAUAAUUAUUUUUGAAAAUUGUUUUCAUAAUGAUAUGCAAAAACCUACGUAAAAACCAUAAUUAUAAUCGGCCACAUAUCAAAUCUACUAAAUAUGAAAAGUAAGUACAUAAUUAUAUUUGACUUAGAUGCAAGGAGGAAAAUGUCGCGAUAUUAUCGCCGAAAUAUCGUGUGUCGAAGGGUAUCGACACGAUUUUUCUUGCAGAAAUAUCGGCCAGUCGAUUUUUCGGGAUAAAUCUCGAGAAAUCGGCAAUUUAUCGCGAUAUAUCGGCGAUUUUUCCUCGAUAUAUCUUCUGGUCAACGCGGGUCAACGGAGUCAACACGCUACAGUGAAAGUCAAAUGUGCUACAAUGUCCCCGCUACAAUCACCUCCCCAAACAAAUUGCCAAAUUGCUUCCGAGGGGAUUUGAACCAGCCUUCUUGCCAUUUGGGCUAACUCGCCCUUAUGAUAUAUAUUGCAUUAAACAUAUAUAUACUUAAAGUCCUUAUAUAAAGAAAAUGUUAAAAAAAUAUUUUAAAGAGCAAAUUAAUUAUAAUUAUUUUAUAAUUAAAAGCAAAAUUUUCUUUUAAUUAAUUACCAAAAAUAUAAAAAUUAUAUAAUUUUCUUCAUAAUGUUUUUAAUAUCAUUAAUAAUUAAUUAAAUAUUAAAAAAUUAUAUAUAUAUAUAUAUAUAUAUAUAUAUAUAUUAUAAUUUAUUUUAUAUUGUUUAAUACAAUUGAAUUAAAUGGAUCAUAUUUUAAUAUUAAUAUAUAUUUUAAAAUUAGACAUAUUGUAAUCAAAUAUCAUAAUAUUAUAUGUAAUUUAAUAAUAAAUGUACACUUAUAAAAUUCAUAUUUUUAUCGAUGCAUACAAUAUUAUUAUCAAAUAUGAUAAAUCAUGUUAUACAUAUAUCAAAAUUUUCAAUAAAAUAACUUUAAAAUGUCUAUUAUACUUCUAAUUAUAUUAUUAUGAGGUUUUCUUUACAUUUUCAUGAGUUUUAAACAAUUUUAAGCACCAAUAUUUUUUUCCAAAAUAUCCACCGAUAUAUCUCCGAUAUAUCCAAUAUAUCUCCGAUAUCUCCGAUAUAUCCGUAAAAUCGAAGUACCGAUAUAUCCGUGAUUACCGAUAUUUUCAUCAUUGCUUAGAUGCAACCUUCUUCCAAAUGACAUACUUUAGUCAAUACUUAUAUUUUUUCGUUUCACUUCUUUGAUACAACACCUCAUGGAUUUAUUGUUUAAUUUAUUUGUAAUUAUAAAACUAUUUUUCAUUUUUAAUAAGACUUGAAUUAAUUUAAUAAAUAUUAUAUAAUUUGAAUUUAUAAUUCUUUUUAUAAAAUCAAAGUAUAUUAAAAAAAAAACAAUUUAUCCGAAGAAAGUUUUUUAUUUUUUAUUUUUUAAAACCGAUUUUAAAAAUAACUAGCUAGACACCCUUAUUUUGAUAAAAUACGAAAUAAAAGUGUAAAAACAACAUGGCCAAAUAGGGGCUUAAAUUUUAUUUUUAAAACAUUUUUUUACACUAAAGUGCAUUUUAAAAACACCAUCAAAACCAACUACAAGUUAUGCUUCUUCCCGUAAUAGAAAUAUUUUAGGCCAAAAUAGAACCUCCCCAAAUAAAGACCCUAUACUAAACUCCUUUUCAUUUUAUUAAUACAAAAGUGGGGAAAAAAGGUCUAUGCUCACCUAAAAAACAUGAAUAUUGUGAAUUCACCAUUUCUAUAAGGAAGUUGAAAACUUCAAAAUUUUAUCAACAAAUUCUCUAAAAUCCUCAAAAUAUAUAGGGCCUGUUUCACAAAGUUUUUUAAAAUUUGUUUUUAUAAAUUGCUUUUAAAAUAUAGAAUAAAUAACAGUUUUUUAGAUUUUUUGAAAAAUAAGAGUGUUUGGUAAGAUGUUUUUUUUUUUUUUUUUUUUUUUAAGAAUUAAAUAAAAAAUAAAAAAAUUGUUUAGAUAAAAGAAUUUGUAUUGUUUUUAAAAACAAUGUCUUACUUUUAUGUUAUAAAAAUUUUAUUAAUUUAAUUUAUAAUAAUAUGAAAUGAAAUUCAAGUUAAGUCUUAUUAAAAAAUACAAAUUAAAUCUAUAAUUAUGCAUGAGUUAAAGAUAAAUAUAUAUUUUUUAAAACUAUAAAAUAAAUUUUCUAUUAUAGUGAAACAAAAAUUACUAUAAAAUAAAAAUAAUUUUAAUAUUCAUUUUUAAUACAAGUCAAAUAAGUACUUUAAUUAAUUUUUUUUAUCAUGAUUUCUUAUGUUUUUUUUUUUUUCUAGAAAUUAUUUUAAGUAAUAUAACUAAUUUUUUUUUUAAUGUUUUAUAAAAAUAAGGAUAUUUGGCAAGUUGUUUUUAUAAAAGGAUUUUAAAAAUAAAUGGAUUUUUUUUUUUUUUAAAAAAAGAACAAAAUGAUUUGUUUGAAUAAAUUGUUUUGAUUUUGUAAAAACAUUUUAAAUUCAAUUUAUAUAAUAUUAAUUAAUUAAAUUAAAUUGAAGUUUUAUUGAAAAUAAAAAUAAUUUUGUAAUUAAAAUUAGAUUAAAAAAUAUAUAGGUUUUAAUAAAUCGUAAAUAGUAAUAUUAUAAUAAAAUUAUAAAUUAUAUUUUUAACAUAAAAUAUACUAUUUAUUACAUAUUAAAAAAAAUAUUUUAUUAUAUUAAUAAUUUUAUGGUAUUAAUGAGUUUAUUAUUUAAGUUUUAAAUUAUUUUUAAAAAUUAAUAAAUUUGUUAACAAAUGCAAUGUACUAAAUGUGGUUUAAUUUGGAGUUAAUUUGUUUAGGGAAAAAAAUAAAAAAUAAAAAUCUUAUGUAAAAGAGAAAUAAUAGAGUGUGUGUGUUUUUUUUUAUUAUUUUUAAAAAUCAGUAAAAAGAACUUUUACUUAUUGCCUAAAAAUUAUUCUCUAUUUUAUUUUAUUUUUUAAAUCUAGAAAUAGAUAACAAUAAUAAAAAAAAUUAAAAAAGAAAAAUGUUUUUUAAAACUCAGACUUAUAAUUGCUUUUGUUUCUCAUUCGCACCCCUGGAUUCCUGGAUUCUAAACACAAAAUUAAGUUGAAUCGUCCAUCUAUCUUGUAAGCCAAGAAUUCACAUAGAAGAAAUAAUCGGAAUUUGAUUUGAUAUCAGAUUUAGAGUGGCUCACUACUCAUGCAUUGUCCCACAAUAGUAAUGCUUUGGGCCGAGAUAAACCCAUUUGUGGGCCCAAAUAAAACCCCUGGUUUGAAAACAUCGAUUUUACAGUGGCCCAAAAGAUUAUCUAUGAGGGGAAGAUAACUUGGAAGUCAAGCAAACACAUUUAUCGCUAACUUUUCUCUAAUUAUAAAAUUAUAACUUGGUCUUCUACACGUCUCACUUAAGAGGCGGAGCCACUUGGCACUACCUUUCCAUAUUGUAAAAGGAGAAGAAGCAGAAGGAGAAGAUUCUUAUGCCAUUCCACACACCAUGGCUAGUACUGCUAUGCUGCUUGGCCCGCCGGCUCUCCGCCAUCCUAAUUCUCCCGCCGGCACUGUCUUUGAAGAUGGGGUCAUUCUAACGGAUUCCCUGAUCGUCCGCACCAGUAAUCUGGAGCUUUCUGAAAAACCGCCACUGGAAUCCCUGGCGUAGUGCUCUGUCAGUGGGGAUAUUGCUAUGGAUUGUUUGGAUUCCCAAGCCCACAAUCUUCAUCUUCCCGGGAAACCGCCGAUGGGCUUAACGGAAAACAAGUCUCCGACCUUUUUGUCUUCCGGGAACCCGUGCUUGGACUUCUUCUUCCAUGUGGUUCCCGAUACGUCGUCUGAUGAUCUGAUCCGACGGUUUGAGUUGGCUUGGGAAUUCAAUCCGCUGACGACGUUAAAACUGAUAUGCAACUUGAGAGAGGUGAGAGGCACCGGAAAAUCUGACAAAGAGGGUUUCUACACGGCGGUUCUCUGGCUCCACGACCACCAUCCCAAAACCCUAGCCUGCAAUGCUAGGGUGUUGGCCAGCUUCGGUUAUUUCAAGGAUUUUCUCGAGAUUCUCUACCGGCUUCUGGAGGGCCCUAAAAUUCGAAGAAUCGAAAAGAAAGACUGGCUGGAUCGAAAAGGAAGGAAGAAAAAUUCCCGGAAAAGGAACUCAAUAUUCAAGCGAGAAAAUAGGCCUGGAGUUGAAUUUCCUGUAGAAGAGAAGGAUGUGGAGUAUAUGGUGGAAGAAUUUGUGGAUAAAGAAAAGGCUAGGGUACUGAGAAAGGAGAGAGAACUUGCUCUUGCCAAAAGAGCCCUGCACAAGUAUUCUACUGAUUCUAAUUAUCAGUUCUUACAUGAUCAGAUUUCAGAUUUAUUUGCUGAACUUCUGAAAUCUGAUAUUCAGUAUUUAAACUCCGGUGAGCUUUACAAGAUUAGUCUCGCAUCCAAAUGGUGUCCCACAAUUGAUUCUUCUUAUGAUAAAUCCACCUUGAUAUGUGAAAAUAUUGCUCGAAAGGUUUAUUCUCGCGAGGAAUAUAUAUCCAGAAUACCAAGGAAUUGAGGAGGCUCACUAUGUUAAUAGAGUCAGGGAUAGGUUGAGAAAACAAGUACUUGUUCCAUUACGUAAGGCCCUGGAGUUGCCAGAGGUUUUCAUGUGUUCGAACCAGUGGGGAUCACUUCCCUACAACCGUGUGGCUUCAGUGGCCAUGAAAUCAUACAAGAGCCUCUUCUCAAAACAUGAUACAGAGCGGUUUGGUGUGUAUCUUGAGAAAGUGCAAACUGGGAAGGCUAAGAUUGCAGCUGGUGCAUUACUUCCCCAUGAGAUUAUAGCUUCAUUGAAUGAGGAGGAUGGCGAGAAAGUUGCAGAGCUUCAGUGGGCGAGAAUGGUGGAAGAUUUAUCAAAGAAUGGGAGGCUCACAAAUUGCAGUGCGGUAUGUGACGUAUCAGGAAGUAUGAGUGGAACUCCAAUGAAGGUGUGUGUGGCUCUGGGGCUGUUAGUUUCAGAGCUCAGUGAAGAUCCAUGGAAAGGUAAUGUAAUUACUUUCAGUGCAAGUCCUGAGCUUCACAAGAUCCAAGGAGACAGCCUUGUAUCCAAGACUGAAUUUGUGAGGAUGAUGGAAUGGGGUGCGAACACUGAUUUUCAGAAAGUUUUUGACAGAAUCUUACAAGUAGCAGUGGAGGGAAAUCUGAGUGAAGAUCAAAUGAUAAAGAGGGUUUUCGUUUUCACUGAUAUGGAGUUUGAUGAAGCUUGUGGGAGGUAUAACUAUUGUGAAUAUGACUAUGAUAUGGAGGAAAUUGAUGAGAGUCAGAAGGCAUCUCAGAAGUGGGAGACAGAUUAUGAAGUGAUACAGCGGAAAUUCCAGGACAAAGGAUAUGGAAAAGUUCCGGAGAUAGUGUUUUGGAACCUUAGAAACUCAUCAGAGACUCCAGUGAUGGCCACAGAGAACGGGGUGGCCUUAGUAAGCGGGUUUUCGAAGAAUCUGUUAGACCUUGUUUUUGGAAGGAGGUGGAAUUCUGACCCCUCAGGAUGUGAUGGAAUUAGCCAUCUCUGGUGAAGAUUACAAGAAACUUGUUCUAUUUGAUUAAGAUAUCAAGAGAUUUAUCAAUAAUAAUAUGUUUUUUUUUUUCUAUGUGAAAUACAUGUAAUAUUAACUAUGGAGUUAUCAAAGUUCUGGAAAUUUAAUUAUUUCUUCUUUUCAAGUUUUGUUUGUCUUUGUUAGGAAUUCCCCUUGGGCGGACCCAGCUGGGGACUUGGAUUGAGGAAGUAAGGAGGCGAAAUUGUGUUCUUCUAUGGACAGAGAAAAAAGAUAAAAAUAAAAAAUAAAAAAGGAGGUUAUUUGCAUUUGGAUGUCAUGUGGUUUCAGGGUACAACUACAAGUUCGAAAUUGUACAUAAUGUGAAAAUUCCUGUGUGGAGAACAGCAUAAAUAUGUAUCUCAGUGUGUUUUGUUUGAGCUAAUUGGCAAAUUCGCUUUAAACAUGGUCACAUGGAUGCAUAUUUAUUUGUGAAAUGAUAGUAGUCGAUUACUUGGUCAGUAAGGUUUGUAUCUCUAACUCCAACAUCUUAUUGUAGUCUUUUAAAAUGUCAAAAGUUUAAUGCUAGCUUGAGAAAUUUUGGAAUGGAGACAUUCUAAACAAAGUUAAUAAUCCAUGAGACUUGGUAAAACCGAUCAGAUGAUGCUUACGUACAUGAAUGCCUUCUUUAAGCCGUAUCCUAUUUUCAUUGAAUGAGACGUGCCAUCUAGUUUUGUUCUUGUCUUGAUUGGAUCAUGAUCCCGGGAAUUGAUUACUGUUCUGAAUUUGCGAAUGUUCAAGGUAUUAGAGAAAGUUAAUAUUAUCGUUAAUUUACAUAUUAGUAUUUAUCUAGUUAUUAUAUAUUAGUUUGAAUUAUAAUAUAAUAUAGAAUUUGAAUCAAGUUUACUAUUAGUUUGAAUUACAAUAGGAAAUAAAGUUUGAAUUAUAGUAUAACUCAAAUAUAUUUGUAUAUAAAUAUCCAUCUUUAUCAAUGAGAAUAGUAAACCAUAUUUUUCUCUAUCUUCUUCUUUCUCUAUAUAUAUGGUAUCAAAGCCUCCAAAUCCUAAACCUAGUCUCAACUUAGAGCAAAUUUAGGGUGCAGGGUUUAGGCCCCGCCUCCCCCAACCCUUACCACAAAUGGUAGUGACCUUGUUAUGCCUAUGUAUUGUCAAUGCCUCAUUUUCUAUGGUCUUCAAUACAAUAUCUAGUUUCAAUGUCUCUUUCCUUACUAUCUCCAAUGCAAUAUAUUGAUUUCAAUAUCUCUUUACAACCAAGAGCUCCAAAUUUUCCUGGUUCAAAUCUACCAUAAUUUUUAUUCUCCUUUGCUUUUUACCAAUAUUAGUUCCCCUAAUUUAAUAUAUAUCUCUUUAUUACCUUCAACUCUACCUCUCUCUUUCUUUAAAAGCUUCCUCAAAGAUUUGAUUGCUUUCUUGCAUGUUUUGGGAAAACAAACAUGCUCAUAUUCUAUUACCUCUACUUGAGAUCUGCCUUAUACUCUACCUUCUUCUUUACCUCCUAUAUCAUCUACUACAUUAGCUUCAAAAACAUUAUUUAGUUUGAUGCUAAAUAAGGCUCCUAAUCCUACCCUUCCUUCAACUAACUUUCUUUUACAAGUCCCUCAAAGUUUUUUUUUUUUUUUUUUUGGAAAUUUGGCUUAGAAAGAUUUCAUUACUCUUACCUAAUCUUUCAACCAUCAAGUCGAAUCCACUUAUCUCUUGAAUCCAAGGAGACUACCCUCCACAAAAACAAGGAGAUUGACCCCCACAAUAACAAAGAGAUUGUCCUCCAUAGAAACAAAGAGAGCUUCCUUCAUGGAAGCCGAAUACAUCGCAAUCUAUUUUCUUUCUCUCAAGAUCAAAUCUCCAAUCGGAGCUCCAUCUUGUGGGGAUAUAUUAGAAAAAGUUAAUAUUAUCCUUAAUUUACAUAUUAGUAUUUAUCUAUAUUAUAUAUUGAAUUAGAAUAGAAUAUAGAAUUUGAAUUAAGUUUACUAUUAGUUUAAAUUACAAUAGGAAAUAGAGUUUGAAUUAUAGUAGAACUCAAAUAUAUUUAUAUAUAAAUAUCCAUCAUUAUCAAUGAGAAUAGUAUUCCAUAUUUUUCUCUUUCCCUGAGGCUUCAGAAUGUGAUCUUGAACAUUUGAUCUUUUGGAUUCUUCUUGUUUCGGUGGUUUAAUAUAAUGGAAUGUUUAAUUAUAGCCUACUUUAUCACCAUGGAUGUGCUCCUGCAGAUUUCUUGAGGGUGAUGGUUAUUUUGUCAUGUUUCUUGAAUGGUUUGCAUCAGCUGCCUGAGCUGUUGUUGCUGGUCACUUUUGCAACCAGGGAAAGAAUCAUGGCUUUGGAGAAGCCAGCUUCUGUUUUUGUUGCCCAGCUGUUAGUUCACUAAGAUUGGGGGUCCUAACAUGUAUGUAUAAUCAUAAGCAAGGAAAUUUUAUGUCUUACGCUAGAUAGGUACCAUGAUAUGAUGUUUGAUUGAUUUAUUAACUCUACCUGUUUCAAAAGGCAUCAACAUUAAUUUUACCCUUUUAACACAUUGGAUUGUUUGACCUUACGAGAUUUUCUAUUUCUGUACUAUUUGAACUGCAAUCGUUAUGGUCCUUAGGUCUCUAAACCUUCGUUUAAAAUAAAAGUAAGGAGCACACAUAGUAAAAGUUAAUUUUGGGUAACUUUUAAAACAAAGAGAAAAGUAAAAGUUGUUUUUGAGAAAAACAUAUAGAAAUUGAAAGAUUUUUUAUUUUGAGAAAAAAAAGUCAUAGAAAAGAAAUAAUAUCCCCAUAUAAGUAGAUAUGAUCUAUCCGAAGUGUAGCUACUCUCCUGGAUUUAUUCUAACAUUUUAAAAUUUUUCUCAAUGGGCAAAGGAAUAUCAAAUCAAGCUUGAGUAGGAUUAAUUUCUUAAUUUUUAAAAUAACUUAUAAUUAAAAUUUUUUGGUGUUUUCUUUUUUGGACAAUUUUUUAUGAAGACUCUGAAUCAUGCAAGAGAUAUGGUUAUUUUAAAAAAAAAAAUAAUUUAAAACUCAAAUACAUAAUCAAUGUCACAAAUUUAUAAACAAAAGGUUUUUAAAAAAUACUAUUAUUUCCCCUCUACACAUAAUUUUACUUUUCCGAUUUAUUUAUUUUUGUUGGAAAACAGUCUUCAAAUCAAGUAAAAUUAAUAUGUUAAAUUUGUUAAACAAAUAAAUUUUAAAAUACAAUUUGGAACUCAAAAAUCAAUUCAAGUAAUGCUAAAAUUCAAAAAAUCAAAUUUGGAAUAAAAUGACUUUGUAAAUUUUUUUACUAAACAAAUGAAUUUUAAAUCAAGUGAGAUUUAAUACAUUGGAUUUUUAUGAGAAUAGUAAUUUUAAAAAUUAAUUUGGAACUCAAAAAUAGACACAAUAAAUACCAAAAAUCAAUGAACCAAAAUUGGUUUGGAAUAACUCCAUAAUUUUUUAUUUAUUUAUAUAUUUAUUUUUUUGUGCACACGAAUUUCUUACUAAGCAUAUUGCUUCCAAAUUGAGAAAAAUUUACUAUUUAGAUUUUUUUAAUGAGUUUAAUGGUAUUUAAAAAUAAUUCAAAAAUUCGAAAAUUGACUAAUUUAAUAUUAUAAAUUCAUAAACCAAGACUAAUUCAAAAUGCAUUGGGGGCUAAGGGGGUUGAAAUUAAUGCUCCAUUUGGUUGUGGCCACCAAUUGGCAAUGGCCACCAAUCAACCAAUCAAGGUGGCUAAGGGGGUUGAAAAUAGGGACAAUGGGGUGGGUUUGGGACAGGACACUCAUAUCCCAUUCCCAUCCCAAUUACACAGUUAUUUCCCAUCCUUAUUCCAAACUUGUGUUGGGGCAAGUUGAUUUGUUCCCAUCUUUGUUAACGAAAUGACUAAUAACCUCAUCCUCUCCUUGUCUUAGAUGUACAUUUUCUCAAAUUUGGUCAGGUAUGAUUGAUUCAAGCCCUAACCUUAAUUGGUAAUGAGUGGAUACCACACCUAAUUGCAUUCUUCUUUCGUUGCAAAAUAAUGAGAUUAUAAUAAUCUAGCAAAUAAGAAAAAAUAGUAUGGAAGUUCAAAUUAACACCAUAACUAUCAAUAAUUUUAAGCUUAUAGAUGACUUAAAUGAUUGAAAACUAAUGCAAAAUACUAAAAAAAAAAAAAAUCAUCUAAAGAAUUCACAAGAGAAUAGAACGAACAAAACCAAAUAGGAACAUGGGUCAACAUUAGUUACAGAUUUUGAUCCCUUUCAAGGCCAAUCUUUGAACCAAGACUUCAUCAAAUCUACUACUUCAAAGGCUUUUGUGUUCUUCUUGAGUUGUACUCUGGAACAAAGACUUCGAGGUGAUGCUUUAGAUGAUUGCAUUACACAUAUUUAGGGUAGGGAGAUUGGAGAAGCUUGAAGAUGCCAACGAUGGGUACAAUUGAGUGGUCAAUAAGAACAAUGUGGCCUAUGACUAGUUUGAUGUCAUGGUAUAGGAGUUUUGGGCAUUGAGGUGAAAGCAAGAGCAACAUGGAAUUGAUUUCAAAGUCUUUCAAUUAGUGUAAAGGAGGAAGAAGAAGUGGUAUUGAUCCUAGAAAUAGUGUUUUAGGUGUUGCAUUAGAGGAAAAGAAAAAGAAAAAGAAGGAACCAUUGGAAUUAGUACGAGUGUGAAGAGAGAAGUGUAUACAUAAGGGGAAGUAAAAGCAAAGUUCUAAAAAUUUAUUUUUUUAUUGGUGGUGUAUGGUUGCAUGAUUAUCCCUAUAAAUAAUAGGAGUUUUUUGGUGUUCUACUAGUAGUUGAAGGAUAAUUUCAUAAGAUAAUAUUUAGAGCGGGGUGGGGUGAGUUGUGACAAAAUCCAUACCCGUCCCAAACAUUGGUUCAGGUUUUUAAAAUAUUUUCAAACUUAUCAUAUACCCAAUUUUAUAUUUCAUACUUGUCCUAAUAGAGACAGGUUAGUCAGGGUUACUUGAGUAGCCUACAAAACUAUCAUCCCUAGUUGAAAUGCUCUUUUUGGCAGUGGCAGCUAGAAGCUCGAUCGAUUGACCUACAAGACUAGUUGUCAUCAUUUUAAAAAGAGUUUUGGCUUUGGUUGUGAGUGCAAUUGAAUCUAAACUAACAUUUCCUUAAUGCAUCUACUUCAAUCCUAAACUUCUUACUUAAGCCUCAAUUGUUGUUAAGAUUUUGGAAAACCCAUUUCCUUAAAUUGUAAAUUUAAGAAAAAAAAAAUUAAAAGUGAGACAUUUCUUGAUUGAAUGUUGUUAAAGGUCCCUUGGAAUUAAGACUUGGUUGAAGCCUUGGAAGAUUAGCAGAACUCUCAACUUAUGUUUGAACCUUGAGGAGAGUGGACGUAGGCCAAAAUUUUGUCAAACCAUUAUACAAAUUGAGUUUGAAUUCUCAUUUCUUGAUUUCUUAUUUAUUUGCUUUUUCUUAUUAUUACUUGAAUUGUCAUUUGCAUUCAUUAAUGUUAAAAUUGGUUAUAAUUAGCCAACACUAAUUCUCUUUCCCCUUCCCUUAAUUUCUUGGGUGUAAACCUAGGUUGGAUUAACUAGAUUUUAUCAAAUCUAUUAAGAUGGUAAAAGAAUAAUUAUUCUUAACAUACAUAAGAUCAUCUUCAAUCAAAUGACUCAUUGGCUGAUAUGUUGAAUUUGCUUAUUACUUGCAACUCAAAAUUGUGUUCUAGUUGAUAUGUCAAGUCCUGAGUGUAUGGACAUUAAAUUUGUAGUACGUGAUGAGUAUUUAGAUGGUCCAAUUCCAAGAAAGUGAUUGAAAACUAGUUCAAGAAAGGUGCAAAAGGGAAUUGUUUUGGUAUUUUCGUUUUUAUUCUUGAAGGUGGCAGAGCUAAAAUUUGAGAAAUCAAGCAAAACAUACUGAAAUUACAUUGAAAGAAAGAAAAUGGGAGUUAAUGUCUUGCAGUACAUGAUAAGGACUUCAUGCAUGUAGUGUGACCCAUGUCUUGGACUGAUGCCACACUCACGGUUACACUUAUACCCUUAGUUCUCUCUUUACUACCUUAGCUAACCUAGAUCAGGUUAUGAGAUAGGCACCUCACCACACCAUUACUUGCCCAUUAAUUAGUGACAUUUUCAAGCAAUGAGGUAACAUGGUGACACCAAGAGGGUAUAUUCCUCACCCCCAACAAGCCUAGACCUGGUCUAAAAAAAAUGGAGAAAAAUGACGUGUUGUUAUGCAGAAAUAUAGCAACCAUGCCUUCCUCAUUACUUAGAUUCAGAAUGUGAAGGUGAAAUUGAGAAACAGAAACUCUUGAAACCAAAAUGAAAAUUGAUACUUUUACGAAGAAUUACAACAACAUUAGAGGAAGACUACAUUCUUCCUCUUUAUUCCUACAUUUCUACACUACUUCUACUCCACUCCAUAUUUCUACAUACAUCUUUAAUCAGUCUUCCCUCCUUUAUAUAGAGCCAUCUUCACACAAAUUCCGCAAGGUAGAAAAGAGGAAUGAAACUUGGAGCAAGGUUCGACUACUGGCUGUAGCUUGUCAAGGCUGAAAGUGAACUUUUUUUCUUGGCUUUUCUGGGCAUAGGUAGUAACUUGUAGGUUCCUUUUUGGAAUGAAAAUGGUACGGCUAGAACAUGUGGCACUCUCUUGUUGGAUGAUGUGUCAAGCAUGUGGCAGCCAUCUAGUGGAGAUUAUGUCAAUUUUGGGAUGGAGAGUUGGCAUCCAAUUGCAAAGAAAUAUGACAUCUACCAACAUGCAAUGUCAACCUAUGUAGAUCAUAUGAAGAUAGAGAGGAAAAAUAUAGAAAUGGAUAUAUAACUAGAACUAGCUUUUUAUUAAAUGAGACGGAGAGCCAACAAUGAAGGAAAAUCAAAAUUUUUGGCUCAUAUCAAAGAAUUCACAUUGUGUUACCCUAGGUUUUCUUAAAACUUACUUUUAUGAUAAUAAAAAAUCAUUAUUGUUUAAUCCUUUGUUUUAAACGCAUGUUUAGCAGGUUGUAAAAUGUAAAUAUCUUUCGAAAUUCAAAUAUGAAGAUAUGACAUCAUUUCAAGCAAUAUAGUCUCUAGGAAUUAAUGUAAAGCUAAAUUAAGGUGCAAUUAAGUUAGUUCAAUGCAUUAUUUUAAGAAACUUGACCUAUCAAAACCUUGUCUUACUUCAAAGCCUCUUUUUCUUUUCUUCCAACUAACAUUUUAAUAAGUGAUCGCAAAAGUACAAAAUUAGAUGAAAUCCAUUUCAAUGGUUAAAAUGAUCAAAUUCAAACUUUUUCUAAGUAUCUUUUAAAAGCAUCAAUAUUGAAAGACAAUUUUAUAUUUAGUCAAAGCUUGGACAGAGCCAAAAAGCACACAAAAAUUUAUAUUUUCUAGCUCUCUACCUUGGAUGGUCUCUUGAUCCUACUUGGAGAUGUGCAUAAAUAAAAGGAUUUGAAAAUGACAAUUGACUAAGUAUGUAGUCAAUCAAUUACUCAUUGAUUGACUAGUUGAUCAAUUAACUUUGCAACAUCAUAUGCAAUCCUAAUAGCUAGUCAUCUAAUCAACUAGGUAGUAAAUCAAUAGGCCAAAAAUAUGUUUAUAAUGACUAUUUUGUACAAAAACCACUUAUAUAGUUAAAUAUAAUGCAUUUCAUUUAUAAAUCUUCUAAUUCUUGAAUAACAAUCCUAUCAUCCUUUGAAAGUUUUUAUUACACCUUUUCUACAUUUGUUCUAAAACUUAUACAUCACCCUUAAUUGUACCAUGAGAACCUAGCAUUUUUUUUUUUUUUUUUGUAUUUCAUCAAAGUUAGCUCUUGUACUCAUUGUUGUAUUAUUUUUAUUGUAACUUAGAGAGCGAGUGUUUUCAAGUGAGUGAAAUUGACUUGUAAAUAUUGUAAAGAUUCAUUGAUAUGUAUCUCAAACUAGGUGUACAAGUUGAAACAUUUGCUAGUAGAUUUUCUCAAGAUUUAGAAUGAGCUUAAGGCUAUCGAAUUAGGUGGGGUUGCGCCAAACCAUAUCACAUCGUUGUUUGCACCUUUUUUUUCACUCUCUUUUACUUAGUUGCUCUAUAUAUAUUGUCUAGCAAUAUCCUAAAGGCUUGAUGGGCUAGGGAGCAUCCCUCUGAAUGAAAAAUUUUCAUUCAAUUCUUAGUUGUAUUACGCAUAUAUAAAAUGCCUCAUUGUUUUAAUGGUAUUCAGUCGUGGCACCACAGAUAUGGACAUCUAAAUUUUAAAAGUUUGAAACUUUUAGCUAAAGAAAAUAUGGUGCUUUGCCUUUUUGGAAAGCAUGUUGAUGAAAUCCAUGAGAAUUGUAUACUUGGAGAGCAACAUCGAGAUAACUUUUUUUUUUUCUUUUUUUAUAAUGCAUUGUUUGUCCAAAUUCCGUACAAAUUAGGCCACCACAUGUUCAUAAUUCUCCCUUCUUGAAUUUGAAAACUCGGACAAUUUGACAAUGCGACACCUAAGUCCGGUUUUUAAAUGCUAAAGUGAAAGGGCAGGUAUGGACCAUUGAAAUGUGAUAACAACUUUUGGCCUUUUCCUUUUCUCUGUAGCCAUGUUGUCUCUUUUUAAUUUCUUUUGCAUGAUUUUCUUACCUAAACAGAAUCAUAGACUUGUUUAAUCUCUAAGUGGGAUUUCAUCCACCUUAAGCUACUGUAUUAUAUCUCGGUGGAGGACAACCGACAUAGAGCACAUGCAAGUGGGUAUAUGGGACAUGAAAUAUCUUCUUAUAAAGCUUGUUUUGCAGUUAAAUUAAUUGGAUAAGUAGACACUGGCGUUUCUAAAUUUCCCACCUAAGAUAAUGACCUUAUCCUUGACUGCUAGAUACACAAACAAUUAUACCUUCAAAAUCUACUGUGAAGUGCUUCAUGUAUGUGUGAAGUAUUAGAAAUUUCUUUCUUGGCAACUUGUUUUUUUCUUUGCGGUCUACUGAUAGGUUUGACUAAAAUUAUAUUCCCUGUCCUGCUAAUUAAUUUUCACGUGCAUGCUCAAAAGAAGAGUAUGACCUUAGUGCACCAAAAUCACUUUCAAUAAUUUGUGAUAAGUUUUUUUGCAUGACAUUAACCUUAUUCAUUUAGAUAAUGUUUAGUUCUCAUAAAUAUUAAGAAAAUGAAAAUAAAUAUUAAGAAAAAUAUUCUUAUAUUUGAUUGUAUUAUGAAAAAUAUCAUAAAAAAUCAAAUAUAAUUAAAAUUAAUUAAUAAUUUAUAUAUUUUAAAAUUAUUUAAUUUUUAUAUUAAAGAUAUAAUAUAAAUGAAAUGAGUUUUAAGUAUUAUAUAAAAAUGAUUUAUUUAUUUAUUUAUAUAUAUAUAUAUAUAUAUAUUUAGUUUUUCUCUUUAUUUUAUUUUCCUUAUGUUUUCCUCACAUUUUCCGGAAUCAAAGAUAGGGAAAUCCACAAUUACCUUCAACUGAGUAGAUUCUAUUGUUUUAGCAAUGUUAGGCUGCUAACUUGUGGUGGUACGAACCAAAUGAUCCAUGUUAAUCUUGGCUUGAUUUAAUUUGGCUCUAUCUCAGAGAACUCAAGGAUCACGUCAACUCUGGUUUCUACUAUUCAGGUCCAUUCCCAGAUGAACUGGUUCAAAUUUGAGAAAAUGGUAACAGACCUUUAGUGAUAUUGGUUUGGAGCCAGUUGCCAAACCUGCCCUGAGCUUUACCACUAAUGUCAAGGGACAAAGCCAUUUGAACAAAAACAAUAGCUUCAAGAGACUGAAUCGUGGAUGAAAUCUGAUCCACAUUUCUUCUCAUUUUGGGAAAAAAUGAGGACUUAACCACAAAGAUUCUACUGCCUCAUAGUGCUUUUCCUGAUCUAAGGUUGGCUCGUUUCCCAAAUUGUGAGGUGCACGUGCCACUCUCACGCUCAGGAGUGUAUCCACGUGGUGGACAUAAGAUGGUGGCUUAAUAUCUGGUGUCGGUGGCUUUACUUUACUAGGAGAGUAGUGUGUCUUCAUCUCAUUCACUGCCAGAGGGUGGCGUAAGCAGUGACGCUAAGGUGGGGCACAGUCAAUAUCAUUUGCAUUUGACCAUUAUAAUUUUCUCCCGGCUUUAAAGUAACCUUAUCGUGAUAAUGGAUUACUAGCACUAGUUCAGAUGACAGUCAUGUUAAAUUCGGACCAUGUUUGUGUCACAUUAUCAGCAACCAUGUGCUUGUGGUUCAUGCUAUCUGCAACUAAACUUGAUAUAUAACCAGGUGAACUUCAAUCUAAAUUCUGGAAGUACUCAUGUGAUAGAUGGUGCCUGUCUGCAGUGAGUGUAUCUAUAAGAGGGAAGGCUUGGCAAAUGUUCAGUUUUCUGGGAAUUCAACAGGGAUCUAAAAUAGAUUGUUUUCUUUGCUGAUUUCAAUGGUUGAAAUUUGAGAAGAUUGUGUCCACAUAACACAACUAUUACUGGUCCUUCUGUUGCAAUUUAUCCUCUAAGGCUCUAACAUGUCUUCCAAUUCCCACUUCCCACUUCCCUGUUACUCCAGGAAAGCUGUUUCUGUCAUUGUGAAGAAGAAAAGAGACUGUACAUAUCGAUGCUUUUAAGUGGACUGGAGAAUUCAUAUCAGGUGGUCUGCAGCCAUACAUGCCACUUUGUGAAGGUUGGAACAGUCAAUCACUAGGCUAUAUUAGUGGGGCCCAGCCACUUCAAUCAAGGACAAGUCUUCAUACUUAAAGUCAAAUUCUGCCUUUAGUCUCAUUAUAAAUUGCUGUUUAAAUAUCAAGCAAACAUUUGUUUAAUGCGAUUAAGACAGCACUAACUCAAUACUUGUUCUAUUUUUGGAUGCAAAUGCUUGAUAGUUUCAUCAUUGGAGGGGAUAAAGGUGCAUUCAUGAUUAUGAAUACUUGUAGUUAUAUUUUCAUUCUCUUUUUUCUCAAUGGGACUUGUUGGCACAAUUUUGCUGUUCAGAAACCUACCUCUCCAUGGAAAAUCAGUUGUGAUUGAUAUUACUGGAUAUAUUCAAGAAAGCUAAAUGUAGAUAGCACAAAAUAUUAUCGACAUAAAUAGCAUUAACAGCGUACGUAUGUCUCAAUGCUCAUCAGCUAUAAGCAAGGGGCAAACACUUACUAUGAGCAACUUACGUCAAAAUUCCGGAAUAGGACAUAGAAGUGACAGGUCAGUAAAUAUAGAACACUGCAUAUGAGUCACAAGAAAGGAAAUUACGGGUACAUAGCAGCUCUUAUUUUACAUCCUACUCAUACUGAUCAAAGUCACUCAGUUGGGAUGGGUGGGAGUGGGAGGUUUGUGGGGUGGCUUGUGCGGAGGAGUUGGCAGCUUCUUUCCAGGACCUGGUUGCUUCUCUGCUGGAGUUGAAGGAGGCUUAAUCUUCCGAGGUGGCUUGUAUGAGUCUUCAGCAUUCUCAGCAGGAGGGUGACCAGGGUUGUGACCACAAUGUGGUGGCUUCUCUCCCUUAGGUGGUUUGCCAACUGGGGUUGGUGGCUUGUGUUCCGGAAGUGGCUUCUCUUUGUGUUCAGGAGGUGGCUUCUCCACUGGAGGCUUGUGUUCAGGAGGUGGCUUCUCCACCGGAGGCUUGUGUUCAGGAGGUGGCUUCUCCACCGGAGGCUUGUGUUCAGGAGGUGGCUUCUCCACCGGAGGCUUAUGCUCUGGUGGUGGCUUCUCCACCGGAGGCUUAUGCUCUGGUGGUGGCUUCUCCACCGGAGGCUUAUGCAAUGGUGGUGGCUUCUCCACCGGAGGCUUGUGUUCAGGAGGUGGCUUCUCUACCGGAGGCUUAUGCUCUGGUG